RNAcentral lists this long non-coding RNA (133527 nucleotides) under Hordeum vulgare. RNAcentral's name for it is "long non-coding RNA (HVUL_LNC000334)". Lineage: Eukaryota; Viridiplantae; Streptophyta; Magnoliopsida; Poales; Poaceae. The record is from RNAcentral.
GGUCCGAGCCGUUCUUCUUGGUGGACGUCUGCCCCUGAGCGCCCUGGCCUGAGGUCUUCUUUGCUAUUUUCACUGGAAGAAUCUGCAGCCUUGAAUUGGGGUCGGUUCCGAAGGUCUCGGCAAGGAGCUGGUAGCUCUCAACGAGCUCCAGCUGACGAGCAACAAUUUCUGAACACCUUGGGAGGAGUUCGACGGGCUCCCCGCCCGGGAUUACAAUGUAUUCAAUUGCCAGCCGGGCCUCCUGAAUGGUUGCAGAGUAUAAUAUAGCUGUUAUGCAACUACUAUGAUUUAUCUCACCGUAAGUAGAACAAGUAAACAUAGCACACUACGAACAGAACUACUAGCGGUUUAAAGUCUCAGAAGGAUGGGAUGAGUAAAUGCAAUGCUUAUCGGUAAAACACUGAUAUUGGUUUUGACUGUAUUCUGCGAGAAUAUAUUGUUUUGAGUGAAAUUUCAGAGAGGAUAUAGAUUUGUUUUCCUGUGAAGUGGUGGGGUUUCACAAAAUAUGGAAGUAGGAUGAGUGAGCUUUUCAUGUAUCAGGAGCAGACUAUCCAACCUAUUUCCUAUUCGCACUCUAUUUGCGCCAGUAUGGUGGACAGAAAGGGAAAUGAAAUGAGAAAAUAAUGUUGCAGCGAAAGGAGAUUUUAUAGUGUUUGUACAAGAGAUUACCUCCAAUGCAUCAAUUUCCUCCAAUGAUGGCUUCCGUUUCGGAGCAUCAUCUUCAAUCUCUAUCUCUCCUUCCAAAACUUUAGGUUGCUUGCGUGAUGGUGCAUUAAGCUUAUCUCUUCCAACAAUCAUUUUGACAGCCUUUACUAUCUGAGCCAUCGUAUUUGUCUGCAAUUUAUAAGGCACAAGACUGUUAGUACAGGUGAAGACCUUAUUGCUCUGGAUAUCACAAAAAUAAAUUUAUCAUGAGAUGACCUUAACAACAAAUAUCGGAAGCUUGUGGUACUUGGCAACAUUACGAAUCCAUGGAUUCUGCUUCAUUUCAGAACUUGACGCGAGAAUCACAUUGGCCGCCUCAAUGUCAUCUGUUAUGUCUAAUUCAUCCUCAAAACCCAUCACUGUUGCUACUUGCAAGAUAUCAGCUUCUGAAACCUGAAAGCACAAAAAAGAAGCAACAUCAGCUUUAUGGUUUUACAGUUAAAUACAGUACUAUAAUAUUGCAUAGCACAAAAUUCAGUCUUCGACAUCCGUGUAGGAAAAUACAGGGACUAUUAAGACUUGAUGGUUGGGACAACUGAGGUGCUCCAAAGAAAGCAUUCUUUAAAAUACUAGUUACAUUUUUUUUGUGAGUUCUGUAAUUUGCAGAAAAUGAAGUAUACAACUCAGAAAAGAACGUAGCCAGUAUCAAAGGCCAUGGGAGAAAUGUUCAUCCAGGUACUAAGGCACACAGCAUCAAUGUAUAUAAUAUUAUAAUUGCACAAAUUUAUAAUCUAGAGAAACAUCAUUUGUAUCUCCACUUACCUGGUAAGUGUAAACACGUACUGGAGGCCUUCCAGCCACAUAUGUUUUGCCUUUUGUUUUCUUUGCAUAACCAAAAUCACCAUUGACAUUAUCGCCUGAUGGGAUGCUGUUGUUUGUUUGCCUGGAGGAACCAAAAUCAUCGGCGAAUUUAUCUUCUGGUGUGACCGCCCUGGUGACCAGAUCUUCCUGAUACGCAGGUAAGUGUUCUGAUUCAGACACUCUNNNNNNNNNNNNNNNNNNNNNNNNACUCUUUCAGAUAUCACCAAAGAUCCUCCUGACUCGGCGGCCUUGCUAUUCAUCAUGCGAGCUUCAAACUUAGGAGGCUUCCCUGUACCAAAGAGAUGGAAACUUAAUUCAGAAACCAGAAGAUAUCUACAGAUCCUUCUAAUGAGUAAUGAGUAUGUGCUAGGAGUUGACUGUGAAGAUCUUUACUGUGAACUAGUCAGUUACCUGCAAGAAUAGCAUCAACUGUAGAUUCUAACUUGUAGUGCACUCGACAUUCAGUCUUAGAUACCAUCUCAACAGCACAUGAAAAUGUUGGGGGCCCUUUUCUCUCAAGAAUUGUUUUUUGAACUUUCCGCUUCUUUGCCUCUUCAUCUCCAAGAGUCACACUCUGUAUAACGAACUUACAUUGUUAUUUCACUAAUAAGUAGUUCUUUUUUUCUUGAUGCAUACUCAAAUGUGUGUCAUACUAAUAAACUAUUCUAGUCAUUCUUGGUGUUGAAAUAUUAUUAAAAUAAUCUACAGCCCCAAAUUUUAUUUGAACUCAAUAUUGGAUGGUUAUCUGAAAACAAAUAUUACUAUCCUUUCGAAUGUAAAAUACACCACCAAGGCAUGGAACCUCGCGGGGUAUUUAGGAAGACAAUGAGAUACACCGGUUUGACCCCCACAUAAUAAAUCAACAACGCUUGAUCCGCCCGAGAAGGAUCAAACUCAGGUCGACACAGAGACACCACUGUGCUUGGAAAACCCAGUUCUCAUGUCUUUUGGAAUCUAAAAACAACAUUAGGAUAACUAUAACAAGCUUCCGGAUCGACUGGUUGACUAUUGCGCCUUAAUCUGAUGUUCAGGAAGAUGCUAAGCUUCAAGAACAUAAGAGAAACUGUUGGAGGACAGCUAGCAGAAAAGAAAAUAAGUUCACCUCAAUCCCACCAACAAGCAUUUGCAAGCAAGGGUUCUUAAUUAUGCUGUCAAUUGUCACCCCAUGAGCAGUUCCAACAAGUUGAACGCCUCUUUGAGCAAUGGUGCUGGCUGCCAUUGCUUCAAGUUCUGUACCAAUCUCAUCGAUCACAAUAACUUCCGGCAUGUGAUUUUCAACAGCCUCAAUCAUCACCUACACAAACAAUGUUUCAUAUGUAUCAUCAAGCAUCCAACAGUAAGGUAUUAAACAAAGACACUCUAGAAGAUUCUGCAACUAUAUAUGAACCAUAUGAAAGAAUAAUGAGAACCUACGUUAUGCUGCAUCGUAACUUUAGGAACUUGCAUUCUCCUAGAGCGCCCAAUGCCGGAGUGAGGUACAUCCCCAUCACCUCCUAUUUCAUUAGAUGUGUCCACUAUGAUCACACGUUUGUUACCCUCAUCUGCCAGGAUUCUAGCUAUUUCCCUGUAUUAUUGAAAGCAUUUGAAAUUGUUAGCAUCAGAUUGCAACACGCACCGAUUUAUAUAUCUUUGGUCUUCUCAGCCAUGUUACUGAGUUAAUAUUCACGUAACAUGCAUUAGCAUUACAUGAUGACAAACACCGCUGAUCAAAGAACUGAAGUUCCACUUUUACGUUUGUAGGUGAUGUACCUGAUCAGAGUGGUCUUCCCUACUCCAGGGGGUCCAAUCACCAAUAUGGAGCCGCCUCCCACCACCAGAUCACGGAUCAUCUCCGCGCUGCCCGAUAUAGCCCGUCCGACACGGCAAGUGAGGCCAAUUAUGUGAGCCUUGCGGUUCCGGAUGGCGCUGAUCCGGUGCAACGAGUGGUUGAUCCCGGAUCGGUUGUCCUCGGAGAAAUUGCCCACCUGCAAAGAGAGGAACCGAUCUUCCAAGUGAGCAAAACUAGCAUCUCCAGCUCCACAGAAGCAACUUUCAUACUACAGUAGUAUUGGGGAUCUCCCAGAUGAGGAAAGCAAGCAUCUCCACAGAAGCAACUUUCACACUACAGUAAAAGUAUUGUUACUGCAACAGAGCCAAGCCAAUUUUGGGGGAUCGCAGUCGCGGGCAUCACGGUGGUACUGGUAAUCAAAGAAAGAAAGGUUGACGACAUGACGGCACCUUGGAGACGGCCUGGCGGAGGUCGUCGGCGGUGACGGGCUGGUCGGAGAUGACCCAGUCCCCGGAGGGGAACCGCGCGAGCGGGCGGCGGCCGAGGUCCAUGACGACCUCCACCAGGUCCCAGACCUCCGGGUGCAGCGCGACCCGCCGCAUCCUCGCCGGCACCACCUCGAGGAACGCCUCCAUCUCACCCCUGGCCCCGGCCCGCGCCUCGGGCGCCGGGGUGGCGACUGCCGGGGACACGGACGGCGAGGCGGGGCCCGAGGGCGCCGCGCCGCGCCACGGCACGCACCGGUCGCCGGACGNNNNNNNNNNNNNNNNNNNNNNNNNNNNNNNNNNNNNNNNNNNNNNNNNNNNNNNNNNNNNNNNNNNNNNNNNNNNNNNNNNNGGUGGAGGUGGGAGCAGAGGAGGAGGGGAAUCGGAGGCGGAGGAAGGAAGAUUCCGGGGAAUACUGCGGCUGGAGGUGGAGUGGUCAGGCGUGGAGCAGGAAGAGUGUUGGAAAAGGCGGGGGCCUCUUCUUGGCCGUUAACCUUCCUCCCGCCUUGCGAGAUGGAGCGAUAGACCACGCCCAUGGACCGCUGUGGUCGCUCAGUCGUGCGGCAUAUGCUAGUACUCUGCAAACACCGGAUAUCCACCUUGUUAGAGGAUCAAGAAUGCAAAAAAAAUUUGGUUUCAAAAAAAGAAUGCAAAUUUGAAGGUGUAAAAACAGGAGAGGUAUAAUUUACAUCUUAAAAAUAAAUGCUUUUUACAAAUCUGAAAAAAAAGGCAACUUCAACAGAUGAUGCAAGAUGCAGAUGUAAAGGUGCAACUUCAGUAGGUGAUGCAAAAUAGAGAUGUAAAACCGGUGACCAGCCGACACGGCUAAUGUACAGCCGCAUUUCAACAUUUAGAUACCAAUUUGCAUCAAAUUUCUACCGACACAAGUUCAUCAUCGUUCAUAGUUAAAAUAAUAUUUCACCGUGAGGUGUUUUAGAAGAAUUGAUCCUCAUGUCCUGUUCAAAUGAGAAUGNNNNNNNNNNNNNNNNNNNNNGAGGAUAUAGGUUUGGAUGUGGAGAUGAGGGGGGGGGGGGGGGGGGGGGGGUAUCCUUUACGGUGUGAGACAAAACACCUUAUAAAUUAUUUCAUGUACCAAGGGUAAGUACAUCUUGCAGCUGGGUGGGCGGGACAUUAAAAAAAUUGGGGCUUGCUGGUUGUUUAUGGGUCUGCCCAAAGAGGAGUUCCUCGUGGAACUUGCUGCAAUGUGUAGCAACAUGACCAUGACAUAUAUUGUGGACGGGGACUUAAAUAUUCUUAGGCAUUGUGGUGAGAAGAACAAGAAUAUGGUUAGUAGUAAGUCUAAUGACCUUUUUAAUUCCAUCAUCAAUACCCUAGCUCUCAUAGAGAUUCAUAUAAGUGGGGGGAAUACAUCUGGAAUAACAAUUAGGCCCACCCUACUUUGGAAAAGAUGGACCACAUUCUCAUGUAUGAGAGUUGGGAAGACUUGUUCCCUCUAGUCUCUCUCAGGAAAUUGGUGCGUGAGCUUUCUAACCUUAACCCUCUACUGCAUGCUAUCCUCGGGUGAACAUGGGCAUGAAGCUCCUAAACCUAGUGAGUUUCGUUUCGAUCUUACUUGGGUUAAAGAUGAAAAAUUCCUACCCAUUGUUGAGAAAAUCUGAUCCGGAAAAGUCAACUCCCUAGACCCCAUUGAUACCGUGAAUAUCAAGUUGAAGAGGUUUAAGACCUAUUUCAAAAGGUGGGGAUCAAAAAAAUUUAGGCAUGAUAAGAAAAAGAAGGAGGAUCUUAGAGUGGAAUUAGCUAUGUUGGAAGAGUCAGAGGAAGAGGGUCCUUUGACCCCUGAUCUAUACAAUAGGAAAAUUAAUAUUAACUUUGAAAUACAUGAGCUGCCAGUAAACGAGGAGAUGUUCUGGUUACAACAAUCUUAUGAACGAUGGUUGUUCAACGGUGACUUGAGCACUGAUUACUAUCAUAAGAUAGCUAAUGGGCGCAAAAGGAAGAAUACAAUUAAUUCCCUGAAAUCUAGGGAUGUUGAAAUAGAAGGUAUUGAUAACCUGAUUGAGCAUGCAAGAUAAUAUUAUAAGACCUUAUAUGGUCUUGCACCUCGAAACAUUUUCCAUCUAGAUCCUAAUACAUGGUCAUAUGAUACAAAAUUUAAAUUCUAAAGAUAAUAAUGACCUUUUUCGUGAGUUCACGAAAAUAGAAGUGAAUGAAUCCUUUUUGCUAUGGCUUCUAAUAGUGCACCAGAGAACAACAUUCCGGUGGAAGUUUAUCAGUCAUGUUGGGACAUAGUAAAAGAUGAUAUUAUGUCCCUUUUUACCCAUUUUCAUAAAGGGGUUUUGGAUGUGCGGCAUAUUAACUAUGAUGUUAUUAUGCUCUUGCCAAAAACUUCAAAUGUGGAUAAGAUCCAACAAUUCAGACCUAUCUAUUUGUUGAGAUGCCUGUAUAAACUGAUCACUAAAGUAUUGGGUAGGCGCGCGGAGAGGUAUGCUGGUAAACUGACCAGUUUUUGCCAAAAUGCAUUUAUGAAAGGGAGGAACAUUAUGGAUGGUGUUCUUUCUCAUGAGAUCUUAAACUAUACGCAUGUGAAGAAAAGGGUGGGGAUUGUGUUGAAACUCGACUUUGAGAAGGCUUACGAUAAGGUUAACUCGGAAUUCUUGCUUGAGUGUCACAAAAUUCGGGGUUUUAGUGAUACUUGGUGUGGCUGCCCAAAAUGGCACUGUGAGUAUUAAACUUAACAAUUGCGUAGGGGCAUACUUCCAAAGUGCUAAAGGUCUUCAUCAGGGUGACCCUCAGUCUUCGUUUCUGUUUAACCUAGUUGUUGAUUGUCUCGCUAAAAUGAUUACUAAUGCACAGGAAAAAAAUGUUGGUUAGCCUAGCACCUGACCUUAUCCCCAUGGGGUGGCUGUGCUGCAAUAUGCGUAUGAUACAAUCAUAUGCUUGGAGCAUGAUAUUGACAAGGCAGUUAACCUAAAGUUAUCGGUUUAUAUGUUUGAGAUGAUCUCAGGACUUAAAAGUGAACUUUCAAAAGAGUGAAAUCUUUACUAUUGGUGGUGAUGAAAAUGUGAUUAGAGAAUAAGCGAACGUGUUCAAUUGUGACAUAGGUACUUUCCCCCAUCAAAUACCUGGGUAUGCUUGUGAGCUACUAGAUACUUAUAAACUCGGACUGGGAGUUCAUUCUGGAUAAAUACCUCAAUAGAUUUCAGGCUUGGAUUGGUAAUGCCGCAUCUAUGGGAGGUAGGCUUACCCUACUGGAUUCGGUCGUUACUGAGAUUACCCUUUACCAUCUGUCUAUGUGGCUUAUGAAUAAAAAUUCCAUUGAAAAGCUUGAUAAACAUAGAAGGAGAUUUUUCUGGCAAGGAUGUAACAAGAAGAUAAGAUAUUACCUUCUUAAAUGGAAUAGGUAGAUCCAAGGACAAGGGUGGUCUUGGAGCAAAAGACCUUCGGAAGAAGAAUAUUAGUUUGAUUGUCAAGUGGUGGUGGAAACUUGAAACUCGAGAGGUUGUAUCGCAAGAUAUUGUGCAUGCACGGUACCUUAAGAAUAAAACUAUGGCUUCUGCGGUACCUAGAUUUUCAGACUCCCCGUGUUGGAAAUCCCUUCUGAAAAUUAAGAGUCUUUAUAUGCUUGGUAGGAAAAUUGAUUUUGGGUCUGGUAACAUUAACAGAGUUUGGAAAGAUUCUAUCAAUGUUUUCCCCCCAUUUCAGGUACAAUACCCCGUGUUAUAUGAGAUUUGUUAUGCUCGGGAUUGUACUAUGGAGAAAUUCAGUCCAAUUGACACUACCACUCUGUUUAGGAGAAGGUUGACUCCUCACUUGCAAAGACAGUGGGUGGAUAUGUGUGAUACCAUAUCUGACAUCUAGUUGAUUGCGACUAGUGAUCGAGUGUUUGGGGGGGGCUUAGCAAAAAUGGCAAUUUUUUCACCAAAUCUAUGUAUAAAUAGUAGGAGAGCCCUCUUAGUGGAUUUCAUUAUAUAUGGAUUUGGAAAGCAAAAAUUCCUCUCAAAAUAAUUUUUUUGUGGCAAGUGUCGCAGGAUGCAAUACUUACUAGACAGGUUAUGAAAAAGAGGAAAUGUCCUCAAAAGCCAAGUUGCUCCUUUUGCAGCAAUGAGGAAACUUCUGGGCAUCUGUUCUUCACCCGUCCAGUGGUCAGAGUUGUGUGGAGAUCUGUUGGGGUGGUAUUGGGUAUUGAUUGUUGUCAGAAUAACUACUGGCAGUAUUUUGCAUGGUGUCACGCUUUCCUCCCUAGAGGAGAGAAAUAUUAUAUAGUUGGCAUGGCGACUGCUUGCUCGGCAAUAUGGCUUGCUCGUAAUCGUGCCACUUUUGAGAAGGAACAUAUCAAAACUCCUUUUGAAAUUGUCUUUUCUAUGUGUUCUUUCUUGCCUUAUUGGGAAGGGAUUCAACAUGGAGACGUUGGUGGAGAAGUGAGAACUGGUGCUGAGAUGAUUAGAUCAAGCACGGUGCAUCUGAUGAAGUUAUGCAACAACGUGAUGUGUCGGGUCGUGGGAGAAUAAUCAUGCUUCUUCGAUGUUGUUGGAGAAUGUCAUUUUGUCUUAGUGCGUGCAAAUUUAAACUUUUGACUUUUCAGUCUGUAAUAUUUAGGCUAGCCUGAAGAUUGUUAUUGUGCUGUAAGGUUUUCGCCCCAUGGCAUUCGUCACGAUGUCGGGCGAGCGUAGUGGCGGUUUCCUAGCAGUGCUCGAACUCGCUUCCCCUCCCCCUGGAAUGUUUCUUGAAUAUAUUUCCGUUCAUUUGCAAUGGAAAGGGGCAUGGCCUGGUUCAAAAAAACAUCAUUCAUAUUUUGAGAUGCUACAACUAAAACUGCAUCUUCUCAAACAAAGUUCAUGAUCAAACAAAUUAAAAUGCACAUAAAACAUCAAACAUACGAGUCAAUUUUCGUCUUCUCCGUUGUCACUAAUGACACCGUGGACGGUGGUAUGUUCAUCAUCGUCAAUGGCUCCUUUGUAGACCUUUUGAUCCAUUGAAUUCUUGUUACCAUGGAUUCCACCAAAAGCACAUUCAUUGCCACCUCCCAUUUCAUUCACAUUGCCAUCAAAGCCACCUCCCAUGCCACUCAUCAUGUUGCCGCCAAAGCCACCUCUCAUUCCACUCAUGUUACCACCGAAGCCACCUCCCAUGGCACUCAUGUUGCCGCUGAAGCCAACUCUCAUGUCACCCAUGUUUCCACCAAAGCCACCACUCAUGUCACCGAAGCCACCAUCCAUGUUGCCACCAAAGCCACCUCCCAUGUUGCAAUGCAUCAUUCAAGUCACCUCCAUCAUGUUCAUGUAGCCGUCCAUUCCUCAUCCCAUGACACCUCUCAUUCUUCCUCCCAUCGUGCUCCUCAUGAGCAUUUGCUUCUUCAGGGUCAUUUCAUCAUGACAAAGCCCGACAUACGCCUUUGACUUGGGAUCAAGAGUUAAUGUGCACAUGAACAUGAACUUGAGUGCUUUCUCUUCGACCAUCUUGAAAUCUUCGGUCGCCUCCAACCUUUCUUGGGUUGUCGUUCUCUUCUCCUCGGCCACCACUCUCCCCCACUCGACUUCUCUCCUCUAAUUUAUUUAUUUUAGCUUCAAAGUUAUUUUUUCUUCGGCAUACUCUUUCCUCACAAUGGCAAUGGUGUCAAAUCCUUCUUUAAUAUCAUUAACUCCAGCCCUGGAGCCCUUUACUUUUUUACAUCCAUAUGGCUUAUAUGAUUUAGUCGCCGAGUGUGGAGUGAGAUCCAUCUCUCUUUGCCAUUGCCAUCUUCAUCAUCCUCCACGAGACCAUGAGCACAUUUUUUUUCUUCGAGGCAUCAUAAACUUCUCUUGUUUUCCACUUCUCCUCAUCCUUGAGAUCUUUGUAGCAAUGAUGGAAAGUGAAAUCUCUUUGUUUCUUCUUCCUUUUCUCUCCAUUGUUGUUCCUCCCUCGAAACAAUCCUUGCGCAAUCAUUUCUUACAACAACAAACAAGAUGUCAUCAUUAAAUUAGAGAACAUUUGACUUUUUGCGCAAUGUUGAGAGAAUACAAACAAGUAGAAAAUGAUCACCAAAUCACUUUCAACGCAACCACUCGGAUUCAUGCGCUCAACAUUUGACAAGCAACCAGACCACUUUUAGCAUUCGACGUUGAUGGUGCCCCAACAUUGAUGAAUUGUGCCCCUUCACCGAAAUUAUUCGCUAGUAUUGCUCUCAUUGAAGUACUCCUUGAUGCAUUGCCAGUACGUAUCACGGCUUGGUCACUCCCAACGGAUGCAUCUUGAGAGAUUUUCUUUCACGCAUAGCAAAUCAACACAUCUUAGGGGGUGUAUAAUUUGUGGUUCUACCCUUCAGAAAAAAGCCCUCUUCGUCCAUGUCAAGAUUAUUGUUAUCAAAUUGAGUUUCAUAUUCUCGUGAUGCAUACUCUUGAGAGAUAUAAUCAUCAUUUGACACAUGUGUUGCUCGCAUGAAAGCUUCAUCGUCAAGACUACAAAUGAGCGUACACAGAAUCAAUCUCACAUUCUAUCCUUACCGGAAAUUGCAAGAACAAACACGUGCACGACAACAAGGAAAGUUUUUUUUACCUUUUGAACAUUUCACCGAAUAUGUUGGAUGCGCUGGACGUCAGUGUGACCACAUCACCUUCAUGGCCGACGGUGGUGGAGGUGGGGCCCUUUAGCCGGAGAAGGAAACCAUGGCCACCGUCGUCAGCCAAUCGCCCGCCGCAUCCUCGUCCGGCUUUGAAAUUUUGGGCGACUGAGGUUGAUUCACUGCUAGGUUGCACCCCCGCCUUGCCUGUUGCUUCACGCUUUGUUAGGGCAUAGUUUAUGCCUAAGUAAUUUUGGUGAUUGAUGACAGUACCGCAAAGGACUAAUUGUGUGUGUUAAGAUUUCAGAUAACACAUGCCAACGGCACAAGACGACUCGCCCCCUCUUUCCAUGGAACAUAAGCUCGGUGUACUCUACGAUUCUCCUUCUUUGAGUCAUAGGAACGCCGUACUAUUAAGAGGGGACCCGUAGUGGAAAGGUUUGGGUGGAAUCAAUUUUGCACGCACACACUUUAUCUCCUUUCCCCUUGCCUGCAACUUUGGAGUGGCUCCCGCCUUUGUGUUUAUCUCAUCUAAGCAAAUGGUCCCUGAGCGGUAGUACCGCUGUGCCUAGCGUUAGUACCGCUAGCCCUAGCGGUAGUACCGCUUUCCCUAGCGGUAGUACCGCUGCAGCCAGCGGUAGUACCGCUAGCUGGCGGUAGUACCGCCCCUGGUCAGCGGUAGUACCGCUCCAGGAGCUUAGUACCGCCUUCCUAGCGGUUGUACUUCGACGGACCUUUUUGCGAAGACUUUCUUGACGGUGGAUGGCUCGGUAGUGCCUAUGCACUACCAUGGGCUCAGCGGUAGUACCACUGCAGCCAGCGGUAGUACCGCUGGAGUGCCAGCGGUACCGCUGCAGCCAACGGUAAUACUGCUGGAGUGCCAGCGGUAGUACCAUUGCAUCCAGCGGUAGUACCGCUAGGCACGGGUUGUGAGUGGGAAAACGGUUGGAUUCCCCCCCACUAUAUAAGGGGUUCUUCUAGCUGUGGAACCUUAUCUCUUACCCUCCCAAGCUCCAUUGUUUCUCCCUAAGCUCAAAAGUGCCCGAUCUCUCUCCCUAGCCAAUCAAACUUGUUGAUUCUUUAGGGAUUGGCUGAGAAGGCCUAGAUCUACACUUCCACCAAGAGAAAAGUUGAUUCCCCCACCAAUCCCUUGCGGAUCUUAUUACUCUUGGGUGUUUGAGCAUCCUAGAAGGUUGAGGUCACCUCGGAGCCACAUUCCAUUGUGGUGAAGCUUCGUGGUCUUGUUGGGAGCCUCCAAGCUUUGUGUGGAGUUUGCCCCAACCUUGUUUGUAAAGGUUCGGUCGCCGCCUUCAAGGGCACCUAUAGUGGAAUCGCGGUACCUUGCAUCAUGUGAGGGCGUGAGGAGAAUACGGUGGCCUUAGUGGCUUAUUGGGGAGCAUUGUGCCUCCACACCGCUCCAACGGAGACGUACUUCCUGUCAAAGGGAAGGAACUUCGGUAACACAUCCUCGUCUUCAUUGGUUCCACUUGUGGUUAUCUCUAACCUUUACUUUGUGUAUGCUUAUGUUGUUGUCUAUCUCUUACUUGUCUUAGUAGCUCUUGUUGUUAGAUUCAUUACGGUUCACCCCAUUGUUGCUAUUAUUGUGAACCCAUAUGUUGUUUACCCUAACUUGCUAAGAUUAAUUAAAAAGUGGUCGUUGCCUAUUCACCCCCCUCUAGUCAACCAUAUCGAUCCUUUCAAUUGGUAUCAGAGCCACGUCUCUUUAUUAAGGGUUUAACCACCCGAAGAGUAUGGAAGAUGAUGAGGGAGUUCCCCGUGCACAAACCGAGGGCAUGGACUUGACUUCGAUCACAAGGGACGACUUGAAUACGGCUAUGGCCGCACUCAAGACGUCCAUGACGAACGAGGUCAAGACCAUGCUUAAAGAGUUAAUUGAGGGAAUUAGGAACUCUCCCAAACCGGCAUUGGUGGUUAAACCCACCACCACAGAUUCGGAGGCUGAUUCCGUCAGGGAAGCGGCUAAAGAUAUGCAACCUUCCCAACCUCUCGAAAAUAAUGGAAAUGGGACGUAUGCAUCUGUUCCACCACCCUUGGUCUAUGGAGGACCGGUUCCCACACCGCGUCUUAAUCCUGUUGGUCCUCCUCCUAAACUUGUAAAAGGUGAUUUUGCUAACCGGGUAUUUUCUAUUAAGUCUCAUUUGAAUCACAGCUCAACAAAUUUGUGGAGAAUCAUCGAGCAAGGAUAUUAUCCCCAUGAUCCAAGCAACCUCACUCCAAGAGAAGAUGCGGACAAUCAAUACAAUCACUCUGCUAUGUUUAUUCUCCAGUCUGCAAUGCCACCUGAAGAUCUUCCUCACUUGCGUCCCUUCACUUUGGCCAAGGAUUGUUGGGAGCACAUUAUGGUGUUGUACAAGGGAAGGUCAAGCAUUCAACGGUCCAACUAUGAAGUGAUACCUGAUAAGGCCGAUGAGUUUGUGAUGAAGGAAGACGAGGACCCUCGUGAUUUCUAUCGGAGGGUGACUGCUAUUGCUGUGGCACUCAAGGACCAUGGGAGCAAGGAUGUGGAUGAUACAUGGGUCAAGCGCAAGUUUCUCAAAGCCAUCAUGCCUUUCAAUAAAGCCAUGUCAUAUGUCAUUCGUCAGCGACCAGACUUCCACUCCUUGUCUUCGAGUGAGGUGUUGGACGAAUUCAUUGCAAUGUCAAUCAUGAACGAAACAGCUGACAAUGCACUUGCUCGUGUUCGCUCAAAGAUAGCUUCUCUCAACCUUGCGUUAAAGGCAAAAGCAACGUUUGAAGAAGAAGAAGAGGAUGAGGAAGAGGAGAGAUGCCCUCAAGACACGAAGUAUGCCUAUCAUGAGCACAUGGCUCUUGCAUCAAGGCAAUUCUGGGGGAACAAGAGGAAUUCAAGACCCACCUUCACCAAGAACAACUCGAGUGGGUUCAAACCCAAGCAACGAGUGAGGACAUGCUAUAACUAUGGUAACGUGAGUCCCUUCGUGGCCGAAUGUCCCUAUGAGAAAAGGGAAGACAAUGGGGGAAAGCUCAUUCGCAAAGACAAAACCAAGUCAUUUCCAAUCAAGAACAACUUUGUGAAGAAACCUCACCCAAAGGGGAUGGUGGCCCUUGAAGAGUACCCUUCCGAUGAUGAUGAUGAUGAUACAGUGGCGACGACAACGGUUGCUAUUGCCACUCCCUCUCCCCAGAAGGUGUCUCUCUUCAACGCCCCCAACGAGAACCACAUCACCAAGUGCCUCAUGACAAAAGGUAUCAAUCAGGUAACCCCCAUCAUUAAGACCAACAUCGCUACUGCUCCUUCAUUGUUAAAUUGUGUUGAUGAUAGUGAUGUUGGGGAACUUAAUGAGCAUGAUCUUGACAAGUUUCUGUGCACUAUUAAGGGAGAAUCCAAGAAGCACUUUGUUGCUCUCUUGGAACAACUGGGUGAGGCCAAUGACCUCAUCCAGUCUCAUGAGGAGACCAUCUCCGAGCUUCAGGGACACAGUCGUGAAUAUGCCGAUGAAAUUGCUGAAUUAUCUAUUGCUCUAGAAAAAGAGCGCACUCUUCGUUUGGCUCUUGAGGAGUCAUACAACGAUGACUGCGCUAAAAUGCAAAAGAAACUAGAUCAUGAUACUGUUCUUACUCGCAUGCUUAAGUCUGAGAAGUAUGCUCUUGGGGUUGGCCAUGACAGACUCAAAAUGGAGUUUGACACACUUGACAAGGCUCACAAGGUCUUGAAAGGUGUUCAUUUCUCUCCGAAAGAGUCUCAUGAUCAACUCCAAGCAAAGCUUACCAAGGAGAUCUCUACUUGUCCUCCCUUUGUGUUAAUUGAUAAUGCUUGUACAACUAAUCCUUGUUGUGAGCAUGUACAUCUUGUGGAGGAAAAUGCCAAGUUAAAGGAGAAACUUGAGAAGGGCCUUGUGACAUGCAGACAAGGUGAGAAGAGCCUGAACAACCUCUUGAGCACUCAAAAGGGUGUUGUAGGAAAGGAGGGACUUGGACUUACCUCAAAGUCAAAAGGAAAAAGUAGGAACAGGAACAAACGAUCCCCUACCCUCAUGGACAACUUUGUCAAAGAGGGCGAAGGGACUCAGGAGGUGAACAGGAACAAGGUGGACGAUGGUAACGUCAAGAAGGGCAAAACCAUUCCUACUAACACAGCCGACAAACUCAAUUCUUCCUAUGUCUUAUGUCGUGCUAGUGAUGGGCAUGUUUAUGCCAGAUUUGUUGGUUCCUACCAUGAGUCCAUUGAAUGGGCUAUCUGGGUUCCUAAGACCCUUUUCUCUAACAUGAAAGGACCCAUUAAAAAAUGGGUACCUAAAACCAAGCCUUGAUCUAUUGCAGGAGUUUGCUUCCGGUGGGGUGUCAUGGUUGCUCGAUAGUGGAGCAACAAAUCAUAUGACCGGAAGCAAGGACUUAGUGGUGGAUGUCCAUCCUUCUCCAUCUAUGCCCACCCAUGUCCAAAUCGCCGAUGCAUCCUCGUCAAAAGUAUUGGGAUUUGGUAAGGUGGUCAUCUCUCAAGAGUUAUCUAUUGAGAAGGUCAUGCUUGUUGAGUCUCUUGCCUACAAUUUACUUUCAGUUCGUCAACUUGCAAUUAUGGGUUUUUCCACAUUCUUUAAUCUUGAUACUGUGGUCCUCCUGUGGAGCAAGACUCUUAAAGUAGCCUAUGUUGGAUAUGUCGAAAAUGGUCUUUAUGUGGUGAACUUCUCAAAGUGACCCACUAAGACCGUGACGUGUUUAAUGGCUAAAGUUGAUGUGGGCUCGCUUUGGCAUCGCCGACUAGCUCAUGUCAAUAUGAGAUCUUUGCAAAGUCUUCUAACAGGGGACCAUGUUCGUGGACUAACAAAUGUGAGCUUUGCUAGAGAUCGUGCUUGCAGUGCCUGCAUUGAAGGAAAGAUUCAUGAAACUGCUCAUCGUCCAACAACUCUCAUUUACACUAAGAGGCCAUUAGAGCUCCUACAUAUGGAUCUUUUCGGCCCUCCAUCAUUUGAUAGUCUUGGAGGCAGAAAGUACUGCUUGGUGAUUGUUGAUGACUACUCAAGAUACACCUGGGUAUAUUUGUUCAAAAGGAAGAGUGAGACUCAACAAACUGUCCUCAACUUUGCUAAUGAAGCUCAACGUCAACAUGAAGCAAAGAUCUUGAUGAUUAGAAGUGACAACGGCACCGAGUUCAAGAACUACACCUUGGAUGAGUUUCUAGGUGAUGAGGGAAUAAAACAUCAAUAUUCAGCACCAUAUACCCCUCAACAAAAUGGCGUGGCAGAAAGGAAGAACCGGACCUUGAUGGACGUUGCAAGAACAAUGAUGGCGGAAUUCAAAUCUCCAUAUAACUUUUGGGCAGAGGCCAUCAACACAACAUGUUAUGCGUCCAAUCGGCUCUAUAUCCGCAAAGGCUUGAACAAGACUCCAUAUGAGAUUCUCACUGGAAACAAACCCAAUCUCAAGUACUUCCAGGUAUUCAGUUGUAAGUGUUUCAUUCUCAAGAAAGGUGCACGCUUAGCUAAAUUUGAUUCUAGAGCACAUGAGGGCAUCUUUGUUGGUUAUGCUACAAACUCUCAUGCUUACCGUGUCCUCAACAAGUCCACCGGACUCAUUGAGGAGACGUGUAACGUGGAGUUUGAUGAAAAUAAUGGCUCCCAAGUGGAGCAAAGUGGUCUUUGUGAUAUAGGUAAUGAAAUUCCUCCCCAAGCCAUAAGAAGAAUGGGGAUUGGUCAAAUACUCCCCAUUGAGGAACCCCUUGUGGCCGAAGAAGAAGGACAAUGCUCUACUCAAGUGGAGCCAUCACCCCGCAAGCCCCACACGCUUCCGAUGAACAAAGAGAAGACUCUCAACAAGAUGAACAAGCUCAAGGUCAAGAUGAAUUGCCCAACAAUGAUGAUGUGUCCCAUGAUAUUCAAGAACUUACCCAAGGUUCCGAACCUGCUCAUGAUCAAGAUCAAGUGCAACCACAAGAUCCAGACCAAGUAGAAGCACAAGAUCAAGAUCAAGAGCAACCACAAGUACAAGGACAAACAAGUGAACCUGCUCAAGUCAAAAGUCAAGAUGAUCAGGAUACUGUCUCACAAUUCCCUUCUGCAGCACCAACAGCUGGUGCCAAGGGAGGCUCAAGAUGCAAGGGCAAGCAAAGUAAACAAGUUGAUGCUCCCCAGUUAUCCAAUGAAGAACUCUUGGAGCGUCGAGCAACCAAGAUUGCGAACAAGCUGAGAGUCAAGUCACAUCUUAUGAAGAAUGUACUUGGCAGUUUAAAAAAAGGGAGUAUCCACCCGUCAACAGAUUUGGAAUUAUUGUGAGCAUCACGCGUUUGUUUCGUAUUGUGAACCUCAACAGGUAGAGGAAGUGCUCGAUGAUGAGGAUUGGCUUAUGGCCAUGCAUGAAGAACUUAACAACUUCGAGCGUAACCAAGUCUGGGAUUUAGUGCCAAGACCAACAGAGGAACAUAAUGUCAUCGGGACCAAAUGGAUAUUCAAAAACAAGCAAGAUGCCAAUGGGAUCGUGAUUCGAAACAAGGCAAGAUUGGUGGCUCAAGGCUACUCCCAAGUCAAGGGUAUCGACUACGGUGAAACCUUUGCCCCUGUUGCUCGUCUAGAAUCUAUUCGCAUGUUGCUUGCAUUUGCUUCUCAUCAUAAUUUCAAAUUACAGCAAAUGGAUGUGAAAAGUGCCUUUCUUAAUUGUCCUUUAAAUGAGUUGGUCUACGUGAAACAACCCCCGGGAUUCGAACAUCCCAAGCUCCCCAAUCAUGUGUACAAACUUAAUAAGGCACUCUAUGGCCUUAAACAAGCCCCACAUGCGUGGUAUGAGUAUCUUACUGAGUUGUUACAAGAUUGUGGGUUUGAAAUUGGGAAGAUAGAUCCCACUCUUUUUACUAAGAGGGUUAAAGGGGAUUUGUUCAUAUGCCAACUAUAUGUUGAUGAUAUUAUCUUUGGUUCUCCUAACAUUUCCUUCAAUGAAGAAUUUGCUGCACUAAUGACCGAGAAAUUUGAGAUGUCCAUGAUGGGAGAGUUGAAGUUCUUCCUCGGUUUCGAGAUUAAACAAGGCCUAGAAGGGAACUUCAUCAAACAAGCCAAGUACACUCAAUACAUGCUCAAAAGGUUCGAGCUUGAAGAUGUCAAGCCGGUCAAGUUCCCCAUGCCAACAAGAUGCAAGCUUGACAGUGAUCCCAAUGGUAAAGCAGUGGAUCAAAAGGUAUAUCGCUCCAUGAUUGGAUCCCUCCUUUACCUUUGUGCAUCUAGACCAGAUAUUAUGUUGAGUGUAGGGAUAUGUGCACGGUUUCAAUCUGCACCAAAAGAAAGUCAUUAUAUGGCUGUUAAGCGAAUCUUUCGAUAUUUGGCUCAUACCCCAAACUUUGGCCUAUGGUAUCCCAAAGGAGAAAACUUCAACCUAGUAGGCUAUUCUGACUCAGAUUGGGCAGGAGAUUGUGUGGAGAGGAAGUCAACUUCUGGAGGAUGCCAAUUCCUUGGUCGCUCACUGGUAAGUUGGUCUUCAAAGAAGCAGAAUUGUGUCUCACUAUCAUCCACCGAAGCUGAGUAUGUGGCAGCUGCAAGUUGUUGUGCACAAUUGCUAUGGAUGAGGCAAACUUUAAAGGAUUACGGUGUCACUUGUGACAAAGUGCCUCUUCUAUGUGACAAUCAAAGUGCUAUCAAUAUUUCCCUCAACCUAGUGCAACAUAGCAAGACCAAGCAUAUUGAUAUUCGCCAUCACUUCAUUCGUGAACAUAUCAAGCUAGGUGAUAUUAAGGUUCACUUCAUCCACACAAAAGAGCAACUUGCAGAUAUUUCACUAAGCCCCUAGAUGAAGCAAGGUUUCGGGAGUUAAGGCAUGAGCUAAAUAUCAUUGAUUCAAGUAAUGUGGAUUGAAGCUAGGCACGUUGCACCUUACUAUGCAUUCUAUCUUAUUCUAGAUGUAGGCAUGGACAUAGGGGGAGUGUUGUUCUCUCAAUGAACUCUUCCUCCCCCCAUUAUGCAUAAAUUGAUCUAGUCUUUCACUUUAGCCAUUACCAAAUGGCACUUGUGCUUCAAAGACGAGCGUUGGUCAUGAACCCAAGGAUAAUUCUUCGCGGUGUCAUACCUUUGUCUCAAACAUAGGUGGCCUCGGCCACCGCCCCCACCUUUCUCUCAUAUGGAAGAAAGGAUACAAAAUGACAAGUCAGUAUAUCUUGCUGGUGCUAUCUUCUUAUUUUCACUAACUUGUCAUUUGCCCACGUAUUUCUCAUCUCCUAUGUCUGUGUGUGACAUUUGCAGCGGUACUACCGCCAGGGGUAGCGGUACUACCGCCAGGACCCCAGCGGUACUACCGCCAGGGGUAGCGGUACUACCGCCAGGAUCCCAGUCUACCACGACCUAACUAGGACUUUUUAGGGCUGUCUCAAGGGAGAGCGGUACUACCGCUAGGACCCCAGCGGUACUACCGCUGCAGGCAGCGGUACUACCGCCAGGUAGCGGUACUACCGCCAGGACAAAAGCGGUACUACCGCUGGCCCGUACCCCUUGGGCUAUAUAAAGGAGGGGGAGCCCGUUUUUUCUUGCCUCUUUCUUCUUCCUCGUGGCUCCUCCCUCCCCAACCCGGAACUCCCCCUAUUUGGAUAUCUAUCUAUGGAGCCCCUUCUCUCCGUUGAGUUGGAGGGUUUGCUCCACUUCUCCUUCCUCCACCAAGUGCCAUGGACUCCGGUAAAGCUCCUCCCUUUAUUCUCUUGGUUGAUGUUUUCUUGUUCUAGGGUUAGGAGCAUUGGUGAUCUGGAUCCAUGUCUAUGGUAUUGUGCUUUGUUCUUGGAUGGCAUGAAGGAGAUAUUCGAGGGGAGUGUAGGUCCUAUGACUCAUUGCCUUUAUAUUGCCAUGCCCUAGGUUCUUCAUGUUUUAGAUCAAGCACUUCUUCUAUUUUGGAUUAAAUCUAAAACUUGAAUCCUCUUGACUAGGCAUGUCUUUAUUUAGAUGAUUCUUGUGAUCCUCAUGUGUUUAGGGCUGUGGUGGUGUUCUUGGUGAUUAUACACAGUACCCAUGGCCCUCGUAAAUCCAAUCUAGUCGUUUCUAUGGGUCCUUUUUCAUAUUCAGAUCUGAAAGUCAACCCCCUAGCGGCACUACCGCCAGAGGUAGCGGUACUACCGCUAGGACCCAUGGCCCUUGUAAAUCCAAUCUAGCCGUUUCUAUGGGUCCUUUUUCAUUUGCUUGGCAAUGUGAGUUUACUUUUAUGCCUCUUUUUGUUCAUUGCCUUGAUUGCUUUUGUUGCUCUUUUUCGGUGUGUGUCUUGUGUGCCACAGGUGGUGCUCACCGCUCGAACCCCCCAUGGGACACCCAGUCGAAACAUUAUUGCAAUCCAGAGGCUCUAGAGGGCUCCGCCACUUCCGGUCUGCAACCCUAAAAGAAUUCUUUCAAGAAGACAGCUCACAAGGACAAGGGGGUCAACGUUCGCACUAUGCCCCCUAAGGACUUUCUGCGGUUCCGCACCAAAAAUCACUAUCUCCAAGAGAAGGCUGUGAUCAAGGAUGUCGAGCAUGUUUGGUCAACGGAUCACUGCAGGAUCUAUCGCGACAUCAUCAAGCACUUCAAGAAGAGUUUUGUUCCAGUUCAGUGGAUUGACUUGGCUCACCUUCAGCGGAACCUGGAUUACUUUGGUGACGCUCUCUACUUGAUUGACAAGCUUGGCAUUAAGGAGAUCAUCUCCUUCAAGAAAGACUUUGAUCUAGAUGUUGUCGCCCAAUUCUAUGUCACUGUUCACUUCUCGCCUGAUGACGAGCGCACCAUGGUUUGGAUGACUGGUACUCAGAAGAUGACAGGUUCCUGGCGUGAAUUCAUGGCGUUUCUCAAGGUCGACUUUCAGGGAGCUGACACUCCAAUUGGGUCGCGUCCUCAUGCUCCAGCUUCCACUGAUAGGGCCCCCGCCAAGGACAGGCUGCAACAACUUUAUGUGAAUAAAGGUGUGCUACCCAAGCAUCUGGAUAUCAUGCAUCGGAUCUUCCGCAACACCCUUUUCCCUCGCAUUGGCAAUUUCGACGAGGUGCAUGGUUCUCUGGCUGAGAUGCUUCUACUUUGUGAGGAGGCUAUGACUAAGGAGUCUGCCCCUCUCGAUAUUUCUGACGUGAUGUUCACUGAGCUCUGGAACUGCAUCAUGAUGCGCAAGGUUCCCAUCUACGGGCCCUACUUGUUUGCCUAUAUUCGCCAGAAGUGGCACGACACCUAUUUGCUUGAGGAGUUCCACCUUCAGGCUAGUUACUUUGUGCACGAUCCUACCAGGCUCCGUAUGAAGGACAAAUGGGCCAACCCAUCAACUUCAUCUCAGCACAUGGACACUGACAUAGAGACUGCUGCUGACAGAGGCACCGCUUCUCAGUCCCGCCCUUCUGCUAUGCCAUCUUGGGCAGUGAAACUACAGGAUAAAAUGAAGACUCUCUUCUGUAUGUAGGCUAAGGGACAGUAUCAGACUCAUGUGGCCUAUAAGGAGAACCGUCAGAGGCACAAGCGUGUCCUGAGGACACUUGAUGUUGAGAUCUCCAGCGGCUCAGAGGACGACAUCACUCCAGAGUCUGCUUGGAUGCGGGCUCAAGGUUAUCAGUGGUCUGAUGCAGAGGAGGAGGAGGACAAUGAGGAGGAGCAGGACGAUCCGGAUGCCACGGACGGGUCUGGGGAUGAUGAGGAUGAGGAGUGACCACCUGUGUCUUUAGGUGUGCCCCUUUUUGAUGUCUUGUGCCAAAGGGGGAGAGAGUCUAGGAGCUGGAUUUGAGAGUUGAACUUUGCUUAGCUUUGCUUAUCUUUCGUGUUUGCUUUGGACUUAAUUUGCUUUUAUUUGCUAUCUUUGCUUUGUGUGAUGUGAGACUUGAACUAGUGUGAGAUUUAUUUCCAUCAUAUGCUGUGAGUCAUAUGCUCCUUAUUUUUAUAUAUCUCUAUCUUUUUGUUCACAUAUUAUUCACUAUGCAAAUCCGGUAUUGUCAUCAAUCCACCAAAAAGGGGGAGAUUGUUAGGGCAUAGUUUAUGCCUAAGUAAUUUUGGUGAUUGAUGACAGUACCGCAAAGGACUAAUCGUGUGUGUUAAGAAUUCAGAUAACACAUGCCAACGGCACAAGACGACUCGCCCCCUCUUUCCAUGGAACAGAAGCUCGGUGUACUCUACGAUUCUCCUUCUUUGAGUCAUAGGAAUGCCCUACUAUUAAGAGGGGACCCGUAGUGGAAAGGUUUGGGUGCAAUCAAUUUUGCACGCACACACUUUAUCUCCUUUCCCCUUGCCAACAACUUUGGAGUGGCUCCCGCCUUUGUGUUUAUCUCAUCUAAGCAAAUGGUCCCUCAGCGGUAGUACCGCUGUGCCUAGCGGUAGUACCGCUAGCCCUAGCUGUAGUACCGCUGGAGUGCUAGCGGUAGUACCGCUGCAGCCAGCGGUAGUACCGCUAGCUGGUGGUAGCACUGCCCCUGGUCAGCGGUAGUACCGCUCCAGGAGCUUAGUACCACCUUCCUAGCGGUUGUACUUCGAUGGACCUUUUUGCAAAUACUUUCUUGGCGGUGGUUGGCCCGGUAGUGCCUAUGCACUACCAUGGGCCCAACGGUAGUACCGCUGCAGCCAGUGGUAGUACCGCUGCAGCCAGUGGUAGUAGCGGUAGUACCGUUGCAUCCAGCGGUAGUACCGCUAGGCACGGGCUGUGAGUGGGAAAACGGUUGGAUUCCCCCCCCCCACUAUAUAAGGGGUUCUUCUAGCUGUGGAACCUUAUCUCUUACCCUCCCAAGCUCCAUUGUUGCUCCCUAAGGUCAAAAGUUCCCGAUCUCUCUCCCUAGCCAAUCAAACUUGUUGAUUCUUUAGGGAUUGGCUGAGAAGGCCUAGAUCUACACUUCCACCAAGAGAAAAGUUGAUUCCCCCACCAAUCCCUUGCGGAUCUUAUUACUCUUGGGUGUUUGAGCAUCCUAGACGGUUGAGGUCACCUCGGAGACACAUUCCAUUGUGGUGAAGCUUCGUAGUCUUGUUGGGAGCCUCCAGGCUUUGUGUGGAGUUUUCCCCAACCUUGUUUGUAAAGGUUCGGUUGCCGCCUUCAAGGGCACCUAUAGUGGAAUCACAGUACCUUGCAUCGUGUGAGGGCGUGAGGAGAAUACAGUGGCCUUAGUGGCUUAGUGGGGAGCAUUGUGCCUCCACACCACUCCAACGGAGACGUACUUCCUGUGAAAGGGAAGGAACUUCGGUAACACAUCCUCGUCUUCAUUGGUUCCACUUGUGGUUAUCUCUAACCUUUACUUUGUGUAUGCUUAUGUUGUUGUCUAUCUCUUACUUGUCUUAGUAGCUCUUGUUGUUAGAUUCAUUACGGUUCACCCCAUUUUUGCUAUUAUUGUGAACCCAUAUGUUGUUUACCCUAACUUGCUAAGAUUAAUUAAAAAGUGGUCGUUGCCUAUUCACCCCCCUCUAGUCAACCAUAUCGAUCCUUUCACGCGUCCACCGUGUGGCUUGGCGUUCCGCUGCUUCUUCGCAGAUAGCUUUGGCGCGGUGGCGACCGGACAAGGUGGGGUAAAUCUGAGGCGGUGGCACGGAGGCGAAGGCGAAAUUGGGGACCGUGGUGGAGUCGCCGACGGCUCCGGCGAGGUGGGUCAGACCAUCAGCGACGAAGGAGGAGGACACGGUGGGUUCAUCGCAGUCGGCCAUGGCGGUUGAGGGUAUCGGGCACAAGACAAACGAGUGACAAGCAGGUGGGCGGGCGAAAGCCGGAUGAAGGUAGUUGGAUAGGUUGCACGCGACCAACCGUUUUACACAUCCUGUAGGUGGAGAUAUAUAUUUGCAUCUCGAGGUGUUUUAUUUUACAUCUCCGGGAGGCGGAGAUGCAAAUUGCAUGUCGAGGCAACACCACCGCCUCACCGAUGACGAGUAGGGACUAAAUCUUAACUGAAAACCUCACCUACUACCAUUGGUAUGUGUGGGGACUUCGACUUACUAGUCGAGAAUCGCCGUGCUCAGUGAUCCCAGAGAUCAAUGCUCACCGAACACAGAUACCGAAUAAUAGAGUCUUACAUCCAAGUACUGAUUAUUACAACACAUGAUCGAAGUGUCAAGUUCACAAGACAGGGCUUAAGGCCAAAUCACUCGGAUACACUAAUAGAGGAAAGCAAAGGGCUAAACGGGUGCCCAUGCCAUCAAGCCUACACCGACAGGCAUUCUGACUUGGAAGCGUCCUAGUUCGCAGGGGCGUCUCCGAAGACAUACUCAUCUCCAAACUCCGGUCCUUCCAUGUCUGGUCAAUAACAUAACCAGACGCAAGCCACUGAGUACUUUGAAUGUCCUCGCAAAUAGCCCACGAUAUAAUCAACGAAAGUGAAGGAUAACAAUAUCAUGCAUCUUUAGUGUAACUCACUUGGGUGGAAUGAUCAUAAAUAUGCAUCAAGUUAAAGAAUUACUUUUGAAGAACAGGUUACAUAUAUCAAUAUAUCCGUCGAGGGCUGAACCAUCUGGGUUCACCCUAUAUGCCAAGUCACCGAACUUGGUCAUAUCAUUGCUAUCAUAGCAAUACCUUUCUCAACAGCACACACACACUUGGUUUAUGCGGAAACAACUAGACGUAGUUUAAGCAGGAUUACCCAACUAUCCUUGACCAUGGACAUGGCUAUUUGAAUAGUUUACACUCUGCACAGGUAGUACGCUGGACCCACGAGAUCCGAGAAACUUCCGUGUCAUCCACGACUUGCGGUAUAUCUCAUACCCGAGGUAAGUACCCGAUCAAUGCCUUUCCCCUGACGAUACUAGACAAAGAGGUCCACUCGAUUGGUACCCAACCCACAUGUUGUACAUCUUACGAGCACCAACUCUGGACUGUACCAACCAUGCGGGGACCAAUAGUGUGACUGGAACUCAUAAAAAUGGCAUAGUCGUCCUACCCGGGACGACCCCAUCACGAGAGUGACCACACAUCACUCCCGCCACUAGUAAUGUGGCUCUUUGCUAGCACCGACCAGAGUAAUUAACAUAGCCCCGUCCCAUAAGGGUUAAGGUGGUCGUACUGGUAAGGUUGGGACGGUCGACACAUCACAAAUCUAUUCCCAUUUCCAAAACCAUACUCACACAAAUACCGGGUGCAUCACUUCAGAAAAAGUGACCACCUAACUCAUCAUCACCCUCGAGCAUUAGUGGCACCCGACGGGGUUUUCAUAAACUCUUGCUUUAUGUCAUUAACAUGCUCAGGAUAAUACUACUUCUAUCUUUACUUGUCAACAUGGUACUAGCAUGACCCUCAAGGGGUAGAGUCAAGCUCAAUGCAGGUGCUCCGGGGGAGCCUUCGGUAUAAUCAUAUCAAAUGAUUACCGGCAUUUAUGAUCAUAUGCAACAGGAAUACUUGCUAUUUUAACAUGCAAAGUAACAUAUGCUCAGUCAUGGUCAAAGGGCUGCUUGCCUUGGUCAGCUAAGUAUCCGGGGUCUUCGAGGUCUUCCGCUCCGAUUCCCUCGUCACACGGAUUUUCUAUCGUCAAUAAAACAGUAAAUAAGAAAUAGCUCACACAGAAACAGACCAAACAGAAGCAAAACUAUUACUGAUAAAUCUAAGGUAUCAUUUAAAAAAUAUUUGCCUUAGUUUUCCUUGAAGGAAUAUUUUUGAAAUCAACCAAACAGAAGCAACACUAUUUCAAUCUAGUCCUUUUUAUUAAUAUAAAAUAGAAUAGUUGUUGGAAAAAUUCUCCCAAACAUAUUAUUAAAUGCUACACAUUUUUAGAAAAAUAAUAGUGGAAGAAUUAUAUUUUUAUACUGGUUAAUUGUUUUUAUAAACAUCUUAGAAACCAGGGUUUAAAAAGAAAAGAAAACACAGGCUAACUCCCGGCCUGGCUCGGCCCAGAGCUGGGCUGGCCAUGGCCAGCCGACGCGCGCGCGCCGUCAGGUUUGAACCUGACGCGCGGGGCCCUGUGGUCAGCGGCCGAGGUCAGCACGGGGGGGGGGGGGGCUGGGCCACCGACAGGNNNNNNNNNNNNNNNNNNGAGGCUAGGCCACCGACAGGUGGGGCAUAGCCUGUCGGGGUCGUCUCCUACCUCUGGCCAAAUAGGAGGAGGACGUCGACGAGGUUGCCAACGCGCUCAUGCCCCAACGAGCACUGGAAUGGGUUCACCUUGUUGCCGCCUACCUGUUGGUGGUCGAAACAACGACGGGGAGGCAUGGGUUCGCCAGCGACGAGGAGGCCGUGGCGGAGGAGCUUCAGGAGGUGGUUGAGGGGGUGGCUAGAGACACAGAAAAGCUCGGGCGAGUUGGGGGAAAGCUUCCUGGGAUCGAGGGGGUUAGUUUGGUGGUUCGAGGGGCGCAAGAUUNNNNNNNNNAGGGAUGCACGAGCCAUCGUGUAGCCGGAGAUCGACCGGAGCUCCGAGGUGGAGGGGCCUCAGUCGAUCUCGAGCACCGGGGCUCUGCUAGUUUGCUGGGGUGGCUAGGGAGGUACUAGUGAUUGUGGUGAAUCUAUCUGAGGGGUGCUGGAGCGAGGGGGGUGGCUAUUUAUAGGCCCGCGACGGUGAGCAGAUUCGAGAGCGCUGAUGACUCACCGUGCUGUGCAUGGGGGUACAGAGAGAGGCUAGGUUCAAAACCACGGUCUCAGGACGUGGUUUUGGACUGCCCGAACCAUCUGAAGUAGAGAGAGAGAGGGGAGUCAAGCAUUCGUGGCCGCGCAACCUUGGCCGGUUGUGGUGCGCGCGGGCACGCGUCGCGCGAGCUCUAGCGCGGGGGAGGAGGGGCCCUGAGGCUUGCUCGACGCAGAGGGGUUGUCGGGGAAGAGGUUGGACAUCUCGGGGGAGGCUGGAACUGGCUUAGGGCGUCGCCCCCACCUCGGUAACUCCCUGUAGCACGCCCAGAGCGCAGUUUUGGCAUGCCACGGCAUGCUGGUGUGCUCUGAGGCACUUUGGACGCGUCUAGCAUGUCCUGGCACUGGCUGGGGGUGUGGCUAGCCGUUUGGUUCUUGUGGGAGCUUCAGCUGGUCAAAGGAGGCUAGAAAUACUGGUGCUGUCAGUCAUGAACUGAGAUCUAAAUUGGGGUUUUUGGCCUUUCUACUUUGAACGAGUGAGGGGCCAGUUGACUGGGGUUAGACACAGGUGCUGGCCACUUAAUCUAUGAGUUUGAAGCAAAGGGGUUUGGUUUAGCUGUGGCUAAGGUGGCUUUUUCCUAUCUGUCAGAAGGUGUUCGACAGUGGCUUAAGUGGGUUGCACCCCACCACUGGUGCUGCAACUUAACAGGUUUGGGUUUGGUGGUAAACCAUGGAGUCUCACGAAUUUUGAGCUCCAAAGGACAAGUUUAGCUUUGUAAACUUGAAAAUACUCCAAUAUGACCAUAUCUGUCCCUUCCAAAGGGAGUGUGGGCAAACUCAGUCCCACAAAUCCCAUUUUUGGUGUGGAACCCUCAUUUGAGGUAUUAGGCACUCGUGCAAAGUUUCAGCAUCAUUGGACAAACUUUGCUAUGUAGAGUUGCUCUAACUUGAUUCUGGAAAGACAGGGUUUUAGGGUUAUUUGGGGUCCUUAUUCACCUUUGAUCAAGGAGAAACUUUAUGUGUAUAGCAAACAAGGCUUAGGGAUAUCACUCGAAUUUUCUUGGAAUUUAUUGAGAAUAUUUCCUUUGGAAAUAUUUGAAAAUGCCAAAACAGACAAAAAUAGCUUUCAUACUUUUAUUCAAAAAAAUAUAAUAUAAAAUGGGGUUUAAAAUCCUAUGUAUGGAAAAUAUAUGUCCUUCUGAUCCUCUCUAAAUUUAAUCAGAUUUUUCUAAAGCAGAAAAGUAUUUUUCCAUGAUGGAAUACCAAUUCUGGCCUUAGAAAUGGACAGGUUAUUUAAUUAGGAAAAUAAUCACAAAAAUAAUUAUUUUUGUGGUUUUGAAAUAUAAAGAUAGGUAAAAAUUAGAUUACCAAAUAUGAGUAGAAGCACUGCUUGCUAUCAAGGACAUGUAGUGUAACUCAAGGUGGUUUUACCUUGGUCAGAAAUAAGCAAGGGUUUUUGGAAAUCAGUAUAAUACCAAAGACUUUAGGGUUUUAAUCCUCACAUGAUCAUGCAUACAAGCAUAACAUGUCAAUCAUGGCACUCACAACAUUAGUUUCGAAAAAGUUUUAACAAGCUCAGAAUUUCACAAUACAAACAAGUGAUAGCAAAAAUAGGGUGUGACAGGCCUAUCCCCCUUAUAAGACUCUCAUCCCCGAGAUUCCUAAGCUAGGUGCUAAAAAGGUCUGGAAACUCAGAUCGGAGAUAGUCUUCACGUUCCCAUGUAGCUUCGGCUUCGGUGUGGUUGCUCCAUUGAACCUUGAAAUACUUGAUAGUGCGCCUCCUGGUGCAUCUUUCUGCUUCGUCCGGUAUGCGAAUGGGCCUCUCGCGGUAGGUGAGAUCAGACUGAAGGUCAAUGGCCUACUGAUCAAUGUCCUUGCAAGGAUCAGAACGACUUGGCGCUUGGAGACACUUCCGAAGUUGUGACACGUGGAAAACAUUGUGCACACCCGAAAGUUCCGUAUGUAACUCCAACUGAUAAGCGACCUCUCCGCGCCUUGCCGUGAUCUUAAAUGGCCCAAUGAACCUUGGAGCGAGUUUCCCCUUAACGCGGAAACACUUGGCUCCCUUGAGAGGUGUGACAUGGAGGUACACUAGGUCUCCGAGAUUGAACUCCACAUCACUGCGGCAAGAGUCCGCAUAACUCUUUUGUCGUGACUUGGCUGCCUUCAGAUUUUCUUGGACUAGUUGCACCUUCUCUUCUGCCCUUGCAAAACUUCUGGUCCAAAAAUCAGCCUGUCUCCGGUUUCAGACCAGUUGAGCGGGGUGCGGCAUUUCCUUCCGUACAGUACUUCGAACGGGGCCAUCUAGAGACUGGACUGGUAGCUGUUGUUGUACGAAAACUCAGCAAACGGCAGACAGUCUUCCCAUUUGGCUCCGUGCGCUAGGACGCAUGCGCGGAGCAUAUCUUCGAGUAUCUGAUUCACCCUUUCCGUCUGUCCUCCCGUUUGCGGGUGGAAGGCGGUGCUAAAACAGAGCUUGGUACCGAGGGCCUCUUGAAGUUUCCUCCAAAACCUUGAGGUGAAUUGCGUGCCUCGGUCAGAUACAAUCUCCUUGGGAACUCCAUGAAGGCUUACUAUGCGCUCGAUAUAGACACUAGCCAACUUGUUCCCGUCAUAAGUGGUGUUGACAGGGAUGAAAUCGGCCACUUUGGUCAAAUGGUCGACAACAACCCAUAUCGAGUUAUGGCCCUUGCUAGACCUUGGUAAGCCGGUAAUAAAAUCCAUCCCUACCUUGUCCCACUUCCAUUCCGGCACCUUGAGAGGUUGUAGCAGCCCUGCUGGUCGCUGAUGCUCAGCCUUAACUUGCUGACACACAAUGCACUUGGCCACAUACGUCGCAAUCUCCCUCUUCAUGUCGUGCCACCAGAAUCUUCCUCAGAGAUCUUGAUGCAUCUUGGUACCACCGGGGUGAAUGUAGUAGGGUGUAUUAUGUGCUUCCUGCAGGAUUAAAUCCUUGAGUUCAGCCUUGUUGGGUAUGCAUAAACGUUUCCCAAACCACACCACUCCUUGAUCAUCCUCCAAGAACCCUGGGGCCUUGCCUUCUUGAAUCUUCUUCUUGAUACCUUCAAUGAUCUUGUGACCCUUCUGGGCUCCCUUGAUGUCAUCUUGUAGCGUUGGUUUGACUUCGAGGUUAUCUAGGAAUCCAGAUUCCACUAGUUCCAACCCGAAGUUCUCCAAUUCUUCAUAUAAGGCGGGCAACCUUUCCUUAAGCAUGACGUUUAAGGUGCUGGUCUUACGGCUCAAGGCAUCAGCCACUACGUUUGCCUUACCGGGGUGAUAUUGAAUGCUGAGGUCGUAGUCCUUGAUUAACUCCAACCAUCUCCGUUGCCUCAUAUUCAAUUCCCUUUGGGUAAAGAUAUACUUUAGACUCUUGUGGUCAGUGUAUAUUUCACACCGCUUCCCCAGAAGGUAAUGUCGCCAUGUCUUCAGAGCAUGCACUACUGCUGCCAAUUCGAGAUCAUGGGUGGCAUAGUUCUCCUCAUGCGGGCGCAGUUGCCGUGACAAGUAUGACACGGCUCUGCCAUCCUACAUUAGAACCCCACCUAGCCCGGUCCUUGAGGCAUCGCAAUACAUCACGAACUCCUUGCUGAUAUCUGGAGUGGCCAAUACCGGGGCGGUGGUUAGCCUCUUCUUCAAUUCUUGGAAGCUUGCUUCACAUUCCGGUGUCCAUUCGAACUUCUUGCCUUUCUUCAAGAGCUGAGUCAUAGGUCGCGCGAUGCGAGAGAAUCCUUCUACGAACUUGCGGUAGUAUCCCGCGAGUCCGAGGAAGCUCGUGACCUCCUUCACGUCGAUUGACGAUUCCCAGUUGGUUACCGUGGUAAUCUUAGAGGGAUCAACUGCCAAUCCACUUGCUGUCAUGGUAUGACCCAGGAAUCCAACUUUGUUCAGCCAAAACUAGCAUUUGCUGAACUUGGCAUACAGUUGGUGCUCUCGAAGCUUCUCCAAUACUAACCUCAAGUGUUGCUCAUGCUCUUCUUCAGACUUGGAAAAGAUUAAUAUGUCAUCAAUGAAUACGACGACAAACUUGUCUAGGUAUUCCAUGAAGACCUUAUUCAUGAGGUACAUGAAGUAAGCUGGGGCAUUAGUCAAUCCAAAGGACAUGACAGUGCAUUCGUACAGACCGUACCGGGUCACAAAUGCCGUCUUUGGUAUGUCUUCGGGUCGAAUCUUUAGUUGGUAAUAUCCAGAUCGGAGGUCGAUCUUGGAGAAUACCUUAACUCCAUUUAGUUGGUCGAACAAGUCUUCGAUCUUGGCGAGUGGGUACUUGUUCUUGAUCGUGACCUCAUUGAGAGAACGGUAAUCGACGCAAAGUCGGAUUGUCCCAUCCUUCUUGGACACGAAGAGAACAGGUGAUCCCCAAGGUGACGCACUCGGACAAAUAAAACCUUUCCUGAGUUGCUCAUCCAGUUGCUUCUUCAAUUUUGCUAGCUCUUCGGAUCGCAUCCUGUAAGGCUUCUUAUAGAUAGGCCUUGACCCGGGCAUGAGUUCGAUGAUGAACUCGAUGUCUCGGUCAGGAGGCAUCCCUGGUAGCUCAUCGGGAAAGACGUCCGGGUAUUCACAGACUAUUGGCACUCAGUCGAGUCCUUCCUUUGACAGGCCGUUGACUCGUGGUACACGAGCGGGUACUGGCUUAGAGACAUACUUGACUUUGACCCCUUGGUCACUUGUCAUGGUAAUGGCCCUGUUGGCACAGUCCAAGAUGCUUUGAUGCUUGGCCAACCAGUCCAUGCCGAGAAUUACUUCUAGGCCUUGCGACUUAAGCACAAUGAGAUCCGCUAAGAAGCUCGUCCCAUUGAUAACUAUCCCGACCUUCCUACACCCUAGGUUGGUCCUCAAAACUGCUCCCGGGGUUUGAAUUGCCAUAUGCCCACGAAGCAGGGUAGGUUCUAGACCACAGUUUUCCGCAAACUUUUGUGUAACAAAAGAAUGUGAAUCACCACAAUCAAACAAUACUGUUGCUGGGGUAGAGUUGAUGAGGAACGUACCCAGAAUGCAGUCCGGGUCUUCCUGUGCCUCUUCUGCAGAAAUGUGAUUAAUCCGCCCCUUGUUGUGAUACUGCUGAUUGCGGGGAGCCUGGUUCCUGCCUGGUGCUCCUUGGCCUGGAUUUGGCGCAUUGGGGCGCGGAGCAUCGGGUUUCUUGUUGGGGCACUGCCUGGAAUAGUGCCCUGUUUGUCCACACCCGAAAUAGGUAACUUGUGCUGGAUGGUUGGUCUUUCCCCCACCGUUGUUUGGUGGAGUGCUUGCUGGCUUGGCGUUGACUUGGUGCUGAGGUUGGUAAUUCUGGCAAAAUGUCGGAUGCUUGUAUUGUUGCUGCUGAUAGUUGGGUCUUGCUGGGGCUGACUGCCAUGGUUGUGGAUUCGAGCUAAUCGUUCCUCCACUACCCAUUAGCUUGCGCUUACGGGUGUCGUCCAUUGCACGACGCUUGUCUUCCAACAUAAGAGCCUUAUUAACCAGGUCACUGAAGGUCCGACAUUUACAAACAACCAGGUGAUACUAGAGUGACUGCUGCAGUCCUUCCAUAAAACGUUCCACCUUGGAAGCCUCCGUGCUGACAUCUUCAGGUGCAUAUCUUGAUAGGAGGUUGAACUUCUGCAAAUACUCGUUGACAGAUCCACUGCCUUGCCUUAAGGCUCGGAAUUCUCGCUUCUUAAUGGUCAUCAUUCCUGGAGGAAUGUGAGCGGCGCGGAAUCCAUCCUUGAACACGGCCCAAGUGAUGACUGGCCUGGCUCGCAUGAUCUGAAAUCCAUCCCACCAGGCUCUGGAUGUGCCUCCGAGACAGUGAGUUGCAUAGAGGACUUUCUCGUUGUCAUCAGUGCACUUGACCAGCGCAAGAAGGUCUUCAAUAGUGCGGAUCCAGUUAUCGGCAUCCAAGGGUUCAGUCGUCUCCGCGAAUAUGGGUGGCGUAGUCCACAUAAACUCAGAGAGAGUUGAGCGACCGUUGCCAUUACCGUUCUGCGGCGGGUGGUUCACCAAGGUUUGAGCCAGCUGCCGGGUAGCGGCAUUGUUGGCUUGACGCUCCUCUCGAAGAGCUUGAAGGAACUGAGCCAUGGUCAAGCUUUCAGGGGGAGGUGGUGGCGGUGGAACAUCGUCUUGCUGCGCGUGGUGAUCUCCAGCUUGAGCUUCCCCUUCGGUUCCCUGCUGCUGUCCUGAAGAGGCAGAGCCGGGGUUGCCGAAGGUGCUGUUGCGACUUGCAUUCACCAUCCUGUCAGGGGAGCAGACAGGUCAAUAUUUGCCAAACUGGUUGUACUCUAAAGGGAUGACGUACUAGUAAAGGGGGGGGGGGGGUCUGGUGUUGUGCUAAUGGUUUGAAAAGAACUACUGCAUUAAAUUUUAAAACAAGUGAUGUAGUCGCUCACAAGCUGCAUAAGGCAGAAUGCGACUUGCAUCCAACAGGUUCACACAACGCCCGGGGUCAUAAAAUCCUGAUACAAGAACUCCUAUGCUCGGUACAUCCUACGCCGGCUCUAUGGGAUCUUCAUCUUCAUCUUCCUCUCUAUCUUCAUCUUCAUUAGUGCUUCCCUUCCUCGAGGGAGUAGGGGAAGGAAGCGGACCAUCUCGACGUCUCUUGGUUAGCGAGGUAACGAAGAGUUUGGUGUACUCUUCUGCGGUUAGGCAACGACUCUGAAGAGGAACGACCUGAAGCGGGGGUAUUCCUCCUCGGAAAGAAAAUCCAGGUGAUAUUACGGGUUCUCCUUCUUUCUUCACCUUGCGGUUCUUCAUCUUCUCCAUACGAAGUAGGUCCUUGACUUGGUGCAGCUCUUGGUGGAUGCUAGUCGACUCCUUGAUCAAAAGAUGUGUCAAGGUGUCUGAGGAGAGACUAAAGUAGGUCUGAAACCUUAAUGGCGUCCCGUCCUCGGAUGAGGGGUUGAGUGUCCAACUCCCGUCUACCUCAUCUUUAACAAAAGGUAGGUGACAAGUAGCUGGCUCGUCCACCAUCUCAGGAAGGAUGUCGCGGAGUUGCACGAGUGCCUCUCAUGCUGCAGUCUCCACGGCCAACAUCAGAUCCUCCAUUUCUGGCCCUUCAAAGAACUAGCUAGUUGGGGAGUCGUUAGCCUUCACUAUCACGUCCACGUGAUACUCCUUGGUGUCGGCGUUGACCCAGUGUUCGUGAUAGAGGAAGAUGGGCGUGCGACGCACUUGACACUUCUCGAGGCUACACUCAAAAGCAGAGGAAAGCCCGUUUCCAGAAGCAUCUCGGGUACGACGGUCAUCUACAAGGUGUAGAGGAGAGGGUUAGAAAUAUGUAGUGGGUGCGGUUCUCGGUCAAUCUAUGUGCACUAAUCGUUUCGGUUAUCGUCCAUGCUACCUAAGGCUGUUGGAAAUAUCCCUAGAGGAAAUAAUAAAUUAGUUAUUAUUAUAUUUCUUAGUUCAUGAUAAUCGUUUAUUAUCCAUAAUAUAAUUGUAUUGAAUGAAGACUUAUAUACAUGUGUGGAUACAUAGACAAAACACUGUCCAUAGCAAGCCUCUAGUUGGCUAGCUAGUUGAUCAAAGAUAGUCAGGGUCUUCUGAUUAUGCACAAGGUGUUGUUGCUUGAUAACUGGAUCACGUCAUUAGGAGAAUCACGUGAUGGACUAGAUCCAAACUAAUAGACGUAGCAUGUUGAUCGUGUCAUUUUGUUGCUACUGUUUUCUGCGUGUCAAGUAUUUGUUCCUAUGACCAUGAGAUCAUAUAACUCACUGACACCGGAGGAAUGCUUUGUGUGUAUCAAACGUCGCAACGUAACUGGGUGUCUAUAAAGAUGCUCUACAGGUAUCUCUGAAGGUGUUCGUUGAGUUAGUAUGGAUCGAGAGUGUGAUUUGUCACUCCGUGUGACGGAGAGGUAUCUCGGGGCCCACUCGGUAAUACAACAUCACACACAAGCCUUGCAAGCAAUGUGACUUAAUGUAAGUUGCGGGAUCUUGUAUUACGGAACGAGUAAAGAGACUUGCCGGUAAACGAUAUUGAAAUAGGUAUACGGAUACUGACGAUCGAAUCUCGGGCAAGUAACAUACCGAAGGACAAAGGGAAUGACAUACGGGAUUAUAUGAAUCCUUGGCACUGAGGUUCAAACGAUAAGAUCUUCAUAGAAUAUGUAGGAUCCAAUAUGGGCAUCCAGGUCCCGCUAUUGGAUAUUGACCGAGGAGUCACUCGGGUCAUGUCUACAUAGUUCUCGAACCCGAAGGGUCUACACACUUAAGGUUCGACAUUGUUUUAUGCGUAUUUGAGUUAUAUGGUUGGUUACCGAAUGUUGUUCGGAGUCCCGGAUGAGAUCACGGACGUCACGAGGGUUUCCGGAAUGGCCCGGAAACGAAGAUUGAUAUAUAGGAUGACCUCAUUUGAUUACCGGAAGGUUUUCGGAGUUACCGGGAAUGUACCGGGAAUGAGGAAUGGGUUCCGGGUGUUCACCGGGGGGGCAACCCACCCCGGGGAAGCCCAUAGGCCUUGGGGGUGGCGCACCAGCCCUUAGUGGGCUGGUGGGACAGCCCAAGAAGGCCCUAUGCGCCAUAGGAAGAUAAUCAAAGAGAAAAAANNNNNNNNNNNNNNNNNNNNNNNNNNNNNNNNNNNNNNNNNNNNNNNNNNNNNNNNNNNNNNNNNNNAUGCGACUAGGAAAGAAAAUCAAAGAGAAAAGAAAAGGAGGAGGUGGGAAGGGAAGGAAGGACUCCCACCCACCAAACCAAGUCCAACUCGGUUUGGGGGGGGAGCCUUCCCCCUUGGACUCGGCCGACCCCCUUGGGGCUCCUUGAGCCCCAAGGCAAGGUCCCCUCCCUCCCACCUAUAUAUAUGGAGGUUUUAGGGCUGAUUUGAGACGACUUUUCCACGGCAGCCCGACCACAUACCUCCACGGUUUUACCUCUAGAUCCCGUUUCUGCGGAGCUCGGGCGGAGCCCUGCUGAGAUUAGAUCACCACCAACCUCCGGAGCGCCGUCAUGCUGCCGGAGAACUCAUCUACCUAUCCGUCUCUCUUGCGGAUCAAGAAGGCCGAGAUCGUCGUCGAGCUGUACGUGUGCUGAACGCGGAGGUGCCGUCCGUUCGGCACUAGAUCGUGGGACUGAUCGCUUGACGGUUCGCGGGGCGGAUCGAGGGACGUGAGGACGUUCCACUACAUCAACCGAGUUCACUAACGCUUCUGCUGUGCGGUCUACAAGGGUACGUAGAUCGAACAUCCCCUCUCGUAGAUGGACAUCACCAUGAUAGGUCUUCGUGCGCGUAGGAAAUUUUUUGUUUCCCAUGCGACGUUCCCCAACAGUGGCAUCAUGAGCUAGGUUCAUGCGUAGAUGUCUUCUCGAGUAGAACACAAAAGUUUUUGUGGGCGGUGAUGUGCGUUUUGCUGCCCUCCUUAGUCUUUUCUUGAUUCCGCGGUAUUGUUGGAUCGAAGCGGCUCGGACCGACAUUACUCGUACGCUUACGAGAGACUGGUUUCAUCGCUACGAGUAACUCCGUUGCUCAAAGAUGACUGGCGGGUGUCAGUUUCUCCAACUUUAGUUGAAUCGGAAUUGACCGAGAAGGUCCUUGGAUGAGGUUAAAUAGCAAUUCAUAUAUCUCCGUUGUGGUGUUUACAUAAGUAAGAUGCGAUCCUACUAGAUACCCAUGGUCACCACGUAAAACAUGCAACAACAAAAUUAGAGGACGUCUAACUUGUUUUUGCAGGGUAUGCUUGUGAUGUGAUAUGGCCAACGAUGUGAUGUGAUAUAUUGGAUGUAUGAGAUGAUCAUGUUGUAAUAGUUAAUAUCGACUUGCACGUCGAUGGUACGGCAACCGGCAGGAGCCAUAGGGUUGUCUUUGAACUAACGUUUGUGCUUGCAGAUGCGUUUACUAUAUUGCUAGGACGUAGCUUUAGUAGUAAUAGCAUGAGUAGCACGACAACCCUGAUGGCGACACGUUGAUGGAGAUCAUGAUGAUGGAGAUCAUGGUGUGCCGCCAGUGACAAGAAGAUCGUGACGGUACUUUGGUGAUGGAGAUCAAGAAGCGCAUGAUGAUGGCCAUAUCAUGUCACUUAUGAAUUGCAUGUGAUGUUAAUCCUUUUUGCACCUUAUCUUGCUUAGAACGACGGUAGCAUUAUGAGGUGAUGUCUCACUAAAAUUUCAAGACAAAAUUGUGUUCUCCCCGAAUGUGCACCGUUGCGACAGUUCUUCGUUUCGAGACACCACGUGAUGAUCGGGUGUGAUAGACUCAACGUUCACAUACAACGGGUGCAAAAUAGUUGCACACGCAGAACACUCGGGUUAAGCUUGACGAGCCUAGCAUGUGCAGACAUGGCCUCGGAACACAUGAGACCGAAAGGUCGAGCAUGAAUCGUAUAGUUGAUAUGAUUAGCAUAGAGAUGCUUACCACUGAAACUACUCUCAACUCACGUGAUGAUCGGACUUUCUCGACUCACGUGAUGAUCGGACUUGAGAUAGUGGAUUUGGAUCAUGUACCACUCAAAUGACUAGAGAGAUGUACUUUUUGAGUGGGAGUUCUUAAGUAAUAUGAUUAAUUGAACUAAUUGUCAUGAACAUAGUCUAAUGGUCUUUGUGAAUUACGAUGUUGCUGGCGCUAUAGCUCUACUGUUUUUAUAUGUUCCUAGAGAAAAUUUAGUUGAAAGUUGAUAGUAGCAAACUUUGAAGAGGAUUGUCCUCGUUGCUGCGCAGAAGGCUUAUGUCCUUAAUGCACCACUUGGUGUGCUGCACCUCGAGCGUCGUCUGUGGAUGCUGUGAACAUCCGACAUACACGUUUCUGAUGACUACACGAUAGUUCAGUGCAAAAUACUUAAUGGCUUAGAAGCAAGGCACCGAAGACGUUUUGAAACGUCACGGAACAUAAGUGAUGUUCUAAAGAGAUGAAAUUGUGAUUUCAUGCUCGUGCCCUUGUUGAGAGUUACGAGACCUCCGACAAGAUUCUUUGUCCACAAAGUAAAGGAGAAAAGCUCAAUCGUUGAGCGUGUGCUCAGAUUGUCUGAGUACGACAAUCACUUGAAUCAAGUGGGAGUUAAUCUUCCAGAUGAGAUAGUGAUGGUUCUCCAAAGUCACUGCCACCAAGCUGUGAGAGCUUCGUGAUGAACUAUAACAUAUCAAGGAUAGAUACAAUGAUCCUUGAGCGGUUCGCGAUGAUUGACACUGCGAAAGUAGAAAUCAAGAAGGAGCAUCAAUAGUUGAUGGUUUGUAAAACCAGUAAGUUUCAAGAAAGGCAAGGGCUAGAAGGGAUACUUCGUGAAACGGGAAAACAGUUGCUGCACUAAUGAAGAGACCCAAGGUUAAACCCAAACCCGAGACUAAGUGCUUCUGUAAUGAGGGGAACAGUCACUGAGGCGGAGCAACUCUAGAUACUUGGUAGAUAAGAAGGCUGGCAAAAGUCGAAAGAAGUAUAUUUGAUAUACAUGAUGUUGAUGUGUACUUUACUAGUACUCCUAGUAGCAUGAGGGUAUUGGAUACCGGUUCGGUUGCUAAGUGAUUAGUAACACGAAAUGAAAGCUACGGCAUAAACGGAGACUAGCUAAAGGCGAGGUGACGAUACGUGUUGGAAGUGUUUCCAAGGUUGAUAUGAUCAAACGUCGCACGCUCCCUCUACCAUCGGGAUUGGUGUUAAACCUAAAUAAUUGUUAUUUGGUGCUUGCGUUAAGCAUGAACAUGAUUGGAUCGUGUUUAUUGCAAUACGAUUCUUCAUUUAAAGAGAAUAAUGGUUACUCUAUUUUCUUGAAUAAUCACCUUCAAUGGUUUAUUGAAUCUCGAUCGUAGUGUUACACAUGUUCAUGAUAUUGGUGCCAAAAGAUACGAGGUAAUGAUGGUAGUACCACUUACUUGUGGCACUGCCGCUUGAGUCAUGUUGGUAUAAAUUGCAUGAAGAGGCUCCAUGCUGAUGGAUCUUUAUACUCACUUGAUUUUGAAUCACUAGUGACAUGCAAAUCGUACCACAUGAGCAAGGCCUUGUUUUCAUUGAGAUGAAAUAAGAUAGUAACUUGUUGGAAGUGAUACAUUUUGAUGUAUGCAGUCCAAUGGGUGCUGAGGCACGCAGUGGAUAUCAUUAUGUUCUUACUUCAAUGACGAUUUGAGUAGAUACUAGAGUAUUUGCUUAAUGAAUCACAAGUCUGAAAUGUUGAAAAGUUCAAUUCUGUUUCGGAGUGAAGUUCGUCGUAACAAGAGGAUAAACUGUCUACGAUAUGAUCAUAGAAAUGAAUAUCUGAGUUACGAGUUUUGGUACGCAGUUAAGACAAUGUGGAAAUUGUUUCGCAGUUCAUGCUACCUAGAACAUCAUAGUGUGAUGAUGUGUGUGAACGUCAUAGCCACACACUAUUUGGUAUGGUGCAUGCUAUGAUGUCUCUUAUCGAAUUACCACUAUCGUUUAUGGGUUAAGCAUUAGAGACAACCGCAUUCACUUUAAAUAGGGCACCACGUAUUUCCGUUGAGAUGACACAAUAUAGACUGAGGUUUAGAGAAAUCUAAACUGUCGUUUCUUGAAAGUUUGGGGUUUGGACACUUAUGUGAAAAAGUUUCAGUCUGAUAAGCUCGAACCCAAAACGGAUAAAUGCAUCUUCAUAGGAUAUCCAAAAUAGUUGGGUACAUCUCCUAUCUCAGAUCCGAAAGGAAAGUGUUUGUUUAUAAAAACGGAUCCUUUCUCGAGGAAAGGUUUCUUUCGAAAGAAUUGAGUGGGAGGGUGGUAGAACUUGAUGAGGUUAUUGAACCAUCACUUCGACCAGUGUGUAGCAGGGCGCAGGAAGUUAUUCCUGUGGCGCCUACACCAAUUGAAGUGAAAACUGAUGAUGGUGAUCAUCGAGCAUCGGAUCAAGUUACUACAAGCCUCGUAGGUUGACAAGGUCGCGUACUACUACAGAGUGGUACGGUAACCCUGUCUUGGAGGUCAUGUUGUUGAGCAACAGUGAACCUACGAGUUAUGGAGAAAGCAAUGGUGGCCCCAGAUUCCGACAAAUGGCUGGAAGCCAUGAAAUCCGAGAGAGGAUCCAUGUAUGAAAACAAAGUGUAGACUUUGGAAGAACUACUUGAUGGUCAUAGGACUAUUGAGUAAAGAUGGAUCUUUAAAAGGAAGACAGACGAUGAUAGUGAUACGUCACUAUUAAGAAAAGCUCGACUUGUCGCAAAGAUGUUUCUGACAAGAUCAAACAGUUGACUAUGAUGAGACUUCCUCACUCGUAGCGAUGCUAAAAGUCUGUUAGAAUUAUGUUAGUAGUUGCUGCAUUAUUUAUGAAAUAUUGCAUGUAGGAUGUCAAAACAUUGUUUCCUCGACGGUUUCCUUGAGCAAACAUUGUAUGAGAUACAACCAUAAGGUUUUGUCGAUCCUAAAGAUACUAGCAAGUAUGCAAGCUCCAACAAUCCUUAAAUGGACUGGUGCAAGCAUCUCGGAGUUGGAAUAUACACUUUGAUGAGAUGAUCAUGGAUUUUGGGUUUGUACAAGGUUUAUGAGAAACUUGUAUUUCCAAAGAAGUGAGUGGGAGCACUAUAGAAUUUCUGAUAAGUAUAUGUAGUUGACAUAUUGUGGAUCAGAAGUAAUGUAGAAUUUCUGUAAAGCAUACAAGGUUGUUUGAAAGGAGUUUUCAAAGGAAUACCUGGAUUGAGCUACUUGAACGUUGAGCAUCAAAAAUCUAUGGAGAUAGAUCAAAAGCGCUUAAUGGAAGUUUCAACAAGAUGCAUGCCUUGACAAGUUUUGAAGGAGCUCAAAAUAGAUCAGCAAAGAAGGAGUUCUUGGUUGCGUUGUAAGGUGUGAAUUUGAGUAAGACUCAAAACCCGACCACAGCAGAAUAAAGAAAAUAGACAAAGGUCGUCUUCUAUGCCUUAGCCGUAGACUCUAAAGUAUGCCAUGCUGAGUACCGCACCUGAUGUGUGCCUUGCAGCAAGUCUGUUGAGAGGUACAGAGAGUGAUCGAUGAUUGAAUCACUAGCAGCGGUCAAAAUUUAUCCUUAGUAACUGAUGGACUAAGGAAUUUUUCUCGAUUAUGGAGGUGGUUAAAGAGUUCGUCGUAAAGGGUUACGUCGAUGUAAGCUUUGACACUAAUCCGAAUAACUAUGAGUAGUGAAACGGAUUCGUAUAGUAGAGUAGAUAUUUGGAGUAUUUCCGAAUAGCACAUAGUAGCAGCAUCUAUAAGAUGACAUGAAGAUUUGUAAAAGAACACAUGGAUCUGAAAAUUUCAGAACCGUUGACUAAAACCUCUCUCAUAAGCAAGACGUGAUUAGACCCCAUAACUAUAUGGGUGUUGGAUUCGUUGGAAUCACAUGGUGAUGUGAACUAGAUUAUUGACUCUAGUGCAAGUGGGAGACUGUUGGAAAUAUGCCCUAGAGGCAAUAAUAAAUUCGUUAUUAUUAUAUUUCUUAGUUCAUGAUAAUCGUUUAUUAUCCAUGCUAUAAUUGUAUUGAAUGUAGACUUAUAUACAUGUGUGAAUACAUAGACAAAACACUGUCCCUAGCAAGCCUGUAGUUGGCUAGUGAGUUGAUCAAAGAUAGUCAGGGUCUUCUGAUUAUGAACAAGGUGUUGUUGCUUGAUAACUGGAUCACGUCAUUAGGAGAAUCAGUGAUGGACUAGUUCCAAACUAAUAGACGUAGCAUGUUGAUCGUCUCAUUUUGUUGCUACUGUUUUCUGCGUGUCAAGUAUUUGUUCCUAUGACCAUGAGAUCAUAUAACUCACUGACACCGGAGGAAUGCUUUGUGUGUAUCAAACGUCGCAACGUAACUAGGUGACUGUAAAGAUGCUCUACAGGUAUCUCCGAAGGUGUUCGUUCAGUUAGUAUGGAUCGAGACUGGGAUUUGUCACUUCGUGUGACGGAGAGGUAUCUCGGGGCCCACUCGGUAAUACAACAUCACACACAAGCCUUGCAAGCAAUGUGACUUAAUGUAAGUUGCGGGAUCUUGUAUUACGGAACGAGUAAAGAGACUUGCCGGUAAACGAGAUUGAAAUAGGUAUACGGAUACUGACGAUCGAAUCUCGGGCAAGUAACAUACCGAAGGACAAAGGGAAUGACAUACGGGAUUAUAUGAAUCCUUGGCACUGAGGUUCAAACGAUAAGAUCUUCGUAGAAUAUGUAGGAUCCAAUAUGGGCAUCCAGGUCCCGCUAUUGGAUAUUGACCGAGGAGUCACUCGGGUUAUGUUUACAUAGUUCUCGAACCCGCAGGGUCUGCACACUUAAGGUUCGACGUUGUUUUAUGCGUAUUUGAGUUAUAUGGUUGGUUACCGAAUGUUGUUCGGAGUCCCGGAUGAGAUCACGGACGUCACGAGGGUUUCCGGAAUGCUCCAGAAAUGAAGAUUGAUAUAUAGGAUGACCUCAUUUGAUUACAGGAAGGUUUUCGGAGUUACCGGGAAUGUACGGGGAAUGACGAAUGGGUUCCGGGUGUUCACCGGGGGGGGGGGGGGCAACCCACCCCGGGGAAGCCCAUAGGCCUUGGGGGUGGCGCACCAACCCUUAGUGGGCUGGUGGGACAGCCCAAGAAGGCCCUAUGCGCCAUUGGAAGAAAAUCAAAGAGAAAAAAAAGGAGGAGGUGGGAAAGGGAAGAAGGACUCCACCUUCCAAACCAAGUUGGAUUCGGUUUGGAAGGGGAGACCUUCCCCCCUUGGCUCGGCCGACCCCCUUGGGGCCUCUUGAGCCCCAAGGCAAGGCUCCCCCUCUUCCCCCUAUAUAUACAGAUGUUUUAGGGCUGAUUUGAGACGACUUUGCCACGGCAGCCCGACCACAUACCUCCACGGUUUUACCUCUAGAUCGUGUUUCUGCGGAGCUCGGGCAGAGCCCUGCUGAGAUUAGAUCACCACCAACCUCCGGAGCGCCGUCACGCUGCAGGAAAACUCAUCUACCUCUCCGUCUCUCUUGCUGGAUCAAGAAGGCUGAGAUCAUCGUCGAGCUGUACGUGUGCUGAACGCGGAGGUGCCGUCCGUUCGGCACUAGAUCGUGGGACUGAUCGCGGGACGGUUCGCGGGGCGGAUCGAGGGACGUGAGGAUGUUCCAGUACAUCAACCGCGUUCACUAACGCUUCUGCUGUGCGGUCUACAAGGGUAUGUAGAUCGAACAUCCUUUCUCGUAGAUGGACAUCACCAUGAUAGGUCUUCGUGUGCGUAGGAAAAUUUUUGUUUCCCAUGCAACGUUCCCCAACAAAGGCUUCCUAUAGUCAGGAUGGCUCUGAUACCAGCUCUAUGGGGACUGCGACUUACUAGUCGAGAAUCACCGUGCUCAGUGAUCCCAGAGAUCAAUGCUCACCGAACAUAGAUACGUACCGAAUAAUAGAGUCUUACAUCCAAGUACCGAUUAUUACAACACAUGACCGAAAGGUCAGGUUCACAAGACAGGGCUUAAGUCCAAAUCACUCGGAUACACUAAUAGCGGAAAGCAAAGGGCUAAACGGGUGCCCAUGGCAUCAAGCCUACACCGACAGACAUUCUGACUUGGAAGCGUCAUAGUUCGAGGGGAGUCUUCGGAGACAUACUCAUCUCCAAACUCCGGUCCUUCCAUGUCUGGUCAAUAACAUAACCAGUGGCAAGCCACUGAGUACUUUGAAUGUACUCGCAAACAGCCCAUGAUAUAAUCAACGAAAGUGAAGGAUAACAAUAUCAUGCAUCUUUAGUGUAACUCAUUUGGGUGGAACGAUCAUGAAUAUGCAUCAAGUUAAAGAAUUACUUUUCAAGAAUAGGUUACAUAUAUCAAUAUAUCUGUCAAGGGCUGAACCAUCCGGGUUCACCCUAUAUGCCAAGUCACCGAACUUGGUCAUAUCAUUGCUAUCAUAGCACUACCUUUCUCAACACCACACACACAAACACUUGGUUUAGGCGGAAACAACUGGACGUAGUUUAAGAAGGAUUACCCAACUGUCCUUGACCGUGGACACGGCUAUUCGAAUAGUUUACACUCUACACAGGUAGUACGCUGGACCCACGAGAUCCGGGAAACUUCUGUGUCAUCCACGACUCGCGGUAUAUCACAUACCCGAGGUAAGUACCCGAUCAAUGCCUUUCCCCUGACGAUACUAGACAAAGAGGUCCACUCGAUUGGUACCCAGCCCACAUGUUGUACGUCUUACGAGCACCAACUCUGGACUGGACCAACCAUGCGGGGACCAACGGUGUGACUCGAAGUCAUAAAAUUGGCAUAGUCGUCCUACCCGACACAACCCCAUCACGGGAGUGACCACACAUCACUCCCGCCACUAGUAAUUUGGCUCUUUGCUAGCACCGACCAGAGUAAUUAACAUAGCCCCUUCCCAUAAGGGGUAACGUGGUCAUACUUUUAAGGUUGGGACGGUCGACACAUCAUAAAUCUAUUCCCAUUUCAGAAACCAUACUCACACAAAUACCGGGUGCAUCACUUCACCAAAAGUGACCACCUAACUCAUCAUCACCCUCGGGCAUUAGUGGCACCCGACGGGGUUUUCAUAAACACUUGCUUUAUGUCAUUAACAUGCUCAGGAUAAUACUACUUCUAUCUUUACUUGUCAACAUGGUACUAGCAUGACCCUCAAGGGGUAGAGUCACACGGAUUUUCUAUCGUCGAUAAAACAGUAAAUAAGAAAUAGCUCACACAGAAACAGACCACAAAAUCAUUUUAAAAAUGUUCUUUAUUACUGAUAAAUCUAAGGUAUCAUUUAAAAAUAUUUGCCUUAGUUUUCCUUGAAGGAAUAUUUUUGAAAUCAACCAAACAGAAGCAAAACUAUUUCAAUCUAGUCCUUUUUAUUAAUAUAAAAUAGAAUAGUUGUUGGAAAAAUUCUUCCAAACAUAUUAUUAAAUACUACACUUUUUUAGAAAAAUAAUAGUGGAAGAAUUAUAUUUUUAUACUGGUUAAAUGUUUUUAUAAAAUUUUUAGAAACCAGGGUUUAAAAAAAAAGAAAAAUGGGCUAACUCCCGGCUUGGCUCGGCCUAGAGCUGGGCUGGCCCAUGGCCAGCCGACAGCCUGCCCAGGCGCGCGCGCCGUGAGGUUUGAACCUGACGCACGGGGCCAUGUGGUCAGCGGCCGAGGUCAGCGCGGGGGAGGAGGUUGGGCCACCGACAGGUGGGGCACACCUGUCGGGGUCAUCUCCUACCUCUGGCUAGAGAGGAGGAGGAGGACGUCGACGAGGUUGUCCACGCGCUCAUGCCCCAACGAGCACUGGAAUGGGUUCGCCUUGUUGUCGCCUACCUGCUGGUGGUCGAAACAACGACGGGGAGGCAGGGGUUCGCCGGCGACGAGGAGGCCGUGGCGGAGGAGCUUCGGGAGAUGGCCGAGUGGGUGGCUAGAUACACGAAAAAGCUCGGGCGAGUUGGGGGAAAGCUUCCUGGGAUCGAGGUGGUUAGUUUGGUGGUUCGAGGGGCGCAAGAGCUGUCGUGUAGCCGGAGAUCAACCGGAGCUCCGAGGCGGAGGGGCCUCGGUCGAUCUCGAGCACCGGGGCUCUGCUGGUUUGCUGGGGUGGCUAGGGAGGUACUAGUGAUCGUGGUGAAGCUAUCUGAGGGGUGCUGGAGCGAGGGGGAGGGCUAUUUAUAGGCCCGCGACGGUGAGCAGAUUCGGGAGUACCGGUGACUCACCGUGGCGCGCAUGGGGGUGCAGAGAGAGGUUGGGGUCAAAACCAUGGUCUCAGGACGUGGUUUUGGACUGCCCGAACCAUCUGCAACAGAGAGAGAGAGAGAGAGAGAGAGAGAGAGAGAGAGAGAGAGAGAGAGAGAGGAGUCGAGCAUUCGUGGCCGCGCAACCUUGGUCGGUUCUGGUGCGCGCAGGCACGCGUCGCGCGAGCUCUAGCACGGGAGGAGGGGCCCUGAGGUUUUCUCGACGCAGAGGGGUUGUCGGGGAAGAGGUUGGACAUCUCGGGGGAGGCUGGAACUGGCCGAGGGCGUCGCCCCCACCUCGGUGACUCCCUGUAGCGCGCCCAGAGGGCAUGCUAACUGGUGCGCCCUGAGGCACUUUGGACGCGUCUAGCGUGUCCUGGCACUGGCUGGGGGUGUGGCUAGCCGUUUGGUUCUUGUGGGAGCUCCAGCUGGUCAAAGGGGGCAAGACAUACUGGUGCUGUCAGUCAUGAACUGAGAUCUAAAUUGGUAUUUUUGGCCUUUCUACUUUGAACCAGUGAGGGGCCAAUUGACUGGGGUUAGACACAGGUGCUGGACACUUAAUCUGUGAGUUUGAAGCAAAGGGGUUUGGUUUAGCUGUGGCUAAGGUGGCUUUUUCAUAUCUGUCAGAAUGUGUUCGACAGUGGCUUAAGGGGGUUGCACCCCACCACUGGUGCUGCAACUUAACAGGUUUGGGUUUGGUGGUAAACUAUGGAGUCUCACCAAUUUUGAGCUCCAAAGGACAAGUUUAAGUUUGCAAACUUGAAAAUACUCCAGUAUGACCAUAUCGGUCCCUUCGAAAGGGAGUGUGGUCAAACUAAGUCCCACAAAUCCCAUUUUUGAUGUGGAACCCUCAUUUGAGGUAUUCAGUAGCAGUGGGACAAACUCGUAGGCAAUGGAUCGGUGAUUUGUUGGAUGAGAUUCAUCAUGCAAUAGUUAUAACACAGAGAGAUAUGUGGCUAGCUCCCGAUCGUCAAUGUGAUGUAGGCAUGCAUUCCGUGUGUAGUCAUACGUGCUUAGGGAAAAGAACUUGCAUGACAUCUAUUGUCCAUCCCUCCCGUGGCAGCGGGGUCCAAAUGGAUACUACGGGAUAUUAAGGUUCUCCUUUUAAUAAAGAACCGGACUAACGCAUUAGCACUUGGUGAACACAUGAACUCCUCAAACUAUGGUCAUCAUCGGGAGUGGUUCCGGUUAUUGUCACUCCGGGGUUGCCGGAUCAUAACACAUAGUAGGUAACUACAACUUGCAAGAUCGGAUCUAAAACACACAUAUAUUAGAGACAACAUAAUAAGUUCAGAUCUGAAAUCAUGGCACUCGGGCCCUAGUGACAAGCAUUAAGCAUGGCAAAGUAGUAGCAACAUCAAUCUCAGAACAUAGUGGAUACUAGGGAUCAAUCCCCGUCAAAACUAACUCAAUUACAUGAUAGAUCUCAUCCUACUCAUCACCGCCCAGCGAGCCUACGAAUAGAUUACUCACGAACGAUGAAGAGGAGGCCGCGGCUAUAGGGCUUGUGGCCCACUGGCCCGUCCCCUCGGGUGGAUAUUUGCCCAGGUAUUUUUCAUAUUUCCCAGAAAUAUUCUCUGUAAAUUUUCAGGAUGUUCCGAGAACUUUCAUUUCUGCACAAAAACAACACCAUGGCAAUUCUGCUGAAAACAGCGUCAGUCCGGGUUAGUUCCAUUCAAAUCAUGCAAAUUAGAGUCCAAAACAAGGGCAAAAGAGUUUGGAAAAGUAGAUACAAUGGAGACGUAUCAAUGUCCUACUAGAAGUAGGAUUGGAGGAGGACUCCUAUAUCAACUCCCCCAAGCUUAAAACCUUGCUUGUCUUCAAGCAACUCAGUUGACAAACUGAAAGAGAAAGAAAAACUUUGACAAACUCUGUUUGAUCUUGUUGUUGCAACUAUGUCUAACUCAUAACCAGAAUUUCAGCAAGAUCACAAGUUAACCACAUAAGCAACUGACACAGAGGUCUCACGGUAAACUAAUAUCAAUGGCAUAAUCAGCUAGCGAGCAAAUAAUAAUGAGUUUCAGAUACCAACAAUUCAAUCAAAACAAGCAUGAAGCAAUAUGAAUAGGUGGUAUCUCGCUAGCUCUUUCUGAGACCGCAAAACAUAAAUGCACAGCACUUUCAAAGAUCAAGGGCUGACUAAACAUUGUAAUUCAUAGCAACGAAGAUCUAGUCAUAGUCAUACUCAAUAUCAAUCAAAAGCAAAGCAUAAAAAUGACAGAGGUGCUCUCUAAUUGGUGCUUAUAUAAGAAGAGGAUGACUCAACAGGAAAAUAAAUAGACAGGGCCUUCGCAGAGGGAAGCAUUGAUUUGCAGAGGUGCCAGAGCUCAAGCUUUGAAAACAGAGAUAAUAAUUUUGGGUGGCAUGCUGUCAUUGUCAACGCAAUGACCAAGAGUUCUCAAUAUCUUCCAUGCUACUCAUGCUAUAGGCGGUUCCCAAACAGAAAAGUAAAGUUUUAACUCCCCCACCACCAAUCAAUCACACUCCACGGCUAGCCGAAUCCUAGGAUACCGUCCAUACUAACAUCAAUACGGGGGGAGUCUUGUUUUACAGUUAUGUUUUCGAUUUAAGCGUGGAACUGGGCAUUCCAAUUACCGGCCCCUUUCUUGUGAAUGACAGUGAAUAAACACAUGUCGAGGAUAACACGCCUAACAUGGAAGAUACCAAUAGCCCCCAGUCACCACAUGAGCGGUUUGGGCAAGCAAAAUUUACUUGGAACGGCAGGUAGAUACCGCAAAUAGGUAGGUACGGUGGACUCUCCUGGAAAAACUUUUGGGUUUAUGGAAGUGAAUGCAUAAGCAGUAUUCCGCUUAGUACAAGUGAAGGCUAGCAAAAAGACUGGGAAGCAACCAACUAGAGAGCGACAACAGUCAUCAAGAUUCAAUGAGUUUGACUAACAUUGAGUGCAAGCAUGAGCAUGAUAUAAAUCACCAGGAACACGAACAUCAUAGAGGCUAUAUUGAUUUUGUUUCAACUACAUGUAUGAACAUGCGCCAAGUCAAGCCACUAGAAUCAUUCAAAGGAGAAUACCAUCCUAUCAUACUACAUCAUAGUCAUCUCAAAAUCUAUGUUGGCAUUCAAGACAAACCAUUAUAAGCUCCUAGCUAAUUAAGCAUGGCAUCAGAAACUAUGAUCUCUAAGUUGUCAUUGCAAACAUGGUUCUCUCUCAACAAAGCUGAAUCUGGGACAACAAGCUAGUCAUAUUUACAAAAACAAAAUAGAUAGAGUUCAUACCAGCUUUUCCAGUCUCAGUCACUUCAUCAUAUAUCAUCAUUAUUGCCUUUCACUUGCACGAUCGAACGAUGUGAACAAUAAUAAGAGUGCUCGUGCAUUGGACUAAGCUGAAUCUGCAAGCAAACACAAAGGAGAAGACAAAGUAAUAUGGCUCUUUAAAAAAUGAACAGGUAUUGCAUGCGAGAGCCACUAAACAUUGUUACCAUGGUCUUCUACCUCGACUCAAAGAAAAAGAAAACUAUUUACACGGGAAAGCUCCCAACAAGCAAAAGAAGAAAGGAAAAUCUUUUGGGGUUUUCUCAAAAGGACACAAAACAAGAAAACAAGAAAACGAAAAUAAACUAGCAUGGAUAAUACAGUGGCAAAGUGUAAACACCGACUAACAAAGUGAAUGCAUAAGCAUGAAUGUAAAGUUGGUGCAAACAUGUACUCCCCCAAGCUUAGGCUUUUGGCCUAGCUUGGUCUACUCCCAAGGCUGGUCCGGGUGAUACCCAAAAUCAUAAUGUGGGUUGUACGGGAGCGCUGCAGCCACUGCAUGAAUAGCUGCUUCGCGGAGACGAGAAGUCUCAGCCUCCCUCUCAUACUCCUCUACUUCUCCAAUGGUUAUGUAAUAUCUUCGUUUAACCUGAAAGUCAAAGAAGGCAGGAGCAGGAAGCGUAAUAUGAAAAGCACGCUGUCGGUUAAAUACUAACCGGUAAACGAGGGAUUCCUCAUCCCUCUUGAGAAAUUGAUAGCGUGUCAGAGAGACACGAUCAAGGUAGGCUGUACGGAGAGGGGGAUCUCCUGAACGGAUGGGUACUCCAAGAAAUUUGCUAAGCGGGUAGCAUAAAUCCCACCAAAGAAAUCCCCAUCAAUGGCAUUAUUAUUCAGCCUCCUUGCUAUUAUAGCUCCCAUGUUGAAGCUCAUGUCACCUGUUACUGCGCUCUUAAGGAUACUAAGGUCAGAUGCGCAUAGGUGACAAUGUUCAACCUUGCCGUUAAUGCAUCUACCUAUGAAGAGGGCAAAGUAGUGCAAGGCAGGGAAAUGAAUGCUUCCUAUGGUAGCUUGCGUGAUUUCUCUAGUUUCUCCAACAGUUAUACUAGAGACAAAAUCUCUAACCAAAGACUUAGCAGGAUCAUUAAGACUACCCCCAUCGGGUAUCUUGCAAAUCCUAUUGAAAUCCUCCAAAUCCAUGGUGUAGGAUUUAUCAUACAGAUCAAACAGUAUUGAUGAGUCACGGCCAAUUGAAAAUUUAAAUCUACGCACGAAAGAGGCAGUGAGCAUAGCAUACUGGUCACAUUUAUUUGAGAGGAAUUCUUCUAACCCGGCAUUGCGGACAAGUGUAUCAAACUCAUCCUUGAAGCCUGCUUCGAUCAUGAACUCAUCGGAAGGCAUUCACAUGGCUGUACCGGUGCGUCCCUUAGUUGAUAAGGAUGGGGCUCCCGAAUAGAAAGACGGGGACCCUUCUUACUUGAGGAACCACCAUGAAACUUCCUCCUGAACAUAAUUUAUUUUUGCUGAAAAUUUUGAAGUUCAAGAGAAAAGUGAAUAAAGACCAACCACACCUUGUAGCAACUACUCCUACUAGUGCCUAGAGACCAUACCACGCGUUAAAACUACUUAGGACCAGCUAAAAUCAACAUUUCAAGCUCAAAAACAGGGUCACCAAGGUAGCAAGAAUACGCGAAGGAUAAAGCACUAGAGUAGAAACUAAUUGGACCAAUGGAGGAGUCACUUACCAAGGAGUAAUUUCCCCAAAACGGUUCGGAGAAUGGUGCUUUGAGCAAGGAGAUCGAAAAUCACAGCCAAAUGAGCAAGAACACGGGUUUGAGCUGUGAAAUGAUUUUUUCUGGAGGUAGAAGAAGAGGAUGGGAGCUGGAAUGAGUGGAGGGGGUCCAUGUGGGCCCCACAAGCUUGGUAGCCGCGGCCAGGGGGGAGGCCGCGGCUACAGGGCUUGUGGCCCACUGGUGUGGCCCCUAGGCCAGCUCUCAGUCCCAGUAUUUUUCAAAAAAUCCAAAAAAAUCAUAUUUGAUUUUCAGGACCAUCGGAGAACUUUUAUUUUCGGGGUACUUUUCUCCGGGACGCUAAAACAGAAAAUAGGAAAAACUAAACUAAAUCCAUCAUUUUUCUUCUAAGCAACAGAAAGUGAAAGCUUAAAACAGAGGUAUGUGACUCUUUGAUUCAUCCAUUUCAUGGUCAUCGAAAGAAAUCCAUCAAUGGGGUUGAUCAAAUCCCCUCGACAAAACCUUUUCGAAUCUCAAAAGGAAACGGAGAAUUGUCAAAUAGCCACUAAGUCACCUCAAUGGGGACAUGAAUCUCCAUAACAAGCAAAUCAUACUUCAUCUUAACACGAGGAAUAGGGCAUUCAAAGCUCCCAAUAAGAAUUGAUGAAGUUUUUUCAAUAGCAUUGAUGCAAUGUACUUGAUAUAGUUUCUUUGGAAAGUGCAUUGUAUGCUCAUUACCGUUGACAUGGAAGGUGACAUUGCCUUUGCUGCAAUCUAUAACAUCCCUUGCGGUGUUUAAGAAUGGUCUUCCAAGAAUGAUCGACAUGGCAUCAUCCUCAGGAAUAUCCAGGAUAACAAAGUCCGUUAAGAUAGUAACGUUAGCAACCACAACAGGCACAUCCUCGCAAAUGCCGACAGGGAAAGCAAUUGAUUUGUCGGCCAUUUGCAGAGAAAUUUCAGUGGGUGUCAACUUAUCCAGUUCAAGUCUACGAUAAAGAGAGAGAGGCAUAACACUAACACCGUCUCCAAGGUCACAUAAGGCAGUUCUUACGUAGUUUCCUUUAAUGGAGCAAGGUAUAGUGGGCACUCCGGGAUCACCAAGUUUCUUAGGAGUUCCACCUUUGAAAGUGUAAUUGGCGAGCAUGGUGGAGAUCUCAAGAUCUGGUAUCUUCCGUUUAUUAGUCACGAUAUCUUUCAUGUACUUGGCAUAUGGAGACAUUUUGAGCAUAUCAAUUAACUGCAUCUGCAGAAAGACGGGUCUCAACAUUUCAAUAAAGUGCUCAAAAUCCUCAUCAUCCUUUUAUUGGAUGGCUUAGGAGGAAAGGGCAUAGGUCUCUGAACCCAUGGCUCCCUUUCUUUACCAUGCUUCCUAGCAGUGAAAUCAUUCUUAUCGUAUCUCUUAGGUUGUGGGUUAUCAGGAUUAACUGUAGGUUCAAUCUCCACAUCCUUAUCAUUGCUAGGUUGAGCUUUAUUAUGAACAUCGUUGUCCAUAUUGUCACCAGGUCCAUGUUCAUCACCAGAUUGUGUUUCUGCAUCAGACGCGAAAUAUCAUUUGGUCCUUCAGGUGUGACAGUAUUUGGUGAACUGGCAUGUUGGUUUCUAUCCUCCUUCUUCUUCUUCUUAGGAUGACUGGGUGUAUCAGCAUUAAUUCCUUGAGAAUCUUGAUCAAUUCUCUUAGGAUGGCCUUCAACAUACAAAGGUUCCUGAGUCAUUUAGCCUCCUCUACUAAUGACUCUGACAGAGUUGUCAUUUAAUUCAUUGAGCAAGUCAUUCUGAGCUUUAAGUACUUGUUCUACCUGAGUAGUAAUCAUAGAGGAAUGUUUACUCAGAAGCUUCAGAUCAUUGACAUUUCUGUCUACACAAGCACUUAAAUGACUAAGCAUACGAGUACUUUGUUCCAAUUGUCUGCUAACAUAAUCAUUGAAACUCUUUUGUUUGGCAACAAAGUUGUCAAAUUCAUCAAAGCAUAGGCUAGCAGGUUUGUCAAAAGGAAUAUCACUCUCAUUGAAUCUACGCAGAGAAUUCACCUCUACUACUUGUAUCGGGUUAUCGAGACCAUGGAUCUCUUUGAUAGGCGGUAGAUUUUUGACUUCUUCAAAUCUAAUGCCUUUCUCUUGCAUAGAUUUCUUGGCUUCUUGCAUAUCUUCGGGACUGAGGAAUAGAAUACCUCUUUUCUUAGGAGUUGGCUUAGGAGGUGGUUCGGGAAUAGUCCAAGCAUUAUCGUUGAUCAAGAUGUUAUUCAGUACAAUUUCAGCUUGUUCUAUAGUUCGUUCCCUAAAAACACAACCGGCACAACUAUCUUUGUGGUCUCUAGAAGCAUCGGUAAGUCCAUUAUAGAAGAUAUCAAGUAUCUCGUUCUUCUUAAGAGGGUGAUCAGGCAAAGCAUUCUGUAGCUGGAUGAGCCUCCCCCAAGCUUGUGGGAGACUCUCUUCUUUGAGUUGAGCAAAGUUGUAUAUUUCCUGCAAGACAGCUUGCUUCUUAUGGGCAGGGAAAUAUUUCUCACAGAAGUAAUAGACCAUAUCCUGGGGACUACUCACACAUCCAGGAGCAAGAGAAGUGAACCAGGCUUUAGCGUCAUCCUUUAGAGAGAAAGGAAACAUCUUAAGGAUAUUGUAGUAGCGGAUCUUCUCCUCACUAGUGAAAAGGGUGGCUAUAUCGUGUAGUUUGGCAAGAUGGGCUACGACCGUCUCAGACUCAUAACCGUGGAAAGGAUCAGAUUCGACUAGAGAGAUUAUCUCAGGGUCGACAGAGAAUUCAUAAUCCUCAUUGGUGAUAAAGAUAGGUGAAGUGGCAAACUUUGGGUCAUAUUUCAUCCUAGCUUUCAGAGAUUUUCCUUCCACUUGAGAAGUAAUUUCUCAGCAUCAUAGGCAUCCUUACACGCAAGAAAAUCCUCAGCUAUCUCUCCCUCCAUAACAUAACCCUCAGGUAUAUCAGGCAAUUCAUAUCUAGGAGAGCUAGAUCUAGCAGGAGCAAAAGUGGGUUCUAUCUCAAUAGUAUCGGCAGUUUCAUAAGCAUCACGAGCAUUGGCAGUAACUCUAGCAAUAUGAGCAUCAAGGAAUACCCCUAGUGGCAUAUCAGGCAAAGUAGUAUCUCUAGCAGUAUCAAGCAUAGCAUCAUCAGGCAAAAUAGCAUCUCUAGCAUCAUCAGGCAAAGCAGUAUCAAGCAUAGCAUCAUGGAUAGCAGUAUCAGACAUAGCAUCUCUAGCAGUAUCAGGCAUAGCAUCUCUAGCAGUAUUAGGCAUAACAUCUCUAGCAGUAUCAGGCAUAGUAGCAUCAUAAGCAUCAUCAAUAGCAGUAGCAUCUCUAGCAUCAUCUAACACAGGCGACAUAUCAAGAUUUCUAGCAGGAGGUGGUGUCGCAAACUUACUCAUAACUGAAGCUGAAUCAAGUGCAGAGCUAGAUGGUAGUUCCUUACCACCCCUCGUAGUUGAGGGCAAGACUUUGGUUCUUGGAUCUUUCAGAUUCUUCAUAGUGAUCAACAGAUAUAAAUCCCGAGUAACUCAGAGAAUAUAGCUAUCCCUCCCCGGCAACGGCGCCAGAAAAGAGCUGCUUCUAGUUGCUCAACAAUUAGCAACUGUCUUGCAAUGGCCCACCAGCGUGUCGGAUCACGGCCGUUUUCGAGGGUGGAGUAUUCAACCCAAAUUUGUUGGUUCAACACGAUGGGAGUGAAAGGAUAUUCUCCAGUAUUAGCAGUUGAGUUGUCCGCUCAACCACACCUGAACGAUUAGUAUCUGCAAGCAGGGUAAAAGCAGCAAAGGUAGUAUGAUAGCAACGGUGCUAGGAAAGAAUCUGUUGACGGCAGAUUAUUCCUAAAUGAAGUAUCAAUGGCGCCAGAAAUGUAUUGUAGCAGGUAGCAGCAGUGUAACGAGUAACAGCAGUGGCAAGGAACAACAAUAGUGACAGCAGUGGCAAGUAGCAGCAAUAGCAAGUAACAGCAGCAGCAAGUAACAGUAGUAGCAACAGUAGUAACAAGAGUAGCAGCAGAGCAAGUAACAGUAGCAGCAACAGUAGUAACAGCAGUAGCAGCACAACAAGUAACAGUAGCAGCAACAGUAGUAACAUCAGCAGCAGCAACAGUAGUAACAGCAGUAGCAGCAAAGCAAGUAACAAUAGCAGUGGGACAAACUCGUAGGCAAUGGAUCGGUGAUUUGUUGGAUGACAUUCAUCAUGCAACAGUUAUAACACGGAGAGAUAUGUGGCUAGCUCCCGUUCGUCAAUGUGAUGUAGGCAUGCAUUCCGUGUGUAGUCAUACGUGCUUAGGGAAAAGAACUUGCAUGACAUCUAUUGUCCAUCCCUCCCGUGGCAGCGGGGUCCAAAUGGAUACUACGGGAUAUUAAGGUUCUCCUUUUAAUAAAGAACCAGACCAACACAUUAGCACUUGGUGAACACAUGAACUCCUCAAACUAUGGUCAUCACCGGGAGUGGUUCCGGUUAUUGUCACUCCGGGGUUGCCGAAUCAUAACACAUAGUAGGUAACUACAACUUGCAAGAUCGGAUCUAAAACACACAUAAAUUGGUGACAACAUAAAAAGUUCAGAUCUGAAAUUAUGGCACUCGGGCCCUAGUGACAAGCAUUAAGCAUGGCAAAGUAGUAGCAACAUCAAUCUCAGAACAUAGUGGAUACUAGGGAUCAAUCCCCGUCAAAACUAACUCAAUUACAUGAUAGAUCUCAUCCUACUCAUCACCGCCCAGCGAGCCUACGAAUAGAUUACUCACGAACGAUGAAGAGCUUCAUGGUGUGGGCCCCACAAGCCUGCCCACCGCCACCAGGGGGGUGGUGGCGGAGCCAGGGCUAGGCCGCGGCUACAGGGCUUGUGGCCCACUGGCCCGUCCCCUCCGGUGGAUCUUUGCGCAGGUAUUUUUCAUAUUUUCCAAAAAUAUUCUCCGUAAAUUUUCAGGAUGUUCCGAGAACUUUCAUUUCUGCACAAAAACAACACCAUGGCAAUUCUGCUGAAAACAGCGUCAGUCCGGGUUAGUUCCAUUCAAAUCAUGCAAAUUAGAGUCCAAAACAAGGGCAAAAGAGUUUGGAAAAGUAGAUACGAUGGAGACGUAUCACGGUGCGUGGCUUGGUAGUUGGUUUGUGCUAUGAAAGUAGUCCCAAAAGUGAUAGGUAUCCAAAGAGGAUACAAAAACCUCCAUCUUCAUGUGCAUUGAGUAGAAAAAGAGAAUUUUGAUUCCUCUCAGUUAGUUUUGAGACGUGGAUUUGGUAAUAUCAAAAGUUAUGUUAGUAGGGUGUUGUGAAUCUAGAAAUACUUGUGUUGAAUAUAGUGAUUCCCGUAACAUGCACGUAUGGUGAAUCGCUAUGUUAGGAAGUCGGAGCAUAAUUGAUCUAUUGAUUGUCAUCCUUUGUGUUGCGGUCGGGAUCGCGCGAUGGUUUACACCUACCAACCCUUCCCCUAGGAGUAUGCGUUUAGCACUUUGUUUCGAUUACUAAUAAAAACUUUUGCAACAAGUAUAUGAGUUCUUCGUGACUAAUGUUGAGUCCAUGGAUUAUACGCACUUUCAUCUUUCCACCAUUGCUAGCAUCUCUAGUACUACGCAAUUUUUGCCGGUGCACAAACCACCAUAUGCCUUCCUCAAAACAGCCACCAUACCUACCUACUAUGGCAUUUUCAUAGCCACUCCGAGAUAUAUUGCCGUACAAUCUUCACCGUUCCGUCUCAUGACUUGUGCCAUCAUUGUCAUAUUGCAUUGCAUGAUCAUAAGAUAGCUAGCAUGAUGUUCUCAUGGCUUGUCCAUUUUUUAUGCCAUUGCUAUGCUAGAUCAUUGCACGGAGGCAUUUCCUAUGGAGUCAUCCUUGUUCUAAGCUUUGAGCUUUGAGUAAAUAAAAUUGUGAUGAUCAUCAUUAUAGAGCAUUGUCCCAUGUGAGGAAAUAAAAAAAAGAGGCCAAAGAGACCAAAAAAAGAGAGGCCAAAGAGCCCAAAAAAAAAGAUGAGCGAAAAAGAGAGAAGGGACAAUGCUACUAUCUCCUUUCCAUACUUGUGCUUCAUAUUAAGCACCAUGUUCUUCAUGAUUGAGAGCCUCUCGCUUUGUCGCCACCAUAUAACUAGUGGGAAUUUUCAUUAUAUAACUUGGCUUGUAUAUUCCAAUGAUGGGCUUCCUCAAAAUGGCCCUAGGUCUUUGUGAGCAAGCAAGUUGGAUGCACACCCACUAGUUCUCCUUUAGAGCUUUCACAUAUUCAUAGCUCUAGUGCAUCUAUUAAUGGGCAUCUCCAUAGCCUUUUAAUACGCCGAGUUAAUGUGACCAUCUUCUCCUUUUUGUCUCACAACCACCACCACAUUCUAUUCCACCUAUAGUGCUAUAUCCAUGGCUCACGCUCAUGUAUUGCCUAAGAGUUGAAAAAGGUUUGAGAAAGUAAUAGUGCAAAAACAAUUACUUCGCCAAUUCUGAGGUUAUGCAUGAUUUAAAUUAGUUGUGUGGGGAUGAUGGAGCAUAGCGUGACUAUAUGAUUUUGUAGGGAUAACUUUCUUUGGACUUGUUAUUUUGAACCUUACGGAUCUGAACAUUCAUGUCACAUAAGAGAAGUUACAAAGGACAACUAUGCUAGGUAGCAUGCAACAUCAAAAAUUCAUUCUUUAUCACUUCCCUACUCGAGGACGAGCAGGAGUUAAGCUUGGGGAUGAUUGAUAUGUCUCCAACGUAUCUAUAAUUUUUGAUGGCUUCAUGCUAUUAUCUUGUCAAACUUUGGAUGCUUUAUAUGCUUUUUAUAUCUUUUUUGGGACUAACUUAUUAACUCAGUGCCAAGUGCCAUUCCUGUUUUUUCCAUGUUUUUGACCCUUUUCAGAUCUGAUUUUGAAACGGAGUCCAAACGGAAUAAAAUCCCCGAAAAGAUUUUUCCGUCACAGAAGAAGAUCGGGAGACUUGAGAGCCAAGGUAGGGGAGCCUCAGGGACCCCACGAGCCCCCUAGGCGCGGCCAGGGGGAGGUCGCGCCUCCCUGGCUCGUGGGUCCCCUGAGCUCCCUCUGCCCUAGGUCUUUGGUCUAUAUAUUCCCUAAAAUCCCAUCAAAAAUCAAGGGAGCCACGAAAACACUUUUCCGUCGCCGCAAGCUUCCGUUUCUGUGAGAUUUCAUCUGGAGACCUUUCCGGUGCCCUGCCGGAGGGGGUUUAGGAGACGGAGGGCCUCUACAUCAACACCAUUGCCUCUCCGAUGAUGCGUGGGUAGUUUACUUCAGACCUACGGGUCCAUAGCUAGUAGCUAGAUGGCUUCUUCUCUCUCUUGGAUCUUCAAUACAAAGUUCUCCAUGAUCUUCAUGGAGAUCUAUCCGAUGUAAUCCUCUUUGGCGGUGUGUUUGUCGAGAUCCGAUGAAUUGUGGAUUCAUGAUCAGAUUAUCUAUGAAUAUUAUUUGAGUCUUUGCUGAUUUGUUAUAUGCAUGAUUUCAUAUCCUUGUAAUUCUCUUCGAGUUGUGGGUUUUGUUUGGCCAACUAGAUCUAUGAUUCUUGCAAUGAGAGAAGUGCUUGGUUUUAGGUUCUUACCGUGCGGUGACCUCACCCAGUGACAGAAGGGGUAGCAAGGCACGCAUCAUGUUGUUGCCAUCAAGGGUAAAAAGAUGGGGUUUUCAUCAUUGGUUUGAGUUUAUCCCUCUACAUCAUGUCAUCUUGCUUAAGGCGUUACUCUGUUCGUCAUGAACUCAAUACACUAGAUGCAUGCUGGAUAGCGGUCGAUGUGUGGAGUAAUAGUAGUAGAUGCAGAAAGUAUCGGUCUACUUGUCUCGGUCGUGAUGCCUAUAUGUAUGAUCAUUGCCUUAGAUAUCGUCAUGACUUUGCGCGGUUCUAUCAAUUGCUCAACAGUACUUUGUUGACCCACCGUUUACUUGCUAUUUUGAGAGAAGCCUCUAGUGAACACUAUGGCCCCCGGGUCUAUCAUCAUCACAAUUUCAGCCUUACACUUUUACUUUGCUUUGCCUUUCGCUUUCACUUCUCACUUUGCAAACAAUCUAGAAGGGAUUGACAACCCCUUUAUAGCGUUGGGUGCAAGCUCUUUUGUGUUUGUGCAGGUACUUUGGACUUGACGCGAUCCUCCUACUGGAUUGAUACCUUGGUUCUCAAACUGAGGGAAAUACUUACUGCAACUGUGCUACAUCACCCUUUCCUCUUCAAGGGAAAACCCAACGCAAGCUCACAAGGCCGCGAGGAGAUCCUUGGCAUAUUUGCCAAGGAAGACCCUAUAGGCGUAGCCAGCAGCACGACCCCCUGAAUUGACUCAACGAGUGCAACCAGUUCUUCAGGGGGCAACGCACACUCGCGUUCGACCGGACCUGGAUCGCCUCGUACCAUCUUCACGGCACCGCCUAGACGUGGUACUAUGCCCUCGAACAGGACGAAGGCGGGAUGCCGUCGUGGGAAAGCUUCCGCGACCUCUGCCUCCUCUGGUUCGGUCCACCCGUUCGCGGUAGCCAGCUCGCGGAACUCGGACGCCUUCCGUUCCUCUCCUCGGUCCAGGAUUUUCCCGACCGCUUCUAGGCGCUGACCUACCAUGCUAAUGGCGUCUUAGCCCUCCAAUAGGCCGAGCUCUUUGUUGGCGGCCUUCCCGGCCAUAUCCACAUGGAUGUCGAGAUGCGGGGACCAUAGGACCUCCAGAUGGCCAUGUACUAUGCCGGCACGUUUGAGAAACAGGCGGUGGCCAUGCAGCAGGCAUUCUCGGCUCGUGCACCUCACCCACCCCCUCGGUAGGCCAUGUCUGCACCUAGUCGGCGACUGAUACGUCCAAAAUGCAUCACUAUUUUGUAUCAUAAUUUUUCUCUAUUCAUUGGUAUAUUUCACAUUAUGAUGAUGCACUUAUAGUGUUUUGGCUUAUUUUACACAGUUUACAACUUUCCUGUGCCGAAACAGCAGACACAGGAUUCAGCGGAGAAAAUAGCACAAAGAGUUACCAAAUCAUAACAUCUCCAACUGCUCUGAAAAUUUGAUGGAAGGAAUUUCUGAACAGAUCCCGAAGACAGGCCGAAGAAGGGCCUAAGGGGGGCCACAGGUCACCUAGGCGACCUGCUGGUAUGGGCCACCCCUAGGUCGCGCCUAGAGGCCACCUGGGUGGGGGUCCCUCUUGAGCGCUCUCCUUUGGCCUAUAUGAUCCCCUUGACCUAAAAGUUAUGGGGGCAGAAGUGUUUUCACAGUUCCGCCGCCGCUCCGCGGCGGAAACCUACAGAGAAGAAAAGACCUUACCGGCGAACUGAUUCCGCCAAAGAAAACUCCUCCUGAAAGGGGAGAUCAUCCUCAUCGUCAUAACCAUCUUCACGGGCAUCAUCGAGAUCAUCAUCACCAUCAUCACCAUCACCAGCACCAUCUCCAUCUUCAUCCCAUCACACUUCACCAUUGCAAUCGGAGUUGUACCUUGCACUAUUCAUCCCCUCUACUCUAUCGGUGUUGAUUACUCUUUUGUGGAGAAUGCUAUUGAGUUUUGUUGGAGCAUUAUUGUUAUGACCAGAUUGUUAAUCAUAUUUUCAUCACCUCUCCUCAUGAUCUCUUUUAUGUCUUGUGAGUAGUUCUGUUAGUUCUUGAGGACGUGGAAAAAGUAUAGAUGCUAGUAGUCAUAUGAUGUUGAAGUAAUAUGUGUUGAUUGAUAUUUAACUUAUGGUGUUAUUCUUCUACUGGUGUUAUGUGAACAUCGACUACAUAACACUUCGCCUUUUCAAGGACCUAGGGGAGUGCAUUGUGUAUAAAGAAUGCUUAUGGUGGGUUGCCGGAGUGACAGAAACAUGAACCCCAGUUCACAUACUUUUGCAUGAGGGAGUAUUGUAUCCUAAAGCUUAUUGCUAUGGUUAGGCUUUGCCUUAAUUUCUCUCUUGUAUUUGCAGAUGCUUGCAAGAGGGAUUAAUAAUAAGAGUGUACUUGUAUUGGCCUAGAUGGUGCACUAGUUAAGAUCAACCCACAUAACACUUAUAUCAAUACAAAACAUAGUACUAGACGGAAUAUGGUGAAAGCACUUGACUAUCUCUCUCGUGUGUCCUCAGAAACGCCUUAAUCUUUAUAAGUUUAGUCCCUCGGCUUAUCCUUUGUGUUCAAAAGUAUUGGGCCACUUGCUGCACCUCAGCACCAUUUACUUUCCUUCCAUUUAUUUCCUUGUUGCUAUUACUAGAAAACUCAUAAAAAGUUACCUUUCAGUACCUGCAGUUAUUCCUUGCUCAAGAUCACUUGUCAGUACCUUCUGCUCCUCAUUGGGUUCGACACUCUUACUUAUCGAAAAGGCUACAAUAUAUCCCCUACACCUAUGAGUCAUCUAGACCAUUUUCUGGCACCAUUGCCGGGGAGCGUUGCGCUAUUGGUAAGUGAAAUUGGAAAGGAAACAUUUACGAUGUACGUGCUGUUUUUUUGUUUUGCUAUUUCCGCUUUUUGUCCCUAUGGACAACUCUGCUCUUGGUUUGCUGCUUGUGGGGAACCGCCCCAACGCUAUUGUGGUGGAGAAGCCUCCCCCACCUACUGAAAUUUUUCCCUUUAAAAUAACAACUUGUAUUAUUGAUUGUGUCUUGGUUAAUCGAUAUGCAGGAGAUAGACAUCCAGGUGAACACUUGCUAUAUCUUUCACAACUAUGCUCCUUAUUUAAGCUUGCAGGUUUAUCGAUGGAUUUUGUUAUGAGAAAGUUAUUCUCUCUAUAAUUAAAAGAUAAGGCUUUGGAUUGGUAUAGGCUUCUUGAUGACUCUCACUUACUAAAUUGGCAAGAUCUUAUGCCUCUGUUUUGUGCAAAGUUUUAUCCUCUUCAUGAAAUACAUCGAGACAGGAACUAUAUUUAUAAAUUUUGGUCUCGUGACGGAGAAAGCAUCGCUCAAGCUUGGGGGAGAUUGAAGUCCUUAAUGCUCAAAUGUCCCAAUCAUGAGCUCUCCAAAGAAACUAUUCUUACAAAUUUUUAUGCAAGGCUUUCUCGUCAAGAUAAAGAGAUGCUUGAUGACUCCUCUAGUGGGUCAUUCUCCAACAAAAGCACUGAAGCUAAGUGCGAUCUUAUUGAAAGGAUCCAAAAGAACACUGAAGACUGGGAGAUUGACUAAAGGCAUUGAACCCGUUAUAAAUUAUGAGCGUGAUUACAUUGAGAGCUAUGUGAAAACUGAUUACUUCAAUACCUUUUCUGCUAAUAUUGGUCUUGAUUCCCAGCUUCUAAUUGAUUUUUUCAAAGACUUUGCCUCUCAUAUUAACUCUUCUAAGAAGAAGGAGGAUCAACAUCAUAAACCUUUUAAGGAUUUACCUGUUGAUAUCAAUGUUGUUGACCAUGUCUUUCCUGCAGUUUUAUAUAAAUCCCCCUUUUCCCACCAGGAUGAGGGAGCAUAUUUUGUCACAAGCAUCCUCAAUAAAAGUGAAAGAACGACUGAUGAACAUGAGGACCUGAUUAAAGUCGACCCUCAAGUUGCAUUAGUCAAGGAUCUUGUUACUAGUAAUAUUGAGGAUUCCAAAAUAAUUUUUUGUGUUGUUUCUACUAACCUUGUUACAACCAAGAAUAAAGGCCCAAUUUCAAGUACUCUAGUUGUAUGUGUUAAAAUAGGAGAUCAUAAUUAUUAUGGCCUAUGUGAUUUCGGAUCCCGUGCUAGUGCUAUUCCUUUUUUACUUUAUCAAGAGAUCAUGAAUGAGAUUCUACCAUGUGAAAUUGAAGAAGUUGAUGUUACUAUUCAGCUUGAAAACAAAUAAACUAUCUCUCCUAUUGGAAUUGUGCAAGAUUAUAAAGUUCUAUGUGGAAAGGUAAAAUAUCCUACUGACUUUCUAGUACUUGGUUCACUACAAGAUAGUUUUUGCCCUAUUAUCUUUGGUAGGCCUUUUCUCAAAACUUGUGGAGCUAUUAUAGAUUGCAGGAAAGGAAAAGUAUUUGUUGAAUUUAAUGGUGAGCCAUAUGAAUUUAAAUUCUCUAAAUUCUCGAAGCAAACUCGUGGUACUGAUUUGCCUAGUAAUGAUAAAAUUAUUGAAGAGAUUGCUUCUAUUGCUAUUCCUCCUAACGAUCCUUUGCAGAAAUUUAUGGAGGAUCACGAGAAUGAUAUGCAUAUGCAGGAAAGGAAUGAGCUAGAUGACAUAUUCUUGACACAACGUGCUAUCCUAAAGCACAACCUUCCGGUUGAGCCUUUUGGAAUUUUAUCGAAACCAAAACAAAACCCUGUGUUUGACCUUAAACCUUUUCCCAGUACGCUCAAGUAUGCUUAUUUAGAUGAAAAGAAAGUAUAUAUUGUUAUUAUCAAUUCUGACCUUUCAGGAUAUGAAGAAGAGCGGGUAUUGGAAGUCCUUCGUAAACACCCAGGCACUAUUGGCUAUACCCUUGAUGAUCUUAAGGGGAUUAGUCCAUCUAUUUUUCAACAUUCUAUCAAUGUUGAGCCUGAUGCUAAACCGGUUGUUGAUCAUCAACGACGGUUGAACCCAAAGAUGAAGGAUGUUGUGAGGACCGAAAUCCUCAAGCUUCGAGCCGCAGGUAUUAUCUACCCUAUAAGUGAUAGUAAGUGGGUUAGUCCGGUACAUUAAUUGUGUUCCCAAGAAAGGAGGUACGACUGUGGUGCCUAAUGAUAAGAAUGAACUAAUACCUCAAAGAAUUAUUAUUGGAUAUAGAAUGUGCAUUGAUUACAGGAAGCUAAACAAGGCAACCAGGAAGGACCACUAACCGCUGUCGUUCAUCGACCAAAUGCUUGAAAGGUUAUCCAAAAACACUCACUUUUUCUAUGUUGAUGGGUACUCUAGCUUCUCUCAAAUUCAUGUUAACACUGCCGAUCAAGAGCAGACCACUUUUACUUGUCCCUUUGGUACUUAUGCUUAUAGAUGUAUGCCUUUUGGUUUAUGCAAUUCUCCUGCUACUUUUCAAAGGUGUAUGUCUGCUAUCUUUCACGAGUUUUGUGAGGAAAUUGUGGAGGUCUUCAUGGACGAUUUCUCCAUAUAUGGAACCUCUUUUGACCAUUGUCUCGACAACCUUAAUAAAGUUUUGCAGAGAUGUGAGGAGACAAACUUGGUACUCAACUGGGAGAAGUGACAUUUCAUGGUGAAUGAUGGAAUUGUUCUUGGCCGCAAGAUUUCUGAAAAGGGAAUCGAGGUGGACAUGGCAAAAGUCGAAGGAAUCGAGAGGAUGCCUUAUCGAAAGGACAUCAGAGGUAUUCAUAGUUUCCUAGGUCAUGCUGGUUUCUAUAGAAGAUUUAUUAAAGACUUUUCUAAGACUUACAAACCCCUCACAAAUAUUCUCUAGAAGGAUAUUCCUUUUGUGUUUGAUGAAGAUCGUAAGGAAGCCUUUGAAGUUCUUAAGGAAGCCUUGAUAACCGCCCCUAUAGUCCAACCACCUAAUUGGAAUUUGCCUUUUGAAAUCAUGUGUGAUGCUAGUGAUUUUUCUGUUGGAGCUGUGUUAGGACAAAGGGUUUAUAAGAAAUUGAAUGUUAUACAUUAUGCUAGCAAAACCCUUGAUAGUGCUCAAAAGAAUUACGCUACUACUGAGAAAGAGUUUUUAGCGGUAGUGUUUGCUUGUGAUAAGUUUAGGCCUUACAUUGUUGAUUCCCAAGUCAUCAUUCAUACUAAUCAUGCUACUAUUAAGUAUCAUAUGGAAAAUAAGGAUGCCAAACCAAGGCUUAUCAUAUGGGUCCUUCUUCUUCAAGAAUUUUAUUUGUAGAUUGUUGAUAGGAAAGGAGCAGUCAACCCUGUAGCAGACAACCUUUCCAGGAUGGAGGAGAUACCACAUGAUCCUAUUCCGGUCAGCGAUAGUUUUCCUGAUGAACAGUUAGCUUUUGAAAGUAUGAUCUAAUUCCGAUCAUGGUAUGCAGAUUAUGGUAACUUUAUUGUUGAAAGUUUUUGCCUCCAGGUUUGACAUUCCAGCAGAGGAAGAAGUUCUUCCACGACUUGAGGUAUUACUUUUGGGAUGACCCACAUCUUUUUAGAGAAGGUGCGGAUGGAAUUGUGAGGCGAUGUAUACCUGAGCAUGUGCAGAAGGAUAUCUUGAGACAAUGUCAUAGCAGUCCUUAUGGAGGACAUCAUGCGGGUGAGAGGACCGCACACAAGGUUCUCCAGUCCGGUUUUUAUUGGCCUACUCUCUUUAAAGAUGCUAGAAAUUAUGUUUUAUCUUGUGAUAAGUGCCAGAGAGUUAGUAAUAUUAGUAGGAGAAACGAGAUGCCUAUUAAUUAUUCUCUAUUCAUUGAGCCUUUUGAUUGCUGGGGUUUUCAUUUUAUGGGUCCUUUUCCUCCUUCACACAAGUACACUCACAUCUUAGUAGUUGUUGAUUAAGUGACCAAGUGGAUUGAAGAAAUCCCCACUGAAAGUGCUGAUCACAAGACAUCUUUGAAAAUGCUCAAGGAUGUAAUCUUCCCUAGGUUUGGUGUACCUAGGUACCUCAUGACCGACGGAGGAUCACAUUUUACACAUGGUGCUUUUAGAAAAGCUCUAGCCAAAUAUGAUGUUAAUCGUAUAAUAUCUUCACCUUACCACCCUCAAACAAGUGGGCAAGUUGAGCUCAAAAAUAGAGAGAUCAAGUUGAUCUUGCAAAAGACAAUGAGCAGUUCUAGAAAGGACUGGUCCAAUAAGCUAGGAGAUGCCUUGUGGGCAUAUAGAACUGCUUACAAAAAUCCCAUGGGGAUGUCUCCGUAUAAGAUGGUCUAUGGCAAGGCAUGCCAUCUACCUUUAGAGUUAGAGCACAAAGCUUUCUAGGCUGUUAGAGAGCUUAGUGCUGACCCAAAGCUUGCUGGUGAAAAGCGUCUCAUGAACUUGACUUCUCUAGAUGAGUGGAGAAGUGAAGCUUAUGAGAGCGCAAAAAUGUUCAAAGAAAAGGUAAAGAAGUGGCCUGACAAGAGAAUUUUGAAACGUGAAUUUAAUGUUGGUGAUAAAGUUUUGUUUUAUAGAUCUCGUUUCAGGUUUUCUCCAGGUAAAUUACUUUCCAAGUGGGAAGGACCAUACCAUAUCGAAGAAGUCUAUCGCUCCGGUGCAAUCAAGAUUAAUAAUUUUGAGGGCACAAAACCACAUGUUGUGAAUGGGCAAAGACUCAAGCAUUACAUGGCUGGAGAUGCCAUCAAUGUAGAGGUGGAUGUGAUAUAGGUAGCCACUCAUGAAGAACAUAUUGCAACACUGUAUCAGACACCGACAGAAGAAGAAUAAGAAUAUGUAUGAAAUACGAUAAGGACACUUCGCGAACAUUAAUAAAAGUUCCGAAUUAUGUGUUUUUGCAAAAUUAGGAAUAUUCCGAGCCUAAGUGGAGCCGGAGAGGAACUCGAGGUGCUCCAGGCGACCUGUGGGCGUGGCCUACCUCCUGGCCGCGCCAGGAGGCCGCCUGGACUACCCGGAGUCCGUCUCCGACCCUACUUUGGCUUGUUUACCUUCCUUUUGAUGCAAAAUUGUUUGCUAUAUAUUCUCCUGGAUCGUCCCGGCUUUGUAUCUUCCGAUUCCGUGCGUUUUCUCUUUCGAUCUUGUCUUCCAGGCUAAGAAACUAUUGUUCGAGAUGUCUUCUUGUGACUCAAGCGGGGAAGACUACACGGGUCGUUGUCUCCACCGUGUCCAGCAAGAUAUCAAUCAAGGGAAGGUCACCGGAUGGGCUACUAAUGAAGAGAUAGCUGCAAGACAAGCGGAGAUGGAGCGCUUCGUGAGAGAGGAAGUCAAGAUGGUCACCACCCAGCAAGAAGGAGAUCCUUCAUCACGAGGAUCCAGCUCCAACAACCCCAUCCUCGUGGGGUUUAUUAACCCUCAACAUGAUCUUUCUCUGAACCUUUCAGAAACUGUCCCUCCACCGGGAACUCCACCUAUGUCAUCUACUAUAUCCGAAGCUUACAGAAUCACUAACCAAUUAUGUGAAGACUUUCGUGUGCUUAUAGUAUAGGUGGCCAUAUUGGAAGCUGAAAGCAAAACCCUUCGGCGCAUAAUAGCAGACUUGAAGAACAACAAGUAGGAUGAGGAGUGAAAUCUUCAUGGGUAAUGUCAUUCCCUUAUCUUGUUCCAAGCUUGGGGGAGUGCCCCGGUAUCUUUAUUUAUUUUUAUACUUUACCUUUUAUGGUCAAGUUUAGUGUCGUAUCAUGUCUAGGGAAGUUAUCUUAUGAAAUAGGUGUUUGCAUUGAGGUCUAUCACUCCUUUGUGGAGAGUCUUGUAUCCGUGAGUGUGCAGUGUCUAUGAUGGAAUAUUAAUGAGAAGUCUAUUGCUUUCUUUGCUGCACUUGGUAUUCUCUUCAUGCAAGCGAUCUUAUAUGCUGAUUCUUAUGGGAGUAUUGAUCUUACAUAUCAGGUAUGGCUUUGAAAAAUUUAUUUAAUCUUGGCAAACAUAGCAUUGGUCAUAACAACAAGCAUGAGUUUUUCUAGCAGCAACAUAGCCAAAACCUUUAUGUUCUUAUGCUUGAAGAGUUAUGCUGACAAGGAAGACAACUUGAUGUUUUAUGCCAAUUAUUCAUGUUAAACUUUAUAUUGUUUUGCAUCCAAGUCAACAUUAUUUGUUUGCUCUCAAAAUCCUUUGCUAGCCAACCCUUGCACUAAGCGGGGAUACUGCUUGUGCAUCGAUACCCUGAAACCUCCACCUUCCCAAGAGUCCACCAUACCUUCCCUAUACAUGGUAUUUCACCGCCACUCCUAAAGUAUAGUACUCAUGUGCUAUAUUUAAACCUUCAAAUAUUACUCCCUGUUUUGUGCCUCUGUUUUAGCUCAUGAGGAAGUAGUAGAUAAUUCAUGAUCUUCUCAUACUGGACAAAUUUUAUCCUAGGUUUGCAUGUUUAAUAUGCAAACCGCUAAUACCAAAAGGGACUAGCAUGAGCUCGCCCAGCUCGUAAAAGAUAAUAACAACAAACAAAACCUCCUUCACGCUUUGUUGAUGAGAAAUCAAAAAACUUUGGUAGUGAUAAACAAAGGAGACUAAGGGGAUGUGAUCGUCCCCACUUUGGGAGUCGUUCCUCAAAACUUGUCCAGCAUGAGAAGUAUUGGGCUAUUUGCUAGCAUUCGCGGACAAUAUAUGCACCUCUCAAAAGCUUGUUUUAUAAUCUUGUUGAUUUUUUUUAAAUCUCUAAAAGCUCUAGCACAUGAGUUUUCCCUACUUCCCUCUGCGAAGGGCCAAUCCUUUACUUUUACAUUGAGUCAGUAAAACCUACUUCUUUCUAUCCUAAAAAAGAGCAGACACCUUAUGUUGACAAAGAUGCAUUCAUUUAUAUUGCUUCAUUGAGAAUUGCCAUAUCACACCUUUGUUGAUAUUACCAUUAAGAUAAGUAAGUUGUUUGUUAAGCCUAGCUAAAGCAAACAUCUUCCUUUGUGUUAGUUCACUUCUUGACUAAUAGCAUGUUCUUUCAAAAAGAUUCAGUUGAUCUCAUCAAAAUAUAAGAGGAAGAGCAAAAGUUAAAAGUUACUAGUUAUUCUUUGACCAAGGACAUGUUUUCCAUGGUUUGAUGAGUUUUCUUAGCUCCACUUUUGAUUGUAAUUGAUAUUACUCUUUCAUAAGGGCCUUAUGAGUUGAGAUUGAUGCCGAGGAUGGUUGGGUUUAGUAGAGAAAUUAUGAUGCUUCUUGUCCGUAUUCUUAUUUAUCAACACUUCACUCUCUAAACUUGUGGACAGGUUUACCGAGCUCAGUAUUCGCUUGGGGACAAGUGAGGUCUAAGCUUGGGGGAGUUGAUACGUCCAAAAUGCAUCACUAUUUUGUAUCUUCAUUGAUAUAUUUCACAUUAUGAUGAUGUAAUUAUAGUGUUUUGGCUUAUUUUACACAGGUUUCAACGGAGAAAAUAGCACGAAGAGUUACCAAAUCAGAACAUCUCCAACUGCGCUGAAAAUUUGAGGGAAGGAGUUUCUGAACAGAUCCCGAAGACAAUCCGAAGAAGGGUCAGAGGGGGGCCACAGGUCACCCAGCCGACCUGCUAGCGCGCGCCACCCCUAGGCCGCGCCUAGAGGCCGCUUGGGUGGUAGGUCCCGCCUCGAGUGCUCUCCUUUGUCCUAUAUGAUCCCCUUGACCUAAAAUCUAUGGGGGCACAAGAGUUUUCGCAGUUCCGCCGCCGCUCCGCGGCGAAAACCUACACGGAAGAAAUGACCUUUCUGGCGGGCAGAUUCCACCGGGGAGAACUCCUCCCGGAAGGGGAGAUUGUCUUCAUCGUCAUCACCAUCGUCACGGGCAUCACCGAGAUCAUCAUCACCAUCACCAGCACCAUCUCCAUCUUCAUCCCAUCACACUUCACCAUUGCAAUCAGAGUUGUACCUUGCACUAUUCAUCCCCUCUACUCUAUCGGUGUGGAUUACUCUUUUGUGGAGAAUGCUAUUGAGUUUUGUUGGAGGACUAUUGUUAUGACCAGAUUGUUAAUCAUAUUUUCAUCACCUCUGAUCAUGAUCUCUUUUAUGUCUUGUGAGUAGUUCCGUUAGUUCUCGAGGACAUGGGAAAAGUCUAGAUGCUAGUAGUCAUAUGAUGUUGAAGUAAUAUGUGUUGAUUGAUAUUUAAGUUACAGUGUUAUUCUUCUAGUGGUGUUAUGUGAAUGUCGACUACAUAACACUUCGCCUUUUCAGGAACCUAGGGGAGUGCAUCGUGUAUAAAGAAUGCUUAUGGUGGGUUGCCGAAGUGACAGAAACCUGAACCCUAGUUCGCAUGCUUUUGCAUGAGGGGGUAUUGGAUCCUAAAGCUUAUUGCUAUGGUUAGGCUUUGCCUUAAUUUCUCUCUUGUAUUUGCGGAUGCUUGCAUGAGGGAUUAAUCAUAAGAGUGUACUUGUCUUAGCCUAGACGGUGCACUAGUUAAGAUCCACCCACAUAACACUUAUCAAUACAAAACAUAGUACUAGACGGAAUAUGGUGAAAGCAAUUGACUAUCUCUCCCGUGUGUCAUCUGGAACCCCUUAGUCUUUAUAAGUUUAGUCCCUCGACUUAUCCUUUGUGUUCAAAAGGAUUGGGCCACUUGCUGCACCUCGGCACCAUUUACUUUCCUUGCAUUUUUUCCUUGUUGCUAUUACUAGAAAACCCAUAAAAAGUUACCUUUCAGUACCUGCAGUUAUUCCUUACUCAAGAUCACUUGUCAGUACCUUCUGCUUCUCAUUGGGUUCGACACUCUUACUUAUCAAAAAUGCUACGAUAGAUCCCCUACUCUAGUGGGUCAUCAGCGACAGGAACUCCUGCCACGGCAACGGCUCGACCGUUCCGCUCGCUAACCCCGGCCGAGCAACUCGAGCAUCAUCGACAGGGUUAUGCUUCAACUGCGACGAGACCUACGUGCCAUGUCACGUCUGCCCCGCCCCUUCUACCUGGAGGCCUCGACCAUGCCGAGGCGGCUGCCCUGGCAUCAGCAACCUCCCUCGUGGUCUCCCUCCAUGCCCUUGCCAGCAUACGAGCAAAGAAAACGAUGCUAUUGCCAGUGCUGGUUAAUGGGGAGCGCCUUCUAGCUCUCCUGGACACGGGCUCUACACACAACUUCCUGCCUGAAACUACUAUGUGUCUCCUGGCCCUCCAGUCGACGGGCGACAAGCAGCUUCGAGUUACCGUGGCUAAUGGUGACCGUCUUCACUGCCACGGAAUUGCGCGGUAGGUUGCCAUCGUCAUCACCGAUGAGCACUUCGCCAUCACGUGCGUAGGCAUCGACUUGGGUUGCUUCGACUUCAUCCUCGGCGUCGACUUCUUGCGGACGCUCGGACCCAUCCUUUGGUACUUCGACGCCCUGACCAUGACUUUCUGGCAUCAUGGGGCGCGAAGUGCAGUGGACGGGCAAGGGUGGAACUUCUCCAGCAGUUCCCUCCCAGUUGUCGACCGCCAUCACCGACUUUGGGCCGCCCCUGUUGGCUCAUCUCUAGCAGUAGCACAUCGACCUUUUCGACGAGCCUCGGGGUCUUCCGCCCAUCCUGAUCUACGACCAUCGCAUUCACCUUCUCCCGGGGACAACACUCGUCGUCGUACGACCAUACCGCGACCCACGGCUGCACAAGGACGAGCUGGAACGAUAGUGCACGCUUAUGCUCACCUUGGGUAUCAUACGGAUUUCUACUUGACCGUUCUGAGCGCCAGUGCUCGUUGUUCGCAAGCCUGACAGCCUGUGGUGUUUCUGCAUCGAUUACCGUGCUCUCAAUGCCAAGACGUCGAAGGACGAAUUUCCUAUACCGGUCGUGGAGGAGCUCCCGGGGCGAGCUUCACAGGGCACACUUCUUCACUAAGCUCAACUUGCGUUAUGGCUAUCAUCAGGUUCAGAUGCACCGAGACGACAUUGUGAAGACAGCCUUUCGCACCCAUCACAGCCACUUCGAGUUUUUGGUGAUGCCCAUCGGUCUCUCCAAUGCACCGGCAACAUUCCAUCCCUUGAUGAAUGACGUACUCCGGCCCUACCUGCGGCGGUUUGUUCUUGUUUUCUUUGAUGAUAUUCUCAUCUAAAGUUCCCCUUGGGCAUAGCACUUGCAUCACGUCGCCAUCAUCUUCAACGAGCUUCGAGUGUAUCAACUCCACCUCAAGCGCCCGAAGUGCUCGUUUGGCACGACAUCCGUCGCAUAUCUCAGCCACGUCAUUUUAGCGGAGGGAGUUGCCAUGGACGCUGACAAAAUCAUGGCAGUCACAUCUUGGCCGACACGACAUUCACCGCGGGCCCUCCGUGGGUUCUUGGGCCUAGCAGGAUACUACCAGAAGUUUAUUCGGGAGUUCGGCCUUCUCGCCACACCACUUAAGCGACUGUUGCACCGCAACGCCUUCUCUUGGGAUGAUGAGGCAGGUACCGCCUUCCAGCCGCUCGAGGCGGCUCUUACCACAGGGCUGGUCCUUCAGAUGUCGGAUUUUGAGCAGCAGUUCAUGGUUGACUGUGAUGCAUCAGGCAUGGGCUUCGGCGCAGUUCUCCACGAGGGCCCGAGACCUCUCGCUUUCUUCAGCAGACCCUUCGCCGCACGUCAUCACAAGCUCGCGGCCUACGAGCGGGAGCUCAUCGGUUUGGUACAGGUUGUACAACACUGGCGACUGUAUCUGUGGGGAUGACACUUCAUGAUUUGCACAAACCACUACAGCCUCAAAUUUUUGUUGGAUCACCGCCUCUCCACCAUUCCGCAACAUUAGUGGAUUAGUAAGCUAUUCGGCUACGACUUCACCAUUGAGUACCGGCCAGGCCGCCUUAACAUCGUGGCCGACACCUUGUCAUGCCGCUACACCAACCCUAAUGAUGGCGUCUCAGACACUGAGGGCACUACCCUUUGCAUAUGCCUCGUGCCUUCGUUCGUCUUCAUCGAUGACAUUCGCUGAGCCAUUGCGACGGCCGCGGAUGCUCAGCUUCUUCGGCACCGGCUUGUGGAGGGAGAUUUGCCGGCGCCAUGGCGCCUGGAUGUUGGGUUACUCCUCCACGAUCGACGACUCUUUGUGCCCGAGCAUGACGAUCUCCAUCACCAAGAUCUUUGUUUGGUUCACUCAGCCGGCCAUGAGCGGGUGCAGAAAACUGUCCACCGCCUCCGUGUCGACUUCUAUCUACCCGGGGACCGAGCAUUGGUGCGUGACUAGGUGCGGUCUUGUGUGAUGUGCCAACGCAACAAGACACACACAUUGCAGCCAACCGACCUCUUACAGCCCCUUGAGGUGCCUUCGCACGUGUGGGCCGACAUCUCCAUGGAUUUUGUCGAAGGCCUUCCUAAGGUGGGCAGCAAGUCCGUCAUCCUUACGGUGGUCGACCGUUUCUCCAAGUAUGCACACUUUAUCGCAUUGGUCCAUCCCUACACUGCCACUUCCGUAGCACGGGCUUUCUUCGAUGGCAUCGUCCGCCUCCACGGGUUUCCUUCUUCGAUCGUCAACGACCGUGACCUGGUGUUCACUGGCCAUGUGUGGCGGGAUCUUUUUUGGUUGGCACGUGUCAAGUUCCGCUUGAGCACGGAUUUUCAUCCCUAGACAGACGAACAAUCAGAGGUCAUCAAUAAGGUGAUUGCUAUGUACUUACGCUAUAUUACAGGUGAUCGACCACGAGCUUGGGUGGACUGGCUCUUGUGGGUGGAUUACUGCUACAACACUUCGUACCACUCCGCCCUACAUGGCACCCCCUUUGAGGUCGUCUACGAUCGGCCUCCUCCAGCCAUCCCGCCUCUCCAGCUACGGAUGGCGUAGACUGAGGCAGCGGAAGUACUUCUUCGCAACCGCGAUGUCAUCCUUGUUGAGGUGCGGCAGCGUCUUCUUCAGGCCCAACAGUUGUCCAAGAAGUACUAUGAUGCUCACCACCGCGAGGCUGAGUUUGCGGUGGGUGAUUGUGUGUGGCUGCGUCUUCUUCACCAUUCUACGCAGUCACUUGACCCUCGUUCCAAGCGCAAGCUAGGCCCUCGCUAUGCGGGAUCCUUUUAGGUGUUGGAGCGCAUAGGCAGCAUCGCCUACCGCCUUCAGCUACCCCCUGGUGCUCGUCUCCAUGAUGUCUUUCAUGUGGGCUUAUUGAAGCCUUUCCAUGGGGAGCCGCCGGCAGCCGGACCAGAUCUUCCGCCGACCUCAAACAGACGCUUACUUCCUAAUCCAGCUAAGGUGUUGAAGGUUCAGCAAAGUCGUGGUGUGUGACGUCUUUUGAUCCAGUGGCACGGUCUUCUAGAAGAGGAUGCUACUUGGGCGACCCUUGAGGAGUUCCGCAAACAUUUUUCAGACUUCCAACUCGAGGACGAGCUAUUUGCGCACGCGGGGAGAAAUGUUAUGACCGGUUUAUAUUACAACUAGAGAAGGCCCAGUUAAAUAGAACUGGCCCACUUUGUUGGAAUUAUUCCCUAGAGCCAAUGAUGAAUAAACUUAUUAUUAUAAUUCCUGUUUUAAGAUAAUCUUUAUUAUCCAUGCUAUAAUUGUAUUAAAUGAAGACAUAGAUACAUGUGUGGAUACAUAGACAAAACACUGUCCCUAGCAAGCCUCUAGUUGGCUAGCCAGUUGAUCGAGGAUAGUCAAGGUCUUUUGACUAUAGGCAAGUGUUGUUGCUUGAUAACUGGAUCACAUCAUUAGGUGAAUCAUGUGAUGGACUACACCCAAACUUAUGAACGUAGCAUGUUGAUCGUGUAAUUUUGUUGCUACUGUUUUCUGCAUGUCAACUAUUUAUUCCUAUGACCAUGAUAUCACAUAACUCACGGGCACCGGAGGAAUACCUUGUGUGUAUCAAACGUCACAACGUAACUGGGUGACUAUAAAGAUGCUCUACAGGUAUCUCCGAAGGUGUCCGUUAAGUUAGUAUGGAUCAAGACUGGGAUUUGUCACUCCGUGUGACGGAGAGGUAUCUCGAGGCCCACUCGGUAAUACAACAUCACACACAAGCCUUGCAAGCAAUGUGACUUAGUGUAAGUCACGGGAUCUUGUAUUAUGGAACGAGCAAAGAGACUUGCCGGUAAACUAGAUUGAAAUAGGUAUGCGGAUACCGACGAUCGAAUCUCGGGCAAGUAACAUACCGAAGGACAAAGGGAAUAACAUACGGGAUUAAAUAAAUCCUUGGCACCGAGGUUCAACCGAUAAGAUCUUCGUAGAAUAUGUAGGAUCCAAUAUGGGAAUCUAGGUCCUGCUAUUGGAUAUUGACCGAGGGUUCACUCGGGUCAUGUCUACAUAGUUCUCGAACCCGCAGGGUCUGCACACUUAAGGUUCGACGAUGUUUUAUACGUAUUUGAGUUAUAUGGUUGGUUACCGAAUGUUGUUCGGAGUCCCGGAUGGGACCACGGACGUCACGAGGGUUUCUGGAAUGGUCUGGAAACAAAGAUUAAUAUAUAGGUUUGUCUCAUUUGGUUACCGGAAGGUUUUCGGGCAUUACCGACAUCGUACCGAGAGUGAUGAAUGGGUUCCGGGUAUUUACCAGGAGGGGGGAAACCCACUCGGGAGUGGCCCAAGGCCUUGAGGGUGCCGCUGUUAGAAUUAUGCCCUAGAGGCAAUCAUAAAUAAGUUAUUAUUAUAAUUCCUGUAUCAAGAUAAUCGUUUAUUAUCCAUGCUAUAAUUGUAUUGAAUGAAGACUCAUUUACAUUUGUGGAUACAUAGACAAAACACCGUCCCUAGCAAGCCUCUAGUUGGCUAGCCAGUUGAUCAAAGAUAGUCAGUGUCUUCUGAUUAUGAACAAAGUGUUGUUGCUUGAUAACUGGAUCACGUCAUUAGGAGAAUCACGUGAUGGACUAGACCCAAACUAAUAGACGUAGCAUGUUGAUCGUGUCAUUUUGUUGCUACUGUUUUCUGCGUGUCAAGUAUUUAUUCCUAUGACCAUGAGAUCAUAUAACUCACUGGCACCGGAGGAGUGCCUUGUGUGUAUCAAACGUCAAAACCUUACUGGGUGACUAUAAAGAUGCUCUAUAGGUAUCUCCGAAGGUGCCCGUUGAGUUAGUAUGGAUCAAGUUUGGGAUUUGUCACUCCAUGUGACGGAGAGGUAUCUCGGGGCCCACUCGGUAAUACAACAUCACACACAAGCCUUGCAAGCAAUGUCACUUAGUGUAAGUCACGGGAUCUUGUAUUGCGGAACGAGUAAAGAGACUUUCCGGUUAACGAGAUUGAAAUAGGUGUGCGGAUACCGACGACCGAAUCUCGGGCAAGUAACAUACCGAAGGACAAAGGGAAUGCCAUACGGGAUUAUAUGAAUCCUUGGCACUGAGGUUCAGCCGAUAAGAUCUUCGGAGAAUAUGUAGGAUCCAAUAUGGACAUCCAGGUCCGAAUAUUGGCUAUUGACCGAGGAGUCCCUCGGGUCAUGUCUACAUAGUUCUCGAUCCCGCAGGGUCUGCACACUUAAAGUUCGGCGAUGUUUUAUGCGUAUUUGAGUUAUAUGGUUGGUUAACGAAUGUUGUUCGGAGUCCCAGAUGGGAUCAUGGACGUCAUGAGGGUUUCCGGAAUGGUCUGGAAACGAAGAUUGAUAUAUAGGUUUGUCUCAUUUGGUUACCGGAAGGUUUUCGCGCAUUACUCGCAUCGUACCGGGAGUGACGAAUGGGCUCCGGGUAUUUACCAAGAGGGGGGCAACCCACCCGGGAGUGGCCCAAGGCUUUAGGGGUGGCGCACCAGCCCUUAGUGGGCUGGUGGGACAGCCCAAGAGGGCCUAUGGUGCCACAAGUGGAAAACCAAAGAGAAAAGAAAAAAAAGGAAGUGGGCAGGUGGAGAAGGACUCAACUUUCCAAUCCUAGUAAGACUAGGAUUGGAGGUGGACUCCUCCACCUCCUUGGCCGGUGCACCAAGGGAGGCUUGGCCCUCAAGGCAAGCAUCCCCACCUCUUCCCCUAUAUAUAGUGGAGUUUUGGGCUGAUUUGAGACAACUAUGCCAUGGCAGCCCGACCACAAACUCCACCGUUUUUUCCUCUAGAUCGUAUUUCCGCGGAGCUCGGGCGGAGCCUUGCUGGAAUAGAUCAUCACCAACCUCCGGAGCGCCGUCACGCUGCCGGAGAACUCAUCUACCUCUCCGUCUCUCUUGCUGGAUCAAGAAGGCUGAGAUCAUCGUCGAGCUGUACGUGUGCUGAACGCGGAGGUGCCGUCCGUUCGGCACUAGAUCGUGUCGGAUCAAGAAGGCCGAUAUCAUCGUCGCGAUGUACGUGUGCUAAACACGGAGGUGUCGUCCGUUCGGCACUAGAUAGGAUCGUGGGACGAAGAGUACGACUACGGUGAUUUGAAUCACGCAAGCUGUUCCACUACAUCGUCCGCGUUUCUAAAAGCUUGCCGUUGUGUGAUCUACAAGGGUAUGUAGAUCGGAAAUCUCCUCUCGUAGAUGAACAUCACCAUGAUAGGUAUUGCGUGUGCGUAGGAAAAAUUUUGUUUCCCGUGCAACGUUCCCCAACAGUGGCAUCAUGAGCUAGGUUCUUGCGUAGAUGUUAUCUCGAGUAGAACACAAAAGUUUUUGUGGGUGGUGAUGUGCAAUUUUCUGCCCUCCUUAGUCUUUUCUUGAUUCCGCGGUAUUGUUGGAUCGAAGCGGCUCGGACCGUCAUUACUCGUACGCUUAUGAGAGACUGGUUUCAUUGCUACGAGCAACCCUGUUGCUCAAAGAUGACGGGCGAGUGUCGGUUUCUCCAACUUUAGUUGAAUCGGAAUUGACCGAGGAGGUCCUUGGAGAGAGGUUAAAUAGCAAUUCAUACAUCUCCGUUGUGGUGAUUGCGUAAGUAAGAUGCGAUCCUACUAGAUACCCAUGGCCACCACAUAAAACAUGCAAUAACCAUUAGAGGCCGUCUAACUUGUUUUUGAAGGGUAUGCUUGUGAUGUGAUAUGGCCGACGACGUGAUGUGAUAUAUUGGAUGUAUGAGAUGAUCAUGUUUUAAUAGUUAAUAUCGACUUGCACGUCGAUGCUACAGCACCCGGCAGGAUCCAUAGGGUUGUCUUUAAACUAACGUUUGUGUUUGCAGAUGUGUUUACUAUAUUGGUAGGACGUAGAUUUAGUAGUAAUAGCAUAGCAUACACGACAACCUCGAUGGUGGCACGAUGAUGGAGAUCAUCAUGAUGGGGAUCAUGGUGUGGCGCCGGUGACAAGAAGAUCAUACCGGUGCUUGGUGAUGGAGAUCAAGGAGCACUUGCUGAUGGCCAUAUCAUGUCACUUAUGAAUUGCAUGUGAUGUUAAUCCUUUAUGCACCUUAUUAUGCUUAGAACGACGGUAGCAUUAUGAGGUGAUCUCUCACUAAAAUAUCAAGCUCAAAUUGUGUUCUCCCCGACUGUGCACCAUUGCGACAGUUCGUCGUUUCGAGACACCACGUAAUGAUCGGGUGUGAUAGACUCAACGUUCACAUACAACGGGUGCAAAAGAGUUGCACGCGCGAAAUAGUCAGGUUAAACUUGACGAGCCUAGCAUGUACAGACAUGGCCUCGGAACACAUGAGACCGAAAGGUCGAGCAUGAAUCGUAUAGUUGAUAUGAUUAGCAUAGAGAUGCUUACCACUGAAACUACUCUCAAUUCACGUGAUGAUCGGACUUGAGAUAGUGGAUUUGGAUCAUGUACGAGUCAAAUGACUAGAGAGAUGUACUUUUUGAGUGGGAGUUUAAAGUUAAUUUGAUUAGUUAAACUCUAAUUAUCUUGAACAUGGUCUAAGUCCACUUUCCUAUAUUUGUGUUGUAGAUCAAUGGCUCACGCAGUAGUAACCCUGAAUUUUAAUACGUUCCUAGAGAAAGCUAAGCUGAAAGAUGAUGGAAGCAACUUUGUAGACUACGCUCGUAAUCUUAAGUGGCUCCUAAAAGCUGGGAAGAAGGAUUAUGUCCUUAAUGCUGCGCUAGGAGAUGAACCACCCGCUACGGCUGACUAGGAUGUUAAGAAUGCCUGGUUGACGCGUAAGGAGGACUACUCAAUAGUUCAAUGUGCAAUCUUGUAUGGCUUAGAGCCGGGACUUCAAUGUCGCUUUGAACAACACGGAGCAUAUGAGAUGUUCGAGGAGUUGAAGUUUAUCUUUAUGAAAAAUGCCCGGAUCGAGAGAUAUGGGAUCUCCGAUAAAUUCUAUGCUUGCAAGAUGGAGGAGAAUUCGUCUGUCAGUGAUCAUGUGCUCAAAAUGUCUGGGUACUCCAACCGCAUGGAUGACCUAGGGAUUGAACUCCCGCAAGAGGACAUCACUAACAGAAUUCUUCAAUCACUGCCGCCAAGCUAUAAAGGCUUUGUGUUGAACUAUAACAUGCAAGGGAUGAACAAGUCACCCGGCGAGUUAUUCGCGAUGCUAAAAGUCGCAGAGUCAAAACUCCGGAAAGAGCAUCAAGUGUUGAUGGUCAAUAAGACCACUCGUUUCAAGAGAAACGGCAAAGGCAAGAAGGGUAACUCCAAGAAGAACGGCAAACCUGUUGUCAAUCUGACGAAGAAACCCAAGGUUAGACCUAAGCCUGAAACAGAGUGUUAUUAUUGCAAGGGUAUGGGUCACUGGAAGCGCAACCGCCCCAAGUAUUUGGCUAAUAAGAAGGCGGCCAAGGAAAAAUCAGGUAUAUUCGAUAUACAUGUUAUUGAUGUGUACUUAACCAACUCUCGUAGUAGUGUCUGGGUAUUCGAUACCGGUUCUGUUGCUCACAUUUGCAACUCGAAGCACGAACUACGGAAUAAGCGAAGGCUGGUGAAGGAUGAAGUGAUGAUGCGCGUUCCAAGGUUGAUGUGAUCGCCGUCGGCACAACCUCACUUCAAUUACCAUCAGGAUUAGUUAUGAACUUAAAUAAUUGUUAUUUAGUGCCUGCAUUAAGCAUGAACAUUAUAUCUGGAUCUUGUUUAUUGCGAGACGGUUACUCAUUUAAGUCAGAGAAUAAUGGUUGUUCUAUUUCUAUGAGUAAUAUCUUUUAUGGUCAUGCACCCAAUGUGAGAGGAUUUUUCAUACUGAAUCUUGAUAGCAAUGAUACACACGUACAUAACAUUGAGACCAAAAGAUGUAGGGUUAAUAACGAUAGUGCCAUGUUUUUAUGGCACUGCCGCUUAGGUCAUAUUGGUGUAAAGUGCAUGAAGAAACUCCAUUCCGAUGGGCUUUUGGAGUCACUUGAUUUUGAAUCACUUGACACUUGCGAACCAUGCCUCAUGGGCAAGAUGACUAAGACUCCGUUCUCCGGGACAAUGGAGCGUGCAAGUGACUUAUUGGAGAUUAUACAUACCGAUAUAUGUGGUCCGAUGAGUGUGGAGGCGCGCGUCGGAUAUGGAUAUCGUUAUUUUCUCACCUUCACUGACGAUUUGACUAGAUAUGGUUAUGUCUACUUGAUGAAGCACAAGUCUGAAACAUUUGAAAAGUUCAAGCAAUUUUAGAGUGAAGUAGAAAAUCAUCAUAACAAGAAGAUCAAGUUCCUACGUUCCGAUCGCGGGGGUGAGUAUCUGAGUUUCGAGUUUGGUACUCACUUGAGACAAUGCGGGAUUGUUUCACAGUUGACACCGCCUGGAACACCACAGCAUAAUGGUGUGUCCGAACGUCGUAAUCGUACUUUACUAGAGAUGGUGCGAUCUAUGAUGUCUCUUACGGAUUUGCCAUUGUCGUUUUGGGGCUAUGCUUUGGAGACAGCUGCAUUCACUUUAAAUAGGGCACCAUCAAAAUCCAUUGAGACGACACCAUAUCAGCUGUUGUAUGGCAAAAGACCAAAAUUAUCGUUUCUUAAAGUUUGGGGAUGUGAUGCUUAUGUGAGGAAGCUUCAGCCUGAAAAGCUGGAACUAAAAGCGGAAAAGUGUGUCUUCAUAGGUUACCCAAAGGAGACAGUUGGGUAUGCCUUCUAUCUCAAAUCCGAAGGCAAAGUGUUUGUUGCUAAGAACGGAGCUUUUCUCGAGAAAGAGUUUCUCUCGAGAGAAUUGAGUGGGAGGAAGAUAGAACUUGAUGAGGUUGUCGAACCUCUCAUCCCUCUGGAUGGUGGCGCAGGGCAAGGGGAAACCCCUGUCGUUGCAACGCCGGUUGAGGAGGAAGUUAAUGAUGAUGAUCAUGAAACUCUGGAUCAAGUUCCUAUCAGACCUCGUAGGUAGAUGAGACCACGUACUGCUCCAGAGUGGUACGGUAAUCCCAUCUUAUCAAUUAUGUUGUUAGACAACAAUGAGCCUGCGAAUUAAGAAGAAGCAAUGGUGGGCCUGGAUUCCAACAAAUGGCUGGAGGCCAUGAAGUCCGGGAUAGGAUCUAUGUAUGAAAACAAAGUGUGGACUUUGGAAGUCCAACCUGAAGGCCGCACGGCUAUUGAGAACAAAUGGAUCUUUAAGAAGAAGACGGACGGUGACGGUAAUGUGACCGUUUAUAAAGCUUGACUUAUGGCAAAGGGUUUUUCACAAGUUCAAGGAGUUGACUACGAUGAGACGUUCUCACCCGUAGCGAUGCUUAAGUCCGUUCGAAUCAUGUUAGCAAUAGCUGCAUUUUUUGAUUAUGAAAUCUGGCAGAUGGAUGUCAAAACGGCGUUCCUUAAAGGAUUCCUUAAGGAAGAGCUGUAUAUGAUGCAACCCGAAGGUUUUAUCGAUCCUAAAAAUGCUAACAAAGUAUGCAAGCUCCAGCGAUCCAUUUAUGGACUGGUGCAAGCAUCUCGGAGUUGGAAUAAGCGCUUUGAUGAGGUCAUCAAAACAUUUGGGUUUAUACAGGUGCUUGGAGAUUCCUGUAUUUACAAAAAAGUGAGUGGGAGCUCUGUGGCGUUCCUAAUAUUAUAUGUGGAUGACAUAUUCCUGAUUGGAAACGGCGUGGAGCUUUUGGAGAGCAUAAAGGAUUACUUGAAUAAAAGUUUCUCAAUGAAGGACCUAGGAGAAGCUGCUUACAUUCUAGGCAUAAAGAUCUAUAGGGAUAGAUCGAGACGCCUGAUAGGACUUUCACAAAGCACGUACCUUGAUAAGCUUUUGAAGAGGUUCAAAACGGAACAGUCCAAGAAGGGGUUCUUGCCAGUUUUACAAGGUACAAGAUUGAGUAAGACUCAGUGCCCAGCAAUUCAUAAAGAUGGAGAGUAUAUGAGUACCGUCCCCUAUGCUUCAGCCAUAGGUUCUAUCAUGUAUGCAAUGUUGUGCACUAGACCGGAUGUUAGCCUGGCCAUAAGUAUGGCGGGAAGGUUCCAUAGUAAUCCAGGAGUGGAUCACUGGACGGCGGUCAAGAAUAUCCUGAAGUACCUGAAAAGGACUAAGGAGAUGUUUCUCGUGUAUGGAGGUGACGAAGAGCUCGCCGUAAAAGGUUACGUCGAUGCAAGCUUUGACACAGAUCCGGACGACUCUAAGUCACAAACCGGAUACGUAUUUAUUAUUAAUGGAGGUGCGUAAGCUAGUGCAGCUCCAAGCAAAGCGUCGUGACUGAUUCUACAUGUGUAGCGGAGUACAUGGCUGCCUCGGAGGCAGCUAAGGAGGGUGUCUGGAUGAAGCAGUUCAUGAUGGAUCUUGGAGUUGUACCGAGCGCACUAAAUCCAAUAACUCUGUUCUGUGACAACACGGGUGCCAUUGCCUUAGCAAAGGAACCACAGUUUCACAAGAAGACCAGACACAUCAAGCGACGCUUCAGCCUCAUUUGCGACUACGUCGAGGAGGAGGACGUGAAUAUCUACAAACUACACACGGAUCUAAAUGUGGCAGACCCGCUGACUAAGCCUCUUCCAUGGGCAAAGCAUGAUCAACACCAGAACUGUAUGGGUGUUAGAUUUAUUACAAUGUAAUUCUCAUGUCGAUGUGAGGACUAGAUUAUUGACUCUAGUGCAAGUGCGAGACUGUUGGAAUUAUGCCCUAGAGGCAAUGAUAAAUAAGUUAUUAUUAUAAUUCCUGUAUCAAGAUAAUCGUUUAUUAUCCAUGCUAUAAUUGUAUUGGAUGAAGACAUGGAUACAUGUGUGGAUACAUAGACAAAACACUAUCCCUAGCAAGCCUCUAGUUGGCUAGCCAGUUGAUCAAGGAUAGUCAAGGUCUUCUGGCUAUAUGCAAGGUGUUGUUGCUUGAUAACUGGAUCACAUCAUUAAGUGAAUCAUGUGAUGGACUAGACCCAAACUAAUGAACGUAGCAUGUUGAUCGUCUCAUUUUGUUGCUACUUUUUUCUGCGUGUCAAGUAUUUAUUCCUAUGACCAUGAGAUCAUAUAACUCACUCGCACCGGAGGAGUGCCUUGUGUGUAUCAAACUUCACAACGUUACUGGGUAACUAUAAAGAUGCUCUACACGUAUCUCCGAAGGUGUCCGUUGAGUUAGUAUGUAUCAAGACUGGGAUUUGUCACUCGGUGUGACGGAGAGGUAUCUCGGGGCCCACUCGGUAAUACAACAUCACACACAAGCCUUGCAAGCAAUGUGACUUAGUGUGAGUCACAUGAUCUUGUAUUACGGAACGAGUAAAGAGACUUGCCGGUUAACGAGAUUGAAAUAGGUAUGCGGAUACCGAUGAUCGAAUCUCGGGAAAGUAACAUACCGAAGGACAAAGGGAAUGACAUACGGGAUUAUAUGAAUCCUUGGCACUGAGGUUCAACCGAUAAGAUCUUCGGAGAAUACGUAGGAUCCAAUAUGGGCAUCCAGGUCCCGCUAUUGGAUAUUGACCGAGGAGUCCCUCAGGUCAUGUCUACAUAAUUCUCGAACCCGCAGGGUCUGCACACUUAAGGUUCAGCGAUGUUUUAUGCGUAUUUGAGUUAUAUGGUUGGUUACCGAAUGUUGUUCGGAGUCCUGGAUGGGAUCACGAACGUCACGAGGGUUUCCGGAAUGGUCCAGAAACGAAGAUUGAUAUAUAGGUUUGUCUCAUUUGGUUACCGGAAGGUUUUCACACAUUACCGGCAUCAUACCGGGAGUGACGAAUGGGUACCGGGUAUUUACCGGGAGGGGGGCAACCCACCCGGGAGUGGCCUAAGGCCUUAGGGGUGGCGCACUAGCCCUUAGUGGGCUGGUGGGACAGCCCAAGAGGGCCUAUGGCGCCACAAGUGGAAAACCAAAGAGAAAAUAAAAAAAGGAAGUGGGAAGGUGGAGAAGGAUUCCACUUUCCAAUCCUAGUAAGACUAGGAUUGGAGGUGGACUCCUCCACCUCCUUGGCUAGCGCACCAAGGGAGGCUUGGCCCUCAGGGCAAGCCUCCCCACCUCUUCCCCUAUAUAUAGUGAAGUUUAGGGCUGAUUUGAGACAACUUUGUCAUGGCAGCCCGACCACAAAGUCCACCGUUUUUCCUCUAGAUCGUAUUUCUGCGGAGCUCGGGCGGAGCCCUACUGGAAUAGAUCAUCACCAACCUCCGGAGCACCGUCACGCUGCCGGAGAACUCAUCUACCUCUCCGUCUCUCUUGCUGGAUCAAGAAGGCCGAGAUCAUCGUCGCGUUGUACGUGUGCUGAACGCGGAGGUGUCGUUUGUUCGGCACUAGAUCGAAUCGUGGGACGAAGAGUAUGACUACGGUGAUUUGAAUCACGCAAGCUGUUCCACUACAUCGUCCGUGUUUCUUAACGCUUACCGCUGUGCGAUCAACAAGGCUACGUAGAUCAGAAAUCUACUCUCGUAGAUGAACAUCACCAUGAUAGGUAUUGCGUGUGCAUAGGAAAUUUUUUGUUUCCCAUGCAACGUUCCCCAACAGUGGCAUCAUGAGCUAGGUUCAUGCGUAGAUGUUAUCUCGAGUAGAACACAAAAGUUUUUGUGGGUGGUGAUGUGCGAUUUGCUGCCCUCCUUAGUCUUUUCUUGAUUCCGCUGUAUUGUUGGAUCAAAGCGGCUCGGACCGACAUUACUCGUAUGCUUACGAGAGACUGGAUUCAUCGUUACGAGCAACCCCGUUGCUCAAAGAUGACUGGCGAGUGUCGGUUUCUCCAACUUUAGUUGAAUCGGAUUUGACCGAGGAGGUCCUUCGAGAGAGGUUAAAUAGCAAUUCAUACAUCUCUAUUGUGGUGAUUGCGUAAGUAAGAUGCGAUCCUACUAGAUACCCAUGGCCACCAUGUAAGACAUGCAACAACAAUUAAAGGACGUUGAUGACCCACAAGGAUAGGGGAUCAAUCGUAGUCCUUUCGAUAAGUAAGAGUGUCUAACCCAACGAGGAGCAGAAGGCCCUGAUAAACGGUUUUCAGCAAGGUAAUAACUACAAGCACUGAAAGUAGCGGUAACAAGUGAUGGUGUAGUGAGGUGAAACAUAGCAAGCGAAAAGUAACAAGUAACAAGUAGUAGCAAUGGUGCAGCAAGGGGCCCAAUCCCUUUUGUAGCAAGGGACAAGCCUGAACAAAGUCUUAUAGGAGGAAAAAUGCUCCCGAGGACACACGGGAAUUUCUGUCAUGCUAGUUUCAUCAUGUUCAUAUGAUUCGCGUUCGUUACUUUGAUAGUUUGAUAUGUGGGUGGACCGCUUGGGUACUGCCCUUACUUGGACAAGCAUCCCACUUAUGAUUAACCUCUCUCGCAAGCAUCCGCAAGUACAAAAGAACAAUUAAGACAACGUCUAACCAUAGCAUUAAACUAGUGGAUCCAAAUCAGCCCCUUACGAAGCAACGCAUAGACUGGGGUUUAAGCUUGUGUCACUCCAGCAACCCAUCAUCUACUUACUACUCCCCAAUGCCUUCCUCUAGGCCCAAAUAUGGUGAAGUGUUAUGUAGUCGACGUCCACAUAACACCACUAGAGGAAAAACAACAUACAACAUAUCAAAAUGCCGAACGAAUAUCAAACUCACAUGACUAUUAUCAGCAUGACUUAUCCCAUGUCCUCAGGAACAGAAGUAACUACUCACAAAGCAUAAUCAUAAUCAUGAUCAGAGGUGUAAUGAAUAGCAUCAAGGAUCUGAACAUAAACUCUUCCACCAAGUAAUCCAACUAGCAUCAACUACAAAGAGUAAUCAACACUACUAGCAACCUUACAAGUACCAAUCGGAGUCGUGAGACGGAGAUUGGUUACAAGAGAUGAACUAGGGACUGGAGAGGAGAUGGUGCUGAUGAAGAUGUUGAUGAAGAUGUCUCCCCUCUGACGAGAGGAGUGUUGGUGAUAACGAUGGCGACGAUUUCCCCCUCCGGGAGGGAAGUUUCCCCGGCAGGAUNNNNNNNNNNNNNNNNNNNNNNNNNNNNNNNNNNNNNNNNNNNNNNNNNNNNNNNNNNNNNNNNNNNNNNNNNNNNNNNNNNNNNNNNNNNNNNNNNNNNGUGGAACGUCCUCACGUCCCUCGAUCCGCCCCGCGAACAAUCCCGCGAUCAGUCCCACGAUCUAGUACCGAACGGACGGCACCUCCGCGUUCAGCACACGUACAGCUCGACGAUGAUCUCGGCCUUCUUGAUCCAGCAAGAGAGACGGAGAGGUAGAAGAGUUCUCCGGCAGCGUGACGGCGCUCCGGAGGUUGGUGAUGACCUUGGGCAGCGUGAUGUCGCUCCGGAGGUUGGUGAUGACCUUGUCUCAGCAGGGCUCCGCCCGAGCUCCGCAGAAACGCGAUCUGGAGGAAAAACCGUGGAGGUAUGUGGUCGGGCUGCCGUGGAAAAGUCGUCUCAAAUCAGCCCUAAAACCUCCAUAUAUAUAGGUGGGAGGGAGGGGACCUUGCCUUGGGGCUCAAGGAGCCCCAAGGGGGUCGGCCGAGUCCAAGGGGGAAGGCUCCCCCCCCCAAACCGAGUUGGACUUGGUUUGGUGGGUGGGAGUCCUUCCUUCCCUUCCCACCUCCUCCUUUUCUUUUCUCUUUGAUUUUCUUUCCUAGGCGCAUAGGGCCCUUUUGGGCUGUCCCACCAGCCCACUAAGGGCUGGUGUGCCACCCUCAAGGCCUAUGGGCUUCCCCGGGGUGGGUUGCCCCCCCCCCCCGUNNNNNNNNNNNNNNNNNNNNNNNNNNNNNNNNNNNNNNNNNNNNNNNNNNNNNNNNNNNNNNNNNNNNNNNNNNNNNNNNNNNNNNNNNNNNNNNNNNNNNNNNNNNNNNNNNNNNNNNNNNNNNNNNNNNNNNNNNNNNNNNNNNNNNNNNNNNNNNNNNNNNNNNNNNNNNNNNNNNNNNNNNNNNNUUCGGUAUGUUACUUGCCCGAGAUUCUAUCGUCAGUAUCCGUAUACCUAUUUCAAUCUCGUUUACCGGCAAGUCUCUUUACUCGUUCCGUAAUACAAGAUCCCGCAACUUACAUUAAGUCACAUUGCUUGCAAGGCUUGUGUGUGAUGUUGUAUUACCGAGUGGGCCCCGAGAUACCUCUCCGUCACACGAAGUGACAAAUCCCAGUCUCGAUCCAUACUAACUGAACGAACACCUUCGGAGAUACCUGUAGAGCAUCUUUAUAGUCACCCAGUUACGUUGCGACGUUUGAUACACACAAAGCAUUCCUCCGGUGUCAGUGAGUUAUAUGAUCUCAUGGUCAUAGGAAUAAAUACUUGACACGCAGAAAACAGUAGCAACAAAAUGACACGAUCAACAUGCUACGUCUAUUAGUUUGGGUCUAGUCCAUCACGUGAUUCUCCUAAUGACGUGAUCCAGUUAUCAAGCAACAACACCUUGUUCAUAAUCAGAAGACCCUGACUAUCUUUGAUCAACUCACUAGCCAACUACAGGCUUGCUAGGGACAGUGUUUUGUCUAUGUAUUCACACAUGUAUAUAAGUCUACAUUCAAUACAAUUAUAGCAUGGAUAAUAAACGAUUAUCAUGAACUAAGAAAUAUAAUAAUAACGAAUUUAUUAUUGCCUCUAUGGCAUAAUUCCAAUAGUCUCCCACUUGCACUAGAGUCAAUAAUCUAGCCCUCACAUCAUCAUGUGAAUUACAUUGUAAUAAAUCUAACACCCAUACAGUUCUGGUGUUGAUCAUGCUUUGGUCGUGGAAGAGGUUUAGUCAGCGGGUCUGCUACAUUCAGAUCCGUGUGCACUUUGCAUAUAUUUACGUCAUCUCCCUCGACGUAGUCGCGGAUGAGGUUGAAGCGUCGUUUGAUGUGUCUGGUCUUCUUGUGAAACCGUGGUUCCUUUGCUAAGGCAAUGGCACCAGUGUUGUCACAGAACAAGGUUAUUGGAUCCAGUGCACUUGGCACCACUCCAAGAUCCGUCAUGAACUGCUUCAUCCAGACACCCUCCUUAGCUGCCUCCGAGGCAACCAUGUACUCCGCUUCACAUGUAGAAUCAGCCGCCUCCGAGGCAGCCAUGUACUCCGCUUCACAUGUAGAAUCUGCUACGACGCUUUGCUUGGAACUGCACCAGCUUAUCGCACCCCCAUUAAGAAUAAAUACGUAUCCGGUUUGCGACUUAGAGUCGUCCGGAUCUGUUUCAAAGCUUGCAUCGACGUAACCUUUUACGGCGAGCUCUUCGUCACCUCCAUACACGAGAAACAUCUCCUUAGUCCUUUUCAGGUACUUUAGGAUAUUCUUGACCGCUGUCCAGUGAUCCACUCCUGGAUUACUCUGGAACCUACCUGCCAUACUUAUGGCCACGCUAACAUCCGGUCUAGUGCACAGCAUUGCAUACAUGAUAGAACCUAUGGCUGAAGCAUAGGGGACGGAGCGCAUAUGCUCUCUAUCUUCAUCAGUUGCUGGGCACUGAGUCUUACUCAAUCUCGUACCUUGUAAAACUGGCAAGAACCCUUUCUUGGACUGUUCCAUUUUGAACCUCUUCAAAACUUUAUCAAGGUAUGUGCUUUGUGAAAGUCCUAUCAGGCGUUUUGAUCUAUCCCUAUAGAUAUUAAUGGCUAGAAUGUAAGCAGCUUCUCCUAGGUCCUUCAUAGAGAAACUCUUAUUCAAGUAAUCCUUUAUGAUCUCUAAAAACUCCACGUUGUUUCCAAUCAGCAAUAUGUCAUCCACAUAUAAUAUUAGAAACGCCACAGAGCUCCCACUCACUUUCUUGUAAAUACAAGAUUCUCCAACCACUUGUAUAAACCCAAAUGCUUUGAUCACCUCAUCAAAGCGUUUGUUCCAACUCCGAGAUGCUUGCACCAGUCCAUAAAUGGAUCGCUGGAGCUUGCACACCUUGUUAGCAUUCUUAGGAUUGACAAAACCUUCGGGUUGUAUCAUUUACAACUCUUCCUUAAGGAAACCGUUAAGGAACGCCGUUUUGACAUCCAUCUGCCAGAUUUCAUAAUCGAAAAAUGCAGCUAUUGCUAACAUGAUUCUGACGGACUUAAGCAUCGCUACGGGUGAGAAUGUCUCAUCGUAGUCAACUCCUUGAACUUGUGAAAAACCCUUUGCCACAAGUCGAGCUUUAUAAACGGUCACAUUGCCGUCAGCGUCCGUCUUCCUCUUAAAGAUCCAUUUGUUCUGAAUAGCCUUGCGGCCCUCAGGUAGUACCUCCAAAGUCCACACUUUGUUCUCAUACAUGGAUCCUAUCUCGGACUUCAUGGCUUCUAGCCAUUUGUUGGAAUCUGGGUCCACCAUUGCUUCUUCAUAAUUUGCAGGUUCAUUGUUGUCUAACAACAUGAUUGAUAAGACGUGAUUACCGUACCACUCUGGAGCAGCACGUGGUCUCGUCGACCUGCGUGGUUCGACAGAAACUUGAACUGGAGUUUCAUGAUCAUCAUCAUUAACUUCCUCCUCAACCGGUGUCGCAACGACAGAGGUUUCCCCUUGCCCUGCGCCACCAUCCAGAGGGAUGAGAGGGUCGACAACCUCAUCAAGUUCUAUCUUCCUCCCACUCAAUUCUCUCGAGAGAAACUCCUUCUCGAGAAAAGCUCCGUUUUUAGCAACAAACACUUUGCCCUCGGAUUUGAGAUAGAAGGUGUACCCAACUGUCUCUUUUGGGUAACCUAUGAAGACGCACUUUUCCGCUUUGGGUUCCAGCUUUUCAGGCUGAAUCUUUUUUACAUAAGCAUCACAUCCCCAAACUUUAAGAAGCGACAACUUUGGCCUUUUGCCAUACCACAGUUCGUAUGGUGUCGUCUCAACGGAUUUUGAUGGUGCCCUAUUUAAAGUGAAUGCAGCUGUUUCUAAUGCAUAACCCCAAAACGAUAACGGCAGAUCAGUAAGAGACAUCAUAGAUCGCACCAUCUCUAAUAGAGUACGAUUACGACGUUCGGACACACCAUUACGCUGUGGUGUUCCAGGCGGUGUUAACUGUGAAACAAUUCCACAUUGUCUUAAGUGAGUAACAAACUCGAAACUCAGAUAUUCACCCCCACGAUCAGACCGUAGGAACUUGAUCUUCUUGUUACGAUGAUUUUCCACUUCACUCUGAAAUUGCUUGAACUUUUCAAAUGUUUCAGACUUGUGCUUCAUCUAGUAGACAUAACCAUAUCUACUCAAAUCGUUGGUGAAGGUGAGAAAAUAACGAUAUCCGCCACGUGCCUCCACGCUCAUCGGACCACACACAUCGGUAUGUAUGAUUUCCAACAAGUCACUUGCACGCUCCGUUGUUCCGGAGAACGGAGUCUUAGUCAUCUUGCCCAUGAGGCAUGGUUCGCAUGUGUCAAGUGAAUCAAAGUCAAGUGACUCCAAAAGUCCAUCAGCAUGGAGUUCCUUCAUGCGCUUUACACCAAUAUGACCUAAGCGGCAGUGCCACAAAAAUAUGGCGCUAUCAUUGUUAACUCUAACUCUUUUGGUCUCAAUGUUAUGUAUAUGCGUAUCGCUAUCAAGAUUCAAUAUGAACAAUCCUCUCACAUUAGGUGCAUGACCAUAAAAGAUGUUACUCAUAGAAAUAGAACAACCAUUAUUCUCUGACUUAAAAGAGUAACCGUCUCGCAAUAAACAAGAUCCAGAUAUAAUGUUCAUGCUCAACGCAGGCACUAAAUAACAAUGAUCUAAGUUCAUCACUAAUACUGAUGGUAACUGAAGUGAAACUGUGCCGACGGCGAUUGCAUCAACCUUGGAACCAUUUCCUACGUGCAUCGUCAAUUCAUCUUUCGCCAGCCUUCGUCUAUUCCGCAGUUCCUGUUUCGAGUUGCAAAUAUGAGCAACAGAACCGGUAUCGAAUACCCAGGCACUACUACGAGAGCCGGUUAAGUACACAUCAAUAACAUGUAUAUCAAAUAUACCUGAUUUUUCUUUGGCCGCCUUCUUAUCUGCCAGAUACUUGGGGCAAUUGCGCUUCCAGUGACCCAUACCCUUGCAAUAGUAACACUCCGUUUCAGGCUUAGGUCCAGCUUUGGGUUUCUUCGUUGGAUUGGCAACAGGCUUGCCGCUCUUCUUCGAAUUACCCUUCUUGCCUUUGCCGUUUCUCUUGAAACUAGUGGUCUUAUUCACCAUCAACACUUGAUGCUCUUUACGGAGUUCAGACUCUGCGACUUUCAGCAUCGCAAACAACUCGCCGGGAGACUUGUUCAUCCCUUGCAUGUUGUAGUUCAACACAAAGCCUUUAUAGCUUGGCGGCAGUGAUUGAAGGAUUCUGUCAGUGAUAGCCUCUUGCGGGAGUUCAAUCCCCAGCCCAGCUAGACGGUUUGAGUACCCCAGACAUUUUGAGCACAUGUUCACUGACAGACGAGUUUUCCUCCAUCUUGCAAGCAUAGAAUUUAUCGGAGGUCUCAUACCUCUCGAUCCGGGCGUUCUUCUGAAAGAUAAACUUCAACUCCUGGAACAUCUCAAAUGCUCCAUGACGCUCAAAGCGACGUUGAAAUCCCGGUUCUAAGCCAUACAAGACUGCACAUUGAACUAUUGAGUAGUCCUCCUUACGUGCUAACCAAGCGUUCUUAACAUCCUGAUCAGCCGUAGCGGGUGGUUCAUCUCCUAGCGCAGCAUUAAGGACAUAAUCCUUCUUCCCAGCUUGUAAUAUUAGCUUAAGAUUACGAGCCUAGUCUACAAAGUUGCUUCCAUCAUCUUUCAACUUAGCUUUCUCUAGGAACGUAUUAAAAUUCAGGAUGACUGUAGCGUGAGCCAUGAUCUACAACACAAAUAUAUUCAAAGUGGACUUAGACUAUGUUCAAGAUAAUUAGAGUUUAACUUAAUCAAAUUAUUCGCUAAACUCCCACUCAAAAAGUACAUCUCUCUAGUCAUUUGAGUGGUUCAUGAUCCACUUAUACUAGCUCAAGUCCGAUCAUCACGUGAGUUGAGUAUAGUUUCAGUGGUAAGCAUCCCUAUGCUAAUCAUAUCAUCUAUAUGAUUCAUGAUCGACCUUUCGGUCUCAUGUGUUCCGAGGCCAUGUCUGCACAUGCUAGGCUCGUCAAGCUUAACCCGAGUGUUCCGCGUGCGCAACUGUUUUGCACCCGUUGUAUGUGAACGUUGAGUCUAUCAUACCCGAUCAUCACGUGGUGUCUGGAAACGACGAACUGUAGCAACGGUGCACAGUCGGGGAGAACACACUUUCAUCGUGAAAUUUUAGUGAGAGAUCACCUCAUAAUGCUACCGUCGUUCUAAGAAAAAUAAGGUGCAUGAAAGGAUUAACAUCACAUGCAAUUCAUAAGUGACAUGAUAUGGCCAUCAUCACGUGCUUCUUGAUCUCCAUCACCAAAGCACCGGCACGAUCUUCUUGUCACCAGUGCCACACCAUGAUCUCCAUCAACGUGUUGCCAUCGGGGUUGUCGUGCUACUCAUGCUAUUACUACUAAAGCUACAUCCUAGCAAAAUAGUAAACGCAUCUGCAAGCACAAACGUUAAUAUAAAGACAACCCUAUGGCUCCUGCCGGUUGCCGUACCAUCGACGUGCAAGUCGAUAUUUACUAUUACAAUAUGAUCAUCUCAUACAUCCAAUAUAUCACAUCACAUCGUUGGCCAUAUCACAUCACAAGCAUACCCUGCAAAAACAAGUUAGACGUCCUCUAAUUUUGUUGUUGCAUGUUUUACGUGGUGACCAUGGGUAUCUAGUAGGAUCGCAUCUUACUUACGCAAGCACCACAACGGAGAUAUAUUAGUUGCUAUUUAACCUCAUCCAAGGACCUCCUCGGUCAAAUCCGAUUCAACUAAAGUUGGAGAAACCGACACUUGCCAGUCAUCUUUGAGCAACGGGGUUACUCGUAGCGAUGAAACCAGUCUCUCGUAAGCGUACGAGUAAUGUCGGUCCAAGCCGCUUCAAUCCAACAAUACCGCGGAAUCAAGAAAAGACUAAGGAGGGCAGCAAAACGCACAUCACCGCCCACAAAAACUUUUGUGUUCUACUCGAGAAGACAUCUACGCAUGAACCUAGCUCAUGAUGCCACUGUUGGGGAACGUCGCAUGGGAAACAAAAAAUUUCCUACGCGCACGAAGACCUAUCAUGGUGAUGUCCAUCUACGAGAGGGGAUGAGUGAUCUACGUACCCUUGUAGAUCGUAUAGCAGAAGCGUUGGUGAACGCGGUUGAUGUAGUGGAACGUCCUCACGUCCCUCGAUCCGCCCCGCGAACAAUCCCGCGAUCAGUCCCACGAUCUAGUACCGAACGGACGGCACCUCCGCGUUCAGCACACGUACAGCUCGACGAUGAUCUUGGCCUUCUUGAUCCAGCAAGAGAGACGGAGAGGUAGAAGAGUUCUCCGGCAGCGUGACGGCGCUCCGGAGGUUGGUGAUGACCUUGUCUCAGCAGGGCUCCGCCCGAGCUCCGCAGAAACGCGAUCUGGAGGAAAAACCGUGGAGGUAUGUGGUCGGGCUGCCGUGGAAAAGUCGUCUCAAAUCAGCCCUAAAACCUCCAUAUAUAUAGGUGGGAGGGAGGGGACCUUGCCUUGGGGCUCAAGGAGCCCCAAGGGGGUCGGCCGAGCCAAGGGGGGAAGGUCUCCCCCCCCAAACNNNNNNNNNNNNNNNNNNNNNNNNNNNNNNNNNNNNNNNNNNNNNNNNNNNNNNNNNNNNNNNNNNNNNNNNNNNNNNNNNNNNNNNNNNNNNNNNNNNNNNNNNNNNNNNNNNNNNNNNNNNNNNNNNNNNNNNNNNNNNNNNNNNNNNNNNNNNNNNNNNNNNNNNNNNNNNNNNNNNNNNNNNNNNNNNNNNNNNNNNNNNNNNNNNNNNNNNNNNNNNNNNNNNNNNNNNNNNNNNNNNNNNNNNNNNNNNNNNNNNNNNNNNNNNNNNNNNNNNNNNNNNNNNNNNNNNNNNNNNNNNNCUCCCGGUACACUAUCGAUGAGCCCAAAACUUUUCCGGUAAUGCCCGAAAACUUUCCGGUAACCAAAUGAGGUCAUCCUAUAUAUCAAUCUUCGUUUCCGGGCCAUUCCGGAAACCCUCGUGACGUCCGUGAUCUCAUCCGGGACUCCGAACAACAUUCGGUAACCAACCAUAUAACUCAAAUACGCAUAAAACAACGUCGAACCUUAAGUGUUCAGACCCUGCGGGUUCGAGAACUAUGUAGACAUGACCCGAGAGACUCCUCGGUCAAUAUCCAAUAGCGGGACCUGGAUGCCCAUAUUGGAUCCUACAUAUUCUAUGAAGAUCUUAUCGUUUGAACCUCAGUGCCAAGGAUUCAUAUAAUCCCGUAUGUCAUUCCCUUUGUCCUUCGGUAUGUUACUUGCCCGAGAUUCGAUCGUCAGUAUCCGCAUACCUAUUUCAAUCUCGUUCACCGGCAAGUCUCUUUACUCGUUCCGUAAUACAAGAUCCCGCAACUUUCACUAAGUCACACUGCUUGCAAGGCUUGUGUGUGAUGUUGUAUUACCGAGUGGGCCCCGAGAUACCUCUCCGUCACACGGAGUGACAAAUCCCAGUCUUGAUCCAUACUAACUCAACUAACACCUUCGGAGAUACCUGUAGAGCAUCUUUAUAGUCACCCAGUUACGUUGCGACGUUUGAUACACACAAAGCAUUCCUCCGGUGUCACUGAGUUAUAUGAUCUCAUGGUCAUAGGAAUAAAUACUUGACACGCAGAAAACAGUAGCAACAAAAUGACACGAUCAACAUGCUACGUCUAUUAGUUUGGGUCUAGUCCAUCACGUGAUUCUCCUAAUGACGUGAUCCAGUUAUCAAGCAACAACACUUUGUUCAUAAUCAGAAGACACUGACUAUCUUUGAUCAACUGGCUAGCCAACUAGAGGCUUGCUAGGGACGGGGUUUUGUCUAUGUAUCCACAAAUGUAAAUGAGUCUUCAUUCAAUACAAUUAUAGCAUGGAUAAUAAACGAUUAUCUUGAUACAGGAAUUAUAAUAAUAACUAUAUNNNNNNNNNNNNNNNNNNNNNNNNNNNNNNNNNNNNNNNNNNNNNNNNNNNNNNNNNNNNNNNNNNNNNNNNNNNNNNNNNNNNNNNNNNNNNNNNNNNNAGAGAGACGGAGAGGUAGAUGAGUUCUCCGGCAGCGUGACGGCGCUCCGGAGGUUGGUGAUGAUCUAUUCCAGCAAGGCUCCGCCCGAGCUCCGCGGAAAUACGAUCUAGAGGAAAAAACGGUGGAGUUUGUGGUCGGGCUGCCAUGGCAUAGUUGUCUCAAAUCAGCCCAAAACUCCACUAUAUAUAGGGGAAGAGGUGGGGAUGCUUGCCUUGAGGGCCAAGCCUCCCUUGGUGCACCGGCCAAGGAGGUGGAGGAGUCCACCUCCAAUCCUAGUCUUACUAGGAUUGGAAAGUUGAGUCCUUCUCCACCUGCCCACUUCCUUUUUUUUCUUUUCUCUUUGGUUUUCCACUUGUGGCACCAUAGGCCCUCUUGGGCUGUCCCACCAGCCCACUAAGGGCUGGUGCGCCACCCCUAAAGCCUUGGGCCACUCCCGGGUGGGUUGCCCCCCUCUUGGUAAAUACCCGGAGCCCAUUCGUCACUCCCGGUACGAUGCGAGUAAUGCGCGAAAACCUUCCGGUAACCAAAUGAGACAAACCUAUAUAUCAAUCUUCGUUUCCAGACCAUUCCGGAAACCCUCAUGACGUCCAUGAUCCCAUCUGGGACUCCGAACAACAUUCGUUAACCAACCAUAUAACUCAAAUACGCAUAAAACAUCGCCGAACUUUAAGUGUGCAGACCCUGCGGGAUCGAGAACUAUGUAGACAUGACCCGAGGGACUCCUCGGUCAAUAGCCAAUAUUCGGACCUGGAUGUCCAUAUUGGAUCCUACAUAUUCUCCGAAGAUCUUAUCGGCUGAACCUCAGUGCCAAGGAUUCAUAUAAUCCCGUAUGGCAUUCCCUUUGUCCUUCGGUAUGUUACUUGCCCGAGAUUCGGUCGUCGGUAUCCGCACACCUAUUUCAAUCUCGUUAACCGGAAAGUCUCUUUACUCGUUCCGCAAUACAAGAUCCCGUGACUUACACUAAGUGACAUUGCUUGCAAGGCUUGUGUGUGAUGUUGUAUUACCGAGUGGGCCCCGAGAUACCUCUCCGUCACAUGGAGUGACAAAUCCCAAACUUGAUCCAUACUAACUCAACGGGCACCUUCGGAGAUACCUAUAGAGCAUCUUUAUAGUCACCCAGUAAGGUUUUGACGUUUGAUACACACAAGGCACUCCUCCGGUGCCAGUGAGUUAUAUGAUCUCAUGGUCAUAGGAAUAAAUACUUGACACGCACAAAACAGUAGCAGCAAAAUGACACUAUAAACAUGCUACGUUCAUUAGUUUGGGUCUAGUCCAUCACAUGAUUCACUNNNNNNNNNNNNNNNNNNNNNNNNNNNNNNNNNNNNNNNNNNNNNNNNNNNNNNNNNNNNNNNNNNNNNNNNNNNNNNNNNNNNNNNNNNNNNNNNNNNNAGUGAAUCAUGUGAUGGACUAGACCCAAACUAAUGAACGUAGCAUGUUGAUCGUCUCAUUUUGUUGCUACUUUUUUCUGCGUGUCAAGUAUUUAUUCCUAUGACCAUGAGAUCAUAUAACUCACUCGCACCGGAGGAGUGCCUUGUGUGUAUCAAACUUCACAACGUUACUGGGUAACUAUAAAGAUGCUCUACACGUAUCUCCGAAGGUGUCCGUUGAGUUAGUAUGUAUCAAGACUGGGAUUUGUCACUCGGUGUGACGGAGAGGUAUCUCGGGGCCCACUCGGUAAUACAACAUCACACACAAGCCUUGCAAGCAAUGUGACUUAGUGUGAGUCACAUGAUCUUGUAUUACGGAACGAGUAAAGAGACUUGCCGGUUAACGAGAUUGAAAUAGGUAUGCGGAUACCGAUGAUCGAAUCUCGGGAAAGUAACAUACCGAAGGACAAAGGGAAUGACAUACGGGAUUAUAUGAAUCCUUGGCACUGAGGUUCAACCGAUAAGAUCUUCGGAGAAUACGUAGGAUCCAAUAUGGGCAUCCAGGUCCCGCUAUUGGAUAUUGACCGANNNNNNNNNNCCUCAGGUCAUGUCUACAUAAUUCUCGAACCCGCAGGGUCUGCACACUUAAGGUUCAGCGAUGUUUUAUGCGUAUUUGAGUUAUAUGGUUGGUUACCGAAUGUUGUUCGGAGUCCUGGAUGGGAUCACGAACGUCACGAGGGUUUCCGGAAUGGUCCAGAAACGAAGAUUGAUAUAUAGGUUUGUCUCAUUUGGUUACCGGAAGGUNNNNNNNNNNACACAUUACCGGCAUCAUACCGGGAGUGACGAAUGGGUACCGGGUAUUUACCGGGAGGGGGGCAACCCACCCGGGAGUGGCCUAAGGCCUUAGGGGUGGCGCACUAGCCCUUAGUGGGCUGGUGGGACAGCCCAAGAGGGCCUAUGGCGCCACAAGUGGAAAACCAAAGAGAAAAUAAAAAAAGGAAGUGGGAAGGUGGAGAAGGAUUCCACUUUCCAAUCCUAGUAAGACUAGGAUUGGAGGUGGACUCCUCCACCUCCUUGGCUAGCGCACCAAGGGAGGCUUGGCCCUCAGGGCAAGCCUCCCCACCUCUUCCCCUAUAUAUAGUGAAGUUUAGGGCUGAUUUGAGACAACUUUGUCAUGGCAGCCCGACCACAAAGUCCACCGUUUUUCCUCUAGAUCGUAUUUCUGCGGAGCUCGGGCGGAGCCCUACUGGAAUAGAUCAUCACCAACCUCCGGAGCACCGUCACGCUGCCGGAGAACUCAUCUACCUCUCCGUCUCUCUUGCUGGAUCAAGAAGGCCGAGAUCAUCGUCGCGUUGUACGUGUGCUGAACGCGGAGGUGUCGUUUGUUCGGCACUAGAUCGAAUCGUGGGACGAAGAGUAUGACUACGGUGAUUUGAAUCACGCAAGCUGUUCCACUACAUCGUCCGUGUUUCUUAACGCUUACCGCUGUGCGAUCAACAAGGCUACGUAGAUCAGAAAUCUACUCUCGUAGAUGAACAUCACCAUGAUAGGUAUUGCGUGUGCAUAGGAAAUUUUUUGUUUCCCAUGCAACGUUCCCCAACAGUGGCAUCAUGAGCUAGGUUCAUGCGUAGAUGUUAUCUCGAGUAGAACACAAAAGUUUUUGUGGGUGGUGAUGUGCGAUUUGCUGCCCUCCUUAGUCUUUUCUUGAUUCCGCUGUAUUGUUGGAUCAAAGCGGCUCGGACCGACAUUACUCGUAUGCUUACGAGAGACUGGAUUCAUCGUUACGAGCAACCCCGUUGCUCAAAGAUGACUGGCGAGUGUCGGUUUCUCCAACUUUAGUUGAAUCGGAUUUGACCGAGGAGGUCCUUCGAGAGAGGUUAAAUAGCAAUUCAUACAUCUCUAUUGUGGUGAUUGCGUAAGUAAGAUGCGAUCCUACUAGAUACCCAUGGCCACCAUGUAAGACAUGCAACAACAAUUAAAGGACGUUGAUGACCCACAAGGAUAGGGGAUCAAUCGUAGUCCUUUCGAUAAGUAAGAGUGUCUAACCCAACGAGGAGCAGAAGGCCCUGAUAAACGGUUUUCAGCAAGGUAAUAACUACAAGCACUGAAAGUAGCGGUAACAAGUGAUGGUGUAGUGAGGUGAAACAUAGCAAGCGAAAAGUAACAAGUAACAAGUAGUAGCAAUGGUGCAGCAAGGGGCCCAAUCCCUUUUGUAGCAAGGGACAAGCCUGAACAAAGUCUUAUAGGAGGAAAAAUGCUCCCGAGGACACACGGGAAUUUCUGUCAUGCUAGUUUCAUCAUGUUCAUAUGAUUCGCGUUCGUUACUUUGAUAGUUUGAUAUGUGGGUGGACCGCUUGGGUACUGCCCUUACUUGGACAAGCAUCCCACUUAUGAUUAACCUCUCUCGCAAGCAUCCGCAAGUACAAAAGAACAAUUAAGACAACGUCUAACCAUAGCAUUAAACUAGUGGAUCCAAAUCAGCCCCUUACGAAGCAACGCAUAGACUGGGGUUUAAGCUUGUGUCACUCCAGCAACCCAUCAUCUACUUACUACUCCCCAAUGCCUUCCUCUAGGCCCAAAUAUGGUGAAGUGUUAUGUAGUCGACGUCCACAUAACACCACUAGAGGAAAAACAACAUACAACAUAUCAAAAUGCCGAACGAAUAUCAAACUCACAUGACUAUUAUCAGCAUGACUUAUCCCAUGUCCUCAGGAACAGAAGUAACUACUCACAAAGCAUAAUCAUAAUCAUGAUCAGAGGUGUAAUGAAUAGCAUCAAGGAUCUGAACAUAAACUCUUCCACCAAGUAAUCCAACUAGCAUCAACUACAAAGAGUAAUCAACACUACUAGCAACCUUACAAGUACCAAUCGGAGUCGUGAGACGGAGAUUGGUUACAAGAGAUGAACUAGGGACUGGAGAGGAGAUGGUGCUGAUGAAGAUGUUGAUGAAGAUGUCUCCCCUCUGACGAGAGGAGUGUUGGUGAUAACGAUGGCGACGAUUUCCCCCUCCGGGAGGGAAGUUUCCCCGGCAGGAUCGUCCUGCCGGAGCUCUAGAUUGGAUCUGCUCAAGUUCCGCCUCGUGGCGGCGGCGAAACCACGAAAAAGCUCCCGACUGAUUUUUUCUGGAACGAAACCCUUCAUAUAGCAAAAGAGGGGGGCCAGUGGGCCGUNNNNNNNNNNNNNNNNNNNNNNNNNNNNNNNNNNNNNNNNNNNNNNNNNNNNNNNNNNNNNNNNNNNNNNNNNNNNNNNNNNNNNNNNNNNNNNNNNNNNUAUGGAGUCUCACCAAUUUUGAGCUCCAAAGGACAAGUUUAAGUUUGCAAACUUGAAAAUACUCCAGUAUGACCAUAUCGGUCCCUUCGAAAGGGAGUGUGGUCAAACUAAGUCCCACAAAUCCCAUUUUUGAUGUGGAACCCUCAUUUGAGGUAUUCAGUAGCAGUGGGACAAACUCGUAGGCAAUGGAUCGGUGAUUUGUUGGAUGAGAUUCAUCAUGCAAUAGUUAUAACACAGAGAGAUAUGUGGCUAGCUCCCGAUCGUCAAUGUGAUGUAGGCAUGCAUUCCGUGUGUAGUCAUACGUGCUUAGGGAAAAGAACUUGCAUGACAUCUAUUGUCCAUCCCUCCCGUGGCAGCGGGGUCCAAAUGGAUACUACGGGAUAUUAAGGUUCUCCUUUUAAUAAAGAACCAGACCAACACAUUAGCACUUGGUGAACACAUGAACUCCUCAAACUAUGGUCAUCACCGGGAGUGGUUCCGGUUAUUGUCACUCCGGGGUUGCCGAAUCAUAACACAUAGUAGGUAACUACAACUUGCAAGAUCGGAUCUAAAANNNNNNNNNNGGACUAACGCAUUAGCACUUGGUGAACACAUGAACUCCUCAAACUAUGGUCAUCAUCGGGAGUGGUUCCGGUUAUUGUCACUCCGGGGUUGCCGGAUCAUAACACAUAGUAGGUAACUACAACUUGCAAGAUCGGAUCUAAAACACACAUAUAUUAGAGACAACAUAAUAAGUUCAGAUCUGAAAUCAUGGCACUCGGGCCCUAGUGACAAGCAUUAAGCAUGGCAAAGUAGUAGNNNNNNNNNNNNNNNNNNAAUUGGUGACAACAUAAAAAGUUCAGAUCUGAAAUUAUGGCACUCGGGCCCUAGUGACAAGCAUUAAGCAUGGCAAAGUAGUAGCAACAUCAAUCUCAGAACAUAGUGGAUACUAGGGAUCAAUCCCCGUCAAAACUAACUCGAUUACAUGAUAGAUCUCAUCCUACUCAUCACCGCCCAGCGAGCCUACGAAUAGAUUACUCACGAACGAUGAAGAGCUUCUUGGAAUUGGAGAGGGAAGAAGGUUGGUGAUGAUGAUGGCGACAAACUCCUUGAUCCGGAGCCCAAAACGGACUCCAGAUCUGCCCUCCAGGGCAAGAACGGGAUGUGGCGGCGCCUCUGGAUCGUGAAACGCGAUGAACUCUNNNNNNNNNNAUGGAAUUGGAGAGGGAAGAAGGUUGGUGAUGACGAUGGCGACGAUCUCCUUGAUCCGGAGCCCAAAACGGACUCCAGAUCUGCCCUCCAGGGCGAGAACGGGAUGUGGCGGCGCCUCUGGAUCGUGAAACGCGAUGAACUCUUCUCUCUUUAUUUUUUCCGGGACGAAAGGGAAUAAAUAGUGCUGGAAUUGGGGGCGGCAGAGCCACGUGGGCUCCACAAGCCUGGUAGCCGCGGCCAGGGGGAGGCCGCGGCUACAGGGCUUGUGGCCCACUGGCCCGUCCCCUCCGGUGGAUCUUUGCGCAGGUAUUUUUCAUAUUUUCCAAAAAUAUUCUCCGUAAAUUUUCAGGAUGUUCCGAGAACUUUCAUUUCUGCACAAAAACAACACCAUGGCAAUUGUGCUGAAAACACCGUCAGUCCGGGUUAGUUCCAUUCAAAUCAUGCAAAUUAGAGUCCAAAACAAGGGCAAAAGAGUUUGGAAAAGUAGAUACAAUGGAGACGUAUCAAUGUCCUACUAGAAGUAGGAUUGGAGGAGGACUCCUCCUCUCCACCCACUUCGGCCGACCCAAAGGUGCAACCCUACGGCCAGUGGCCUCCCUCCUCUCCUCCUAUAUAUACUAGAGAUUUUGAGGGUUUUGAGACACAACAAUAAUCAGCCACGUGCGGCCCUCGAUCUAGAUCCGUUUAUCCUUUAGUCUAGUUUUCAGCGGUGCUUAGGCGAAGCCUUGCUAGACUAGCUCCACCACCAUCGCCGUCAUGCCGCCACGCUGUCGGAGAACUCACACUACAGGAAUCAGAAAUUUUGCCGUCUACCAUAACAGACGGCAAAGAGGUGUUCCACCAAGGGCAAAGGUCUUUGCCGUCUGCCUCCUGUCGGCAAAGUUCCUACGACAACUUUCGACGGCAAAUUACCUUCUUUGCCGUCUGUUUGCACUAAGCGGAUGGCAGAGAUCUUUUGAGUCUGCCUUUGACACAUAGCAGAUAGCAAAGAUCUUUAGACGGCAGCCGACAGGCAACUCCUCCGUUAGGGGCUAACGAAGGCUCUUUUCCGUCUGCCUCGCUCAUCUUCUUUGUCGUCUGCUCCCUCACGCUUUGUGUUGUCUGCUCUAUUUCUUUGCCUGUCUGCCUCCCUCAAGCUCUGUGUCGUCCGCCAGUGCGGGGUAGCAGACGACAAAGAGCCUAUAUGGGCCAGCUACUGCUUCCCCAGGUUGCACAGCUGGGUGCCACGUGGCACCUUUACCGUGUGCUGGCUGAUGGCAAAGGCCUUUGCCAUCAGCCAACAGACGACAAAGAGCCCAUAUUGUCACAAUUUUGUUUAUUUUUUGUUAUUUCACAACACACACACACAUAUAUAUAUAUAUAAUUAUAUAUAAUUCAUAUCACAUAUAUGAUAUAUAGGUCACAACACAUAUAUGAUAUACAUAUAAAGUUCAUCAAUGCCAUUUGUUCAUCAAUGUACAUCCCAUAUAUCGAAAGAACCAACAUAUACAAAGUUUCAUCCAUAUAUACAUGUACAUAUAGUUCCAUAUAUAUUGUUCAUCCAUAUAUACAUAUACAUAUAGUUCCACAUUGUUCAUCAACUCAAAUGAAAACUAGAACUAAAGCACUCCAUCAAUGCCAGCUUCCAUGCAUGUAGUAUAUCCAAUCUGCAAAAUUGGAAUAAGAAAGUCAAAAGAAGAAGAACAACAACAUAUGAUGUUUUUAGCUUAUUAUGUUAUUGUGGAGGAAAAUAAGCUAAGUAUAUGACCUUUUUGAGCUAACCAAGGUUAUUAUGCCAUUUUUGAUAUAACUAAGCUAAUUACGUCAAUUUGGAUGGAAAUAAGCUAACUAUGUGACAUUUAUGAGGUAACAAAGGUUCUUAUGCGAUUUUUGACCUAACUAAGCUAAUUAUGUCAUUUUAUAGGAAAACAAGCUAAGUAUAUAAUAUUCAUGAGCUAACCAUGGUUCUUAUGCCAUUUUGAGCUUAUUAUGUCAUUUUGGAGCUAAAUUNNNNNNNNNNNNNNNNNNNNNNNNNNNNNNNNNNNNNNNNNNNNNNNNNNNNNNNNNNNNNNNNNNNNNNNNNNNNNNNNNNNNNNNNNNNNNNNNNNNNUUUUCUCUUUGAUUUUCUUCCUAUGGCGCAUAGGGCCUUCUUGGGCUGUCCCACCAGCCCACUAAGGGCUGGUGCGCCACCCCCAAGGCCUAUGGGCUUCCCCGGGGUGGGUUGCCCCCCCGGUGAACACCCGGAACCCAUUCCUCAUUCCCGGUACAUUCCCGGUAACUCCGAAAACCUUCCGGUAAUCAAAUGAGGUCAUCCUAUAUAUCAAUCUUCGUUUCCGGGCCAUUCCGGAAACCCUCGUGACGUCCGUGAUCUCAUCCGGGACUCCGAACAACAUUCGGUAACCAACCAUAUAACUCAAAUNNNNNNNNNNUCUCUUUGAUUUUCUUCCAAUGGCGCAUAGGGCCUUCUUGGGCUGUCCCACCAGCCCACUAAGGGUUGGUGCGCCACCCCCAAGGCCUAUGGGCUUCCCCGGGGUGGGUUGCCCNNNNNNNNNNUGUCGAACCUUAAGUGUGUAGACCCUUCGGGUUCGAGAACUAUGUAGACAUGACCCGAGUGACUCCUCGGUCAAUAUCCAAUAGCGGGACCUGGAUGCCCAUAUUGGAUCCUACAUAUUCUACGGAGAUCUUAUCGUUUGAACCUCAGUGCCAAGGAUUCAUAUAAUCCCGUAUGUCAUUCCCUUNNNNNNNNNNNNNNNNNNNNNNNNNNNNNNNNNNNNNNNNNNNACAUUCCCGGUAACUCCGAAAACCUUCCUGUAAUCAAAUGAGGUCAUCCUAUAUAUCAAUCUUCAUUUCUGGAGCAUUCCGGAAACCCUCGUGACGUCCGUGAUCUCAUCCAGGACUCCGAACAACAUUCGGUAACCAACCAUAUAACUCAAAUACGCAUAAAACAACGUCGAACCUUAAGUGUGCAGACCCUGCGGGUUCGAGAACUAUGUAAACAUAACCCGAGUGACUCCUCGGUCAAUAUCCAAUAGCGGGACCUGGAUGCCCNNNNNNNNNNNNNNNNNNNNNNNNNNNNNNNNNNNNNNNNNNNNNNNNNNNNNNNNNNNNNNNNNNNNNNNNNNNNNNNNNNNNNNNNNNNNNNNNNNNNNNNNNNNNNNNNNNNNNNNNNNNNNNNNNNNNNNNNNNNNNNNNNNNNNNNNNNNNNNNNNNNNNNNNNNNNNNNNNNNNNNNNNNNNNNNNNNNNNNNNNNNNNNNNNNNNGCCCGAGAUUCGAUCGUCAGUAUCCGUAUACCUAUUUCAAUAUCGUUUACCGGCAAGUCUCUUUACUCGUUCCGUAAUACAAGAUCCCGCAACUUACAUUAAGUCACAUUGCUUGCAAGGCUUGUGUGUGAUGUUGUAUUACCGAGUGGGCCCCGAGAUACCUCUCCGUCACACGAAGUGACAAAUCCCAGUCUCGAUCCAUACUAACUGAACGAACACCUUCGGAGAUACCUGUAGAGCAUCUUUACAGUCACCUAGUUACGUUGCGACGUUUGAUACACACAAAGCAUUCCUCCGGUGUCAGNNNNNNNNNNNNNNNNNNNNNNNNNNNNNNNNNNNNNNNNNNNNNNNNNNNNNNNNNNNNNNNNNNNNNNNNNNNNNNNNNNNNNNNNNNNNNNNNNNNNAUAGUAAGCCUUCAUGGAGUUCCCAAGGAGAUUGUAUCUGACCGAGGCACGCAAUUCACCUCAAGGUUUUGGAGGAAACUUCAAGAGGCCCUCGGUACCAAGCUCUGUUUUAGCACCGCCUUCCACCCGCAAACGGGAGGACAGACGGAAAGGGUGAAUCAGAUACUCGAAGAUAUGCUCCGCGCAUGCGUCCUAGCGCACGGAGCCAAAUGGGAAGACUGUCUGCCGUUUGCUGAGUUUUCGUACAACAACAGCUACCAGUCCAGUCUCUAGAUGGCCCCGUUCGAAGUACUGUACGGAAGGAAAUGCCGCACCCCGCUCAACUGGUCUGAAACCGGAGACAGGCUGAUUUUUGGACCAGAAGUUUUGCAAGGGCAGAAGAGAAGGUGCAACUAGUCCAAGAAAAUCUGAAGGCAGCCAAGUCACGACAAAAGAGUUAUGCGGACUCUUGCCGCAGUGAUGUGGAGUUCAAUCUCGGAGACCUAGUGUACCUCCAUGUCACACCUCUCAAGGGAGCCAAGUGUUUCCGCGUUAAGGGGAAACUCGCUCCAAGGUUCAUUGGGCCAUUUAAGAUCACGGCAAGGCGCGGAGAGGUCGCUUAUCAGUUGGAGUUACAUACGGAACUUUCGGGUGUGCACAAUGUUUUCCACGUGUCACAACUUCGGAAGUGUCUCCAAGCGCCAAGUCGUUCUGAUCCUUGCAAGGACAUUGAUCAGUAGGCCAUUGACCUUCAGUCUGAUCUCACCUACCGCGAGAGGCCCAUUCGCAUACCGGACGAAGCAGAAAGAUGCACCAGGAGGCGCACUAUCAAGUAUUUCAAGGUUCAAUGGAGCAACCACACCGAAGCCGAAGCUACAUGGGAACGUGAAGACUAUCUCCGAUCUGAGUUUCCAGACCUUUUUAGCACCUAGCUUAGGAAUCUCGGGGAUGAGAGUCUUAUAAGGGGGAUAGGCCUGUCACACCCUAUUUUUGCUAUCACUUGUUUGUAUUGUGAAAUUCUGAGCUUGUUAAAACUUUUUCGAAACUAAUGUUGUGAGUGCCAUGAUUGACAUGUUAUGCUUGUAUGCAUGAUCAUGUGAGGAUUAAAACCCUAAAGUCUUUGGUAUUAUACUGAUUUCCAAAAACCCUUGCUUAUUUCUGACCAAGGUAAAACCACCUUGAGUUACACUACAUGUCCUUGAUAGCAAGCAGUGCUUCUACUCAUAUUUGGUAAUCUAAUUUUUACCUAUCUUUAUAUUUCAAAACCACAAAAAUAAUUAUUUUUGUGAUUAUUUUCCUAAUUAAAUAACCUGUCCAUUUCUAAGGCCAGAAUUGGUAUUCCAUCAUGGAAAAAUACUUUUCUGCUUUAGAAAAAUCUGAUUAAAUUUAGAGAGGAUCAGAAGGACAUAUAUUUUCCAUACAUAGGAUUUUAAACCCCAUUUUAUAUUAUAUUUUUUUGAAUAAAAGUAUGAAAGCUAUUUUUGUCUGUUUUGGCAUUUUCAAAUAUUUCCAAAGGAAAUAUUCUCAAUAAAUUCCAAGAAAAUUCGAGUGAUAUCCCUAAGCCUUGUUUGCUAUACACAUAAAGUUUCUCCUUGAUCAAAGGUGAAUAAGGACCCCAAAUAACCCUAAAACCCUGUCUUUCCAGAAUCAAGUUAGAGCAACUCUACAUAGCAAAGUUUGUCCAAUGAUGCUGAAACUUUGCACGAGUGCCUAAUACCUCAAAUGAGGGUUCCACACCAAAAAUGGGAUUUGUGGGACUGAGUUUGCCCACACUCCCUUUGGAAGGGACAGAUAUGGUCAUAUUGGAGUAUUUUCAAGUUUACAAAGCUAAACUUGUCCUUUGGAGCUCAAAAUUCGUGAGACUCCAUGGUUUACCACCAAACCCAAACCUGUUAAGUUGCAGCACCAGUGGUGGGGUGCAACCCCCUUAAGCCACUGUCGAACACAUUCUGACAGAUAUGAAAAAGCCACCUUAGCCACAGCUAAACCAAACCCCUUUGCUUCAAACUCACAGAUUAAGUGUCCAGCACCUGUGUCUAACCCCAGUCAAUUGGCCCCUCACUGGUUCAAAGUAGAAAGGCCAAAAAUACCAAUUUAGAUCUCAGUUCAUGACUGACAGCACCAGUAUGUCUUGCCCCCUUUGACCAGCUGGAGCUCCCACAAGAACCAAACGGCUAGCCACACCCCCAGCCAGUGCCAGGACACGCUAGACGCGUCCAAAGUGCCUCAGGGCGCACCAGUUAGCAUGCCCUCUGGGCGCGCUACAGGGAGUCACCGAGGUGGGGGCGACGCCCUCGGCCAGUUCCAGCCUCCCCCGAGAUGUCCAACCUCUUCCCCGACAACCCCUCUGCGUCGAGAAAACCUCAGGGCCCCUCCUCCCGUGCUAGAGCUCGCGCGACGCGUGCCUGCGCGCACCAGAACCGACCAAGGUUGCGCGGCCACGAAUGCUCGACUCCUCUCUCUCUCUCUCUCUCUCUCUCUCUCUCUCUCUCUCUCUCUCUNNNNNNNNNNNNNNNNNNNNNNNNNNNNNNNNNNNNNNNNNNNNNNNNNNNNNNNNNNNNNNNNNNNNNNNNNNNNNNNNNNNNNNNNNNNNNNNNNNNNUAGAUUAAGUGGCCAGCACCUGUGUCUAACCCCAGUCAACUGGCCCCUCACUCGUUCAAAGUAGAAAGGCCAAAAACCCCAAUUUAGAUCUCAGUUCAUGACUGACAGCACCAGUAUUUCUAGCCUCCUUUGACCAGCUGAAGCUCCCACAAGAACCAAACGGCUAGCCACACCCCCAGCCAGUGCCAGGACAUGCUAGACGCGUCCAAAGUGCCUCAGAGCACACCAGCAUGCCGUGGCAUGCCAAAACUGCGCUCUGGGCGUGCUACAGGGAGUUACCGAGGUGGGGGCGACGCCCUAAGCCAGUUCCAGCCUCCCCCGAGAUGUCCAACCUCUUCCCCGACAACCCCUCUGCGUCGAGCAAGCCUCAGGGCCCCUCCUCCCCCGCGCUAGAGCUCGCGCGACGCGUGCCCGCGCGCACCACAACCGGCCAAGGUUGCGCGGCCACGAAUGCUUGACUCCCCUCUCUCUCUCUACUUCAGAUGGUUCGGGCAGUCCAAAACCACGUCCUGAGACCGUGGUUUUGAACCUAGCCUCUCUCUGUACCCCCAUGCACAGCACGGUGAGUCAUCAGCGCUCUCGAAUCUGCUCACCGUCGCGGGCCUAUAAAUAGCCACCCCCCUCGCUCCAGCACCCCUCAGAUAGAUUCACCACAAUCACUAGUACCUCCCUAGCCACCCCAGCAAACUAGCAGAGCCCCGGUGCUCGAGAUCGACUGAGGCCCCUCCACCUCGGAGCUCCGGUCGAUCUCCGGCUACACGACGAAUCUUGCGCCCCUCGAACCACCAAACUAACCCCCUCGAUCCCAGGAAGCUUUCCCCCAACUCGCCCGAGCUUUUCUGUGUCUCUAGCCACCCCCUCAACCACCUCCUGAAGCUCCUCCGCCACGGCCUCCUCGUCGCUGGCGAACCCAUGCCUCCCCGUCGUUGUUUCGACCACCAACAGGUAGGCGGCAACAAGGUGAACCCAUUCCAGUGCUCGUUGGGGCAUGAGCGCGUUGGCAACCUCGUCGACGUCCUCCUCCUAUUUGGCCAGAGGUAGGAGACGACCCCGACAGGCUAUGCCCCACCUGUCGGUGGCCUAGCCUCCCCCCCCCCCGUGCUGACCUCGGNNNNNNNNNNNNNNNNNNNNNNNNNNNNNNNNNNNNNNNNNNNNNNNNNNNNNNNNNNNNNNNNNNNNNNNNNNNNNNNNNNNNNNNNNNNNNNNNNNNNNNNNNNNNNNNNNNNNNNNNNNNNNNNNNNUCAGGUUCAAACCUGACGGCGCGCGCGCGUCGGCUGGCCAUGGCCAGCCCAGCUCUGGGCCGAGCCAGGCCGGGAGUUAGCCUGUGUUUUCUUUUCUUUUUAAACCCUGGUUUCUAAGAUGUUUAUAAAAACAAUUAACCAGUAUAAAAAUAUAAUUCUUCCACUAUUAUUUUUCUAAAAAUGUGUAGCAUUUAAUAAUAUGUUUGGGAGAAUUUUUCCAACAACUAUUCUAUUUUAUAUUAAUAAAAAGGACUAGNNNNNNNNNNNNNNNNNNNNNNNNNNNNNNNNNNNNNNNNNNNNNNNNNNNNNNNNNNNNNNNNNNNNNNNNNNNNNNNNNNNNNNNNNNNNNNNNNNNNNNNNNNNNNNNNNNNNNNNNNNNNNNNNNNNNNNNNNNNNNNNNNNNNNNNNNNNNNNNNNNNNNNNNNNNNNNNNNNNNNNUAAAUGAUACCUUAGAUUUAUCAGUAAUAGUUUUGCUUCUGUUUGGUCUGUUUCUGUGUGAGCUAUUUCUUAUUUACUGUUUUAUUGACGAUAGAAAAUCCGUGUGACGAGGGAAUCGGAGCGGAAGACCUCGAAGACCCCGGAUACUUAGCUGACCAAGGCAAGCAGCCCUUUGACCAUGACUGAGCAUAUGUUACUUUGCAUGUUAAAAUAGCAAGUAUUCCUGUUGCAUAUGAUCAUAAAUGCCGGUAAUCAUUUGAUAUGAUUAUACCGAAGGCUCCCCCGGAGCACCUGCAUUGAGCUNNNNNNNNNNNNNNNNNNNNNNNNNNNNNNNNNNNNNNNNNNNNNNNNNNNNNNNNNNNNNNNNNNNNNNNNNNNNNNNNNNNNNNNNNNNNNNNNNNNNAGUUUAUGAAAACCCCGUCGGGUGCCACUAAUGCUCGAGGGUGAUGAUGAGUUAGGUGGUCACUUUUUCUGAAGUGAUGCACCCGGUAUUUGUGUGAGUAUGGUUUUGGAAAUGGGAAUAGAUUUGUGAUGUGUCGACCGUCCCAACCUUACCAGUACGACCACCUUAACCCUUAUGGGACGGGGCUAUGUUAAUUACUCUGGUCGGUGCUAGCAAAGAGCCACAUUACUAGUGGCGGGAGUGAUGUGUGGUCACUCUCGUGAUGGGGUCGUCCCGGGUAGGACGACUAUGCCAUUUUUAUGAGUUCCAGUCACACUAUUGGUCCCCGCAUGGUUGGUACAGUCCAGAGUUGGUGCUCGUAAGAUGUACAACAUGUGGGUUGGGUACCAAUCGAGUGGACCUCUUUGUCUAGUAUCGUCAGGGGAAAGGCAUUGAUCGGGUACUUACCUCGGGUAUGUGAUAUACCGCGAGUCGUGGAUGACACAGAAGUUUCCCGGAUCUCGUGGGUCCAGCGUACUACCUGUGUAGAGUGUAAACUAUUCGAAUAGCCGUGUCCACGGUCAAGGACAGUUGGGUAAUCCUUCUUAAACUACGUCCAGUUGUUUCCGCCUAAACCAAGUGUUUGUGUGUGUGGUGUUGAGAAAGGUAGUGCUAUGAUAGCAAUGAUAUGACCAAGUUCGGUGACUUGGCAUAUAGGGUGAACCCGGAUGGUUCAGCCCUUGACAGAUAUAUUGAUAUAUGUAACCUAUUCUUGAAAAGUAAUUCUUUAACUUGAUGCAUAUUCAUGAUCGUUCCACCCAAAUGAGUUACACUAAAGAUGCAUGAUAUUGUUAUCCUUCACUUUCGUUGAUUAUAUCAUGGGCUGUUUGCGAGUACAUUCAAAGUACUCAGUGGCUUGCCACUGGUUAUGUUAUUGACCAGACAUGGAAGGACCGGAGUUUGGAGAUGAGUAUGUCUCCGAAGACUCCCCUCGAACUAUGACGCUUCCAAGUCAGAAUGUCUGUCGGUGUAGGCUUGAUGCCAUGGGCACCCGUUUAGCCCUUUGCUUUCCGCUAUUAGUGUAUCCGAGUGAUUUGGACUUAAGCCCUGUCUUGUGAACCUGACCUUUCGGUCAUGUGUUGUAAUAAUCGGUACUUGGAUGUAAGACUCUAUUAUUCGGUACGUAUCUAUGUUCGGUGAGCAUUGAUCUCUGGGAUCACUGAGCACGGUGAUUCUCGACUAGUAAGUCGCAGUCCCCAUAGAGCUGGUAUCAGAGCCAUCCUGACUAUAGGAAGCCUUUGUUGGGGAACGUUGCAUGGGAAACAAAAAUUUUCCUACGCACACGAAGACCUAUCAUGGUGAUGUCCAUCUACGAGAAAGGAUGUUCGAUCUACAUACCCUUGUAGACCGCACAGCAGAAGCGUUAGUGAACGCGGUUGAUGUACUGGAACAUCCUCACGUCCCUCGAUCCGCCCCGCGAACCGUCCCGCGAUCAGUCCCACGAUCUAGUGCCGAACGGACGGCACCUCCGCGUUCNNNNNNNNNNNNNNNNNNNNNNNNNNNNNNNNNNNNNNNNNNNNNNNNNNNNNNNNNNNNNNNNNNNNNNNNNNNNNNNNNNNNNNNNNNNNNNNNNNNNUAAGCAAAUGGUCCCUGAGCGGUAGUACCGCUGUGCCUAGCGUUAGUACCGCUAGCCCUAGCGGUAGUACCGCUUUCCCUAGCGGUAGUACCGCUGCAGCCAGCGGUAGUACCGCUAGCUGGCGGUAGUACCGCCCCUGGUCAGCGGUAGUACCGCUCCAGGAGCUUAGUACCGCCCGCCUAGCGGUUGUUCGUGGACGGACCUUUUUGCGAAGACUUUCUUGGCGGUGGUAGUGCCUUUGCACUACCAGGGGCCCAGCGGUAGUACCGCUGGAGUGCCAGCGGUAGUACCGCUAGCUGGCGGUAGUACCGCUGGAGUGACAGCGGUAGUACCGCUGGAGUGCCAGCGGUAGUACCGCUACAGCCAGCGGUAGUACCACUGGAGCUCGGGCAGAGAGUGGGGGUAACGGUCUGAUUCUUUCCCCCACUAUAUAAAGGGGGUCUUCUUCCCCCUUGGUCUUAUCCAUCCGUUGAGCUCUUGUUCUAUCUCCAUUGUUGUCAUUCUUAGAGCUUGAUUACUCUCUAUCCCUCCAAUCACUUUCUCCUCUAUGUGAGGGGAACCCCUUGGAUCUUGAUCUUGGAGUUCUUUGUGAGCUCCUUNNNNNNNNNNNNNNNNNNNNNNNNNNNNNNNNNNNNNNNNNNNNNNNNNNNNNNNNNNNNNNNNNNNNNNNNNNNNNNNNNNNNNNNNNNNNNNNNNNNNUUCUCUCAUAUGGAAGAAAGGAUACAAAAUGACAAGUCAGUAUAUCUUGCUGGUGCUAUCUUCUUAUUUUCACUAACUUGUCAUUUGCCCACGUAUUUCUCAUCUCCUAUGUCUGUGUGUGACAUUUGCAGCGGUACUACCGCCAGGGGUAGCGGNNNNNNNNNNNNNNNNNNNNNNNNNNNNNNNNNNNNNNNNNNNNNNNNNNNNNNNNNNNNNNNNNNNNNNNNNNNNNNNNNNNNNNNNNNNNNNNNNNNNNNNNNUACUACCGCCAGGACCCCAGCGGUACUACCGCCAGGGGUAGCGGUACUACCGCCAGGAUCCCAGUCUACCACGACCUAACUAGGACUUUUUAGGGCUGUCUCAAGGGAGAGCGGUACUACCGCUAGGACCCCAGCGGUACUACCGCUGCAGGCAGCGGUACUACCGCCAGGUAGCGGUACUACCGCCAGGACAAAAGCGGUACUACCGCUGGCCCGUACCCCUUGGGCUAUAUAAAGGAGGGGGAGCCCGUUUUUUCUUGCCUCUUUCUUCUUCCUCGUGGCUCCUCCCUCCCCAACCCGGAACUCCCCCUAUUUGGAUAUCUAUCUAUGGAGCCCCUUCUCUCCGUUGAGUUGGAGGGUUNNNNNNNNNNNNNNNNNNNNNNNNNNNNNNNNNNNNNNNNNNNNNNNNNNNNNNNNNNNNNNNNNNNNNNNNNNNNNNNNNNNNNNNNNNNNNNNNNNNNCAUCAAACCACUAGGCUAAGAAGCAUCUGCUCGACAGCAAAGUGCAAGAGGGCAAGGAAUACUCUCCGAUGGCUAGUGUCCCGAAGGAAAAUAACCCCAAAAAGGGUGCUGAGGGGGGAUCGAACCCGCCACCUCCUGCUAGGAGGCAAAACCCAUGCACUACUGCGCCAGUCUUUCGGAGAUUAACAAUGUAGAGAAGGCGCACCUCANNNNNNNNNNNNNNNNNNNNNNNNNNNNNNNNNNNNNNNNNNNNNNNNNNNNNNNNNNNNCACACCACUGCUCCAGUCUUUCGGAGAUUAACAAUGUAGAGAAGGCGCACCUCAUAUACAUGCGCCAUUACUAUAUAUAUAAAAAAAAUUCUAAUGGCGCACCGCUCGGGGUGCGCCAUUCCUAAUUCGUCUGUCCUCGCGCGCCUCUACUCCAUAUGCGCUCGCGCGCCCUCGUCCCCGCCCACCCCUUCCCCCACCUUCGUCCACGCAGAGAGCUCUCACGGCGCUAGGGUUUGGCAGUGAGAUCGCUCGCUGUCGGCCUCGGCUUCCGCGCCGGCCAGGCUCCCUUCCUUCGUCCCCCCGGAGCCGGCAGCCCCUAAUCCCCGUCCUGUAACCACCGCCUGAUCCCAUUUCUCUUCUUUCCCCCACACGACAACGACGACGACGCCACCCAGCUUCUUCCCCGCCGGUUCUUCAUCUUCAUCGCGCUCCGGCUCUCCUCCGCCCCCGCGUCGCAGGUGCGCCGUCCAUCCACGACACCUCCCCCCCGCGCGCGCGUUCCCUCCCUCUUUGUGUCCGCCGUGCCUGCUAGGGGGUUCUUUCUAGGGUUUGUCGACUCGCGUUGCCGACUUUAUCGCUGGAUUUUUCGGUAGCCUAAUAAUAAGUAAAUAAAUCAGUAGCUGGUACGAACCGNNNNNNNNNNAACGACGCCGCCCAGCUUCUUCCCCGCCGGUCCUUCGUCUUCGUCGCGCUCCGGCUCUCCUCCGCCCCCGCGUCGUAGGUGCGCCGUCCAUCCACGACACCUCCCCCCCGCGCGCGUUCCCUCCCUCUCUGUGUACGCCGUGCCUGCCGGGGGGUUCUUUCUAGGAUUCGUCGACUCGCGCUGCCGACGUUAUCGCUGGAUUAUUCGGUAGCCUAAUAAUAAGUAAAUAAAUCAGUAGCUGGUACGAACCGAGUUCAUUUUGAUUCUCCUUGUUUGCGCUCAUGCAUGUUCUUGCCUUAGUUGGCCAUGGCCCUACAAACGGCAAACCUUUGUCCUUGCAUCUUUAUUGAUCCUCUGUAUCCGCUGCGGUGGUUGGGUGCAUGCGUCACAUUGAAAUUUCCCGGCGGCGAUGGUUGCCAAUUGUUGUUGUUGUUCAACACAAUUAGUUGUGAAAGAUUGUNNNNNNNNNNNNNNNNNNNNNNNNNNNNNNNNNNNNNNNNNNNNNNNNNNNNNNNNNNNNNNNNNNNNNNNNNNNNNNNNNNNNNNNNNNNNNNNNNNNNAUGAUGCCGCUAGAAAAGAAAACUUCAAAAUGCAUGUGUGGUACAUGUACUUGGUGCAUGACUUGCCGGCGUUGGCACUAUUCUCUAGAUGGUGUGUGCAUGGAAGGUUCCCGUUCCCCAUAUGCAAGGCAACUCUUCAGUUUCAUUGGUUGCAGGCGGAUAGGAAGUAUUCUUGCUUUGACUUGCAUAGACAGUUCACGGAUCCUGACCAUCAGUUCAGAAAAGACAAGAAGAACUUUACCAAAGGUAAAGUUGUCAAAAACAUGGCACCACUUGCGUUGACAGGCCAACAGAUCAUGGAUCAGUUAAACGCCCUCGAGCCUGAUCCAGAGCGUCCAGGGUAUUUCAAGGGGUAUAAUUCAAAACACGCCUGGACUCACAAGCCAUGCUUGUGGGAUCUGCCUUACUUCAAAGACCUCCUUCUUCCACACAAUAUCGACAUGAUGCACACUGAAAAGAAUAUCGGAGAGUCUAUUUUUGGUACAUUGUUCGACAUAGAUGGGAAGACAAAGGAUAAUACUAAGGCUAGAGUCGAUCAAGAGAUACUAUGUCAUAGAANNNNNNNNNNNNNNNNNNNNNNNNNNNNNNNNNNNNNNNNNNNNNNNNNNNNNNNNNNNNNNNNNNNNNNNNNNNNNNNNNNNNNNNNNNNNNNNNNNNNAAAUAUAUGCAAAUGCAUGCAUAUUUAUAACUGUAACCCUUUCGAACAAGAGACGCAUACUGGUCACGCAUACUGAUAAAUUAAUUUAAUUACCUAUAUCUAGCAAGUUUCAUCCGAAGAACGACCCACAACAAAUGAAGGGGCGAGGAGGAGAUGACAUUCGUACUCACCCACGAAUGCAGGGGCGGAGCUCGUAGAACUCAUAGGGAGGUCUUCGCACAACAGACCUCACAGCGACGAGACAACUGUCACAUGUAAACCCACCCGACCAACACAAAUAUUUUGUGUUCAUUAAUAAAAUCGAAAAUUAUAUGACCUAACACAAAUAUAUGACCUAUAUAGAUGUCAUCUAGGGUUCCAUAAAAAAUAUAUUUCGUGUCGGGGUGUCAUCGAGAUGUUGUGUCGGGGCAUCGGGUCGGGGUUUUGGGGCAUCGUGUCGGGUGUCGUUGUGUCAGGGUUUAUUUUCUUCUGCUUUAUCUUGUUUUUUCCUCUUCUUUCUUCUUCUUCUUCUUCUUCUUCUUCUUCUUCUUCUUCCUUCGUUCCUUUUCUUCUUCUUCUACUUAUUCUUCUUCUUCUUAUUCUUCUUCUUCUUCUUCUUCUUCUUCUUCUCUUCUUCUUCUUCUUCUNNNNNNNNNNNNNNNNNNNNNNNNNNNNNNNNNNNNNNNNNNNNNNNNNNNNNNNNNNNNNNNNNNNNNNNNNNNNNNNNNNNNNNNNNNNNNNNNNNNNAUAACAUACGGAAAUCAAAAUCAGCUCAACUUAGAUGACUAGCUAACUUAUUUUUUAGAUAGCAAUAUCUGUUGUCCCCCCAUUGUACCUAAAGAACUAGCGGUUGUUGCUCCUCUGCCUUUGCUGCUGAUGCUCCUCUUCCGCUGAUCCAAGUGACUGUGUUGUGCUGCUGCUGAAUAGAACAAUUUUGCUCCUCUGCACUCUGAAGCAGGUAACUCCGUCAGAGUACUGUACCUGAAAACUAAUGAAGUUGAUUUAGUGUUAAAAUUAGGCAUGUGUUAAGUAUGACAACGCAUGUAAAAUUGAUAAGUACUAGGACAGACUAAGUUAAGAGUUACAGAUUACAAUUAGACGUUUUUGCAAGCUUACAAAGUAAACUAAACAUUACUUACGAAGUAAACUAAACUUUGAAUGGAAGGGAAGAUCCCACCUUGAAAGUAUCUAUCAUAAGCAUCUCUUAGAUUUUUUCAUAAAGAAUAAGCCACCGUUAUCAAGCCAUUAGACAUUAACNNNNNNNNNNNNNNNNNNNNNNNNNNNNNNNNNNNNNNNNNNNNNNNNNNNNNNNNNNNNNNNNNNNNNNNNNNNNNNNNNNNNNNNNNNNNNNNNNNNNAAUUCAUCCUUAAGGGGCUGCAUGUACACAUUCAUAUUCUUCCCCGGAUAAUUGGGCCCUGGAAUUAUCAGCAUCAGAAAUAUGUUCUUUCUUUGCAUAAUCUGCCCGGGGGGAGAUUGUGUGGAUUGACAAAUCCAGCCAACAACUGUAUUGGGUUGCCGUCAUGCCGAAGGGAUGAAAACCAUCCGUGGCGACACGGACUCGAGGAUUCCUUGGAUCUGCCGCUUUAUCCUGAUAUAAUCUAUCGAACUCUUUCCAUGCUUCCCCAUCUGAUGUGUGUACCGCCAUCUUAUUCCCAUCCACAUCUAGUUUGGUUAUUUUGCCCAAUUUGUGCCAUGGCAUUUGUCUCGCUAUCUCUUCGACCAUGAAAAGACGUUGAAGCCUUGGUAUGAUUGGCAUAUACCGAAGAACAUUAACUGCAAUUUUGGUCUGCCUCUUCUCACCCAUAUCAUUGUCUACCACAAGAUACCUGCAAGACUUGCAAAUGGGACAAUAGUCCAACUGUGCAUACUCCUUCCUAAAUAAGGCACAUCCAUUCUCANNNNNNNNNNNNNNNNNNNNNNNNNNNNNNNNNNNNNNNNNNNNNNNNNNNNNNNNNNNNNNNNNNNNNNNNNNNNNNNNNNNNNNNNNNNNNNNNNNNNAAGUUGGUAUUUCUCUCCUUUCGCCCACCAGCGUUAUAGUAUGACGACCAUUUCGUGGACAAGCCUUUGCCGGCCAAACGACCAGCUGACAACAGCUUACUGGACUUAUCCUUGUUUUUCAUUAUGUUAAACGCCCUAUUUAAAUUGGUGUCCCAAUGGGAGCUGUGAGACGACCCCGCGCUACUGCUUUCAGUGUCCUGCGGAAGGAAUGAACCAUUUAGAAAUUUGGCUUCAUUAAUUAGAAUGCAACCAUAUGGAGCAACGUGGGGUGUAUUCCUUACCAGAACACGCUCAAGCGCCCUGGUCUUCGCAUCCGUGGUAAGCUCCUUUGUUACUGGGUCCACCUUGUACCGGGCCCUGACAUAGUUCCUGGUCUGCUUGUCACCGUAUUUCUCGAAGCGGGGUGGUAGGCCUUGCUUGGCACGCUCCGUGUCCUCCUUGUCCCAUAUAGGUUCCACCACUCUGUAACCGCCGGGACCGAGUUGGUGGACCCCUAAGUUCAACUCCCGCAUUUCUUUCCCCCACUGACUUGAUUNNNNNNNNNNNNNNNNNNNNNNNNNNNNNNNNNNNNNNNNNNNNNNNNNNNNNNNNNNNNNNNNNNNNNNNNNNNNNNNNNNNNNNNNNNNNNNNNNNNNACACAAUCUUUCACAACUAAUUGUGUUGAACAACAACAACAAUUGGCAGCCAUCGCCGCUGGGAAAUUUCAAUGUGACGCAUGCACCCAACCACCGCAGCUGAUACACAGGAUCAAUAAAGAUGCAAGGACAAAGGUUUGCCGUUUGUAGGGCCAUGGCCAACUAAGGCAAGAACAUGCAUGAGCGCAAACAAGGAGAAUCAAAAUGAACUCGGUUCGUACCAGCUACUGAUUUAUUUACUUAUUAUUAGGCUACCGAAUAAUCCAACGAUAACGUCGGCAGCGCGAGUCGAAAAACCCUAGAAAGAACCCCCCGGCAGGCACGGCGGACACAGAGGGGGAGGGAACGCGCGCGCGGGGGGCAGGUCUCGUGGAUGGACGGCGCACCUGCGACGCGGGGGCGGAGGAGAGCCGGANNNNNNNNNNCGAAGACGAAGAACCGGCGGGGAAGAAGCUGGGCGGCGUCGUCGUCGUCGUCGUGUGGGGGAAAGAAGAGAAAGGGGAUCAGGCGGUGGUUACAGGACGGGGAUUAGGGGCUGCCGGCUCCGGGGGGACGAAGGAAGGGAGCCUGGCCGGCGCGGAAGCCGAGGCCGACAGCGAGCGAUCUCACUGCCAAACCCUAGCGCCGCGAGAGCUCUCUGCAUGGACGAAGGUGGGGGAAGGGGUGGGCGGGGACGAGGGCGCGUGAGGGCAGAUGGAGUAGAGGCGCGCGAGGACAGACGACUUAGGAAUGGCGCACCCUGAGUGGUGCGCCCUUAGAAUUUUUUAUAUAUAUAUAGUAAUGGCGCAUGUAUAUGAGGUGCGCCUUCUCUACAUNNNNNNNNNNGGUGCGUGGGAUUUGCCUCCUAGCAGGAGGUGGCGGGUUCGAUCCCCCUCAGCACCCUUUUUGGGGUUAUUUUCCUUUGGGACACUAGCCAUCGGAGAGUAUUCCUUGCCCUCUUGCACUUUGCUAUCGAGCAGAUGCUUCUUAGCCUAGUGGUUUGAUGCAGGAUUGAGUACCNNNNNNNNNNNNNNNNNNNNNNNNNNNNNNNNNNNNNNNNNNNNNNNNNNNNNNNNNNNNNNNNNNNNNNNNNNNNNNNNNNNNNNNNNNNNNNNNNNNNCACAAGUAUAGGGGAUCAAUCAUAGUCCUUUCGAUAAGUAAGAGUGUCGAACCCAAUGAGGAGCACAAGGCUCUGAUAAACGGUUUUCAGCAAGGUAAUAACUGCAAGCACUGAAAGUAGCGGUAACAAAUGAUGGUGUAGUGAGGUGAAAGGUAGCAAGCGAAAAGUAACAAGUAGUAGCAAUGGUGCAGCAAGUGGCCCAAUCCCAUUUGCAGCAAGGGACAAGCCUGAACAAAGUCUUAUAGGAGGAAAAACACUCCCGAGGACACACGGGAACUUCUGUCAUGCUAGUUUCAUCAUGUUCAAGUGAUUCGCGUUCGUUACUUUGAUAGUUUGAUAUGUGGGUGGACCGGCGCUUGGGUACUGCCCUUACUUGGAAAAGAAUCCCACUUAGGAUUAACCCCUCUCGCAAGUAUCCGCAACUACGAAAGAAGAAUUAAGACAACGUCUAACCAUAGCAUUACACUAGUGGAUCCAAAUCAGCCCCUUACGAAGCAACACAUAGACUGGGGUUUAAGCUUCUGUCACUCCAACAACCCAUCAUCUACUUACUACUCCCCAAUGCCUUCCUCUAGGCCCAAAUUGGUGAAGUGUUAUGUAGUUGAUGUUCACAUAACACCACUAGAGGGAAAAUAUAACAUACAACAUACCAAAAUACCGAACGAAUACCAAACUCACAUGACUAUUAUUAGCAUGACUUAUCCCAUGUCCUCAGGAACAAAAGUAACUAGUCACAAAGCAUAAUCAUAAUCAUGAUCAGAGGUGUAAUGAAUAGCAUCAAGGAUCUGAACAUAAACUCUUCCACCAAGUAAUCCAACUAGCAUCAACUACAAAGAGUAAUCAACACUACUAGUAACCUUGCAAGUACCAAUUAGAGUCGUGAGACGGAGAUUGGUUACAAGAGAUGAACUAGGGAUUGGAGUGGAGAUGGUGCUGAUGAACAUGUUUAUGAAGAUGCCUCCCCUCCGACGAGAGGAGUGUUGGUGAUGAUGAUGGCGACGAUUUCCCCCUCCGGGAGGGAAGUUUCCCCGNNNNNNNNNNNNNNNNNNNNNNNNNNNNNNNNNNNNNNNNNNNNNNNNNNNNNNNNNNNNNNNNNNNNNNNNNNNNNNNNNNNNNNNNNNNNNNNNNNNNNNNNNNNNNNNNNNNNNNNNNNNNNNNNNNNNNNNNNNNCUUCAUAUAGCAAAAGAGGGGGCCAGUGGGCCGUCAGGGAGCCCACAAGCUUGCUAGCCGCCACUAGGGGGGGUGGCGGUGGCAGGGCUUGUGGCGCCGUGGUAGCUCCACUCUGGUACUUCUUUAGCCCAGUAUUUUUUAUAUAAUCCCAAAAAAUUNNNNNNNNNNGCAGGAUCGUCCUGCCGGAGCUCUAGAUUGGAUCUACUCAAGUUCCGCCUCGUGGCGGCGGCGAAACCACGAAAAAGCUCCCAAUUGAUUUUUUCUGGAACAAAACCNNNNNNNNNNNNNNNNNNNNNNNNNNNNNNNNNNNNNNNNNNNNNNNNNNNNNNNNNNNNNNNNNNNNNNNNNNNNNNNNNNNNNNNNNNNNNNNNNNNNNNNNNNNNNNNNNNNNNNNNNNNNNNNNNNNNNNNNNNNNNNNNNNNNNNNNNNNNNNNNNNNNNNAGCCGCCACUAGGGGGGUGGCGGUGGCAGGGCUUGUGGCGCCCUGGUAGCUCCCCUCUGGUACUUCUUUAGCCCAGUAUUUUUUAUAUAAUCCCAAAAAAUUCCACGUAAAUUUUCAGGGCAUUCGGAGAUGUGCACAAUUGUGAACUAAGAUUUUCUCCUUUUCCAGUCUAGAAUUGCAGCUGCCUGAAUUCUCCCUCUUCAAAUAACCUUGCAAAAUAAGAGAGNNNNNNNNNNNNNNNNNNNNNNNNNNNNNNNNNNNNNNNNNUUUUCCAGUCCAGAAUUCCAGCUGCCUGAAUUCUCCCUCUUCAAAUAACCUUGCAAAAUAAGAGAGAAAAGGCAUAAAUAUGGUACCACAAAGUAAUAUAAUAGCCCAUAAAGCAAUAAAUAUCAACAUGAAAGCAUGAUGCAAAAUGGACGUAUCAACUCCCUCAAGCUUAGACCUCGCUUGUCCUCAAGCGAAAACCAAGUUCCAUAAACAUGUCCACAUGUUUAGGGACGGAGGUGUCGAUAAAACAUAAUACGGACAUGAGGGCAUCAUGAUCACACAUANNNNNNNNNNNNNNNNNNNNNNNNNNNNNNNNNNNNNNNNNNNNNNNNNNNNNNNNNNNNNNNNNNNNNNNNNNNNNNNNNNNNNNNNNNNNNNNNNNNNUGCGCCAUUAGUGUCCACCACACUAAUGGCACGCCUCACAUGGUGCGCCACUACUAUAUAGUAGUGGCGCACUGCUUGUGUGGUGCGCCAUUGGUAUCUAUAUCAUCUAUAGCCCUUUUCCUAGUAGUGUCUUUUGCUUUUACCUUUGUUUUAGUUCUUUCCUUCUCAGCUUUUAUUUCUUCUCAUAGUGGAAUAAGUCUUUAGUUUUUAGUUUGAGACUUUUUCUUUUCUCUCGCCCCCGAUAUAUUCGAGCUCGUGAGCUAUAUAAUAAAGAGUAUCUUAGUCAAGGGCUUUGCUUUGUGCCAUGAUCAAAAGUAUAAAAAGAACGAUAGCAUGAAAUAUCAUGAGACGAUCUUAUGGAAAUUGAUAGCUUCACAUAUGACACGUAUGAUGAUUGAAACUUGAUGAGAAUAAAUUAACAUAGACCUCAGUCAUUGUUGCAAUUAAUAAGAAGUAUUGAGAAAAGAGAGGUUCACAUAUAAAUAUAUCAUCUUAGACACUUUUUACAAUUGUGAGCACUCACCAAACUAUUACAUGCUUAGGAGUAGAUGUUGGACAAGGAAGACAACAUAAUGAAUUGUGUUUGCUCGGUUCCAAACAAUGUUAUAUGAUUAGAGAUCCCUUAGCAUGUGACGAUUGCUUCCACCUCAUAUUAGCCAAAACUCCCGCACCAAGUAGAGAUACUACUUGUGCAUCCAUAAACCUUCAACCCAGUUUUGCCAUGGGAGUCCACCAUAACUACUUAUGGAUUGAAUAAGAUCCUUCAAGUAAGUUGUAAUCGGUGCAAGCAAUAAAAAUUGCUCUCUAAUAUCUAUGAUCUAUUAGUGCGUGGAAAAUAAGCUUUGUACGAAACUGUGAUGAGGAAGACAUAAAAGUGACAAACUGCAUAAUAAAGUUCUUUAUCACACGAGGCAAUAUAGAGUGACGUUCCUCCGCACUAAGAGGACACGCAUUCAAACCUCAAAAGCGCAUGACAACCUCUGCUUCCCUCUACGAAGGUCCUAUCUUGUACCUUUACUUUUUUNNNNNNNNNNNNNNNNNNNNNNNNNNNNNNNNNNNNNNNNNNNNNNNNNNNNNNNNNNNNNNNNNNNNNNNNNNNNNNNNNNNNNNNNNNNNNNNNNNNNAAAUAUAUGCAAAUGCAUGCAUAUUUAUAACUGUAACCCUUUCGAACAGGAGACGCAUAUUGGUCACGCAUACUGAUAAAUUAAUUAAAUUACCUAUAUCUAGCAAGUUUCAUCCGAAGACCGACCCACAACAAAUGAAGGGGCGAGGAGGNNNNNNNNNNNNNNNNNNNCUGGUAACGCAUACUGAUAAAUUAAUUUAAUUACCUAUAUCUAACAAGUUUCAUCCGAAGACCGACCCACAACAAAUGAAGGGGCGAGGAGGAGAUGACAUUCGUACUCACCCACGAAUGCAGGGGCGGAGCUCGUAGAACUCAUGGGGAGGUCUUCGCACAGCAGACCUCAGAGCGACGAGACAACUGUCACAUGUAAACCCACCCGAUCAACACAAAUAUUUUGUGUUCAUUAAUAAAAUCGAAAAUUAUAUGACCNNNNNNNNNNNNNNNNNNNNNNNNNNNNNNNNNNNNNNNNNNNNNNNNNNNNNNNNNNNNNNNNNNNNNNNNNNNNNNNNNNNNNNNNNNNNNNNNNNNNNNNNNNNNNNNNNNNNNNNNNNNNNNNNNNNNNNNAUGGUGUCAGGGUUUAUUUUUCUUCUGCUUCAUCUUGUUUUUUCCUCUUCUUUCUUUUCUUCUUCUUCUUCCUUCCUUUUCUUCUUCUUCUACUUAUUCUUCUUCUUCUUCUUCGUCUUUUCUUCUCUUCUUCUUCUUCUUCUUCUUCUUCUUCCUACUUUUCCUUUUUCCUCUUCNNNNNNNNNNGUGGUGUCAGGGUUUAUUUUCCUUCUGCUUCAUCUUCUUUUUUCCUCUUCUUUCUUUUCUUCUUCUUCUUCUUCUUCUUCUUCUUCCUUCCUUUUCUUCUUCUUCUACUUAUUCUUCUUCUUCUUCUUCUUCUUCUUCUUCUUCUUCUUCUUCUUCUUCUUCUCUUCUUCUUCUUCUUCUUCUUGUUGUUGUUCUUCUUCUUCCUACUUUUCCUUUUUCCUCUUCUUCUUCUUCUUCUUCUUCUUCUUCUUCUUCCUUCUUUUCCUUUUUCCUCUUCUUUAUUAUUCUCCUCUCUCCUCUUUUUCUUUUUCUUCUUUUUUGUCUUCUCCUCCUUCUCCUCUUCUUCUUCUUCCCUUAUCUACUUAACCUAGCANNNNNNNNNNNNNNNNNNNNNNNNNNNNNNNNNNNNNNNNNNNNNNNNNNNNNNNNNNNNNNNNNNNNNNNNNNNNNNNNNNNNNNNNNNNNNNNNNNNNAAUCUACUAUUUAACUAAAUCAACUAACUAAACUACCACUAAAUCUACCACUUAACUAACCCAUCAACUAAACUUUAUACACCACUAAAUCUAUUAAUUAGCAAAAAAAUAAAAAAACACCUUGCACGGGCAGUGAUCAGCCGGGGCGAUGGGCGGUCGGGGCAAUGGGUGACCUGGCCGGUGCUGGUGGAGGAGGGGGUCCGCGGUGAGGAGAGGGCAGUGGCGGAUUAGGGGUGGCGCAGUGGUGGAAGAGAGGUGAGUCAAGGGGAGGAGGGCACCGGGGCAAUGGUGGAGCAGGGGGCACGGAGAGGAGGGGCGGUGGUGGAGGAGGGGACGGUGGUGGNNNNNNNNNNACACCUUGCACGGGCAGUGGGCAGCCGGGGCGAUGGGCGGUCGGGGCAAUGGGUGACCUGGCCGGUGCUGGUGGAGGAGGGGGUCUGGGGCAAGGAGAGGGCAGUGGCGGACGAGGGGUGGCGCAGUGGUGGAAGAGAGGUGGGUCAAGGGGAGGAGGGCACCGGGGCAAUGUUUGAGGAGGGGGCACGGAGAGGAGGGGCGGUGGUGGAGGAGGGGACGGUGGUGGAGUAGGGGGUCGCAGGGAGGAGGAGGGGCGAGCUUCGGCGGCGGGUGAUACGUCUCCAUCGUAUCUACUUUUCUAAACUCUAUUGCCCUUGUUUUGGACUCUAAUUUGCAUGAUUUGAAUGGAACUAACCCGGACUGGCGCUGUUUUCAGCAAAAUUGCCCUUGUUUUGGACUCUAAUUUGCAAGAAUUACCCGAAGACACGGAGCCAGGAGCCCACGAGCCCAGGAGGGGCGCCCCCCUAGGCCGCGCCUGGCAAGCUCCUGGGGCCCACAUGGCUCCGCAGCCUCCAACUCCAACUCUAUAUAGUCUCUUUCCUCCCAGAAAAAAUCAGGAGAGAGCUUUUGGGAAGAAACGCCGCCGCCANNNNNNNNNNNNNNNNNNNNNNNNNNNNNNNNNNNNNNNNNNNNNNNNNNNNNNNNNNNNNNNNNNNNNNNNNNNNNNNNNNNNNNNNNNNNNNNNNNNNUUGUAUGUUGUCUUUCCUCUAGUGGUGUUAUGUGAACGUUGACUACAUAAAAGUUCACCAUUAUUUGGGCCUAGAGGAAGGCAUUGGGAAGUAAUAAGUAGAUGAUGGGUUGCUAGAGUGACAGAAGCUUAAACCCUACUUUAUGGGUUGUUUCGUAAGGGGCUGAUUUGGAUCCACUAGUUUAAUGCUAUGGUUAGUGAUGACCCACAAGUAUAGGGGAUCAAUCGUGGUCCUUUCGAUAAGUAAGAGUGUCGAACCCAAUGAGGAGCAGAAGGCUCUGAUAAACGGUUUUUAGCAAGGUAAUAACUGCAAGCACUAAAAGUAGCGGUAACAAAUGAUGGUGUAGUGAGGUGAAAGGUAGCAAGCGAAAAGUAACAAGUAGUAGCAAUGGUGCAGCAAGUUGCCCAAUCCCAUUUGCAUCAAGGGACAAGCCUGAACAAAGUCUUAUAGGAGGAAAAACACCCCCGAGGACACACGGGAAUUUCUGUCAUGCUAGUUUCAUCAUGUUCAAGUGAUUCGCGUUCGUUACUUUGAUAUUGAUAUGUGGGUGGACCGGCGCUUGGGUACUGCCCUUAAUUGGAAAAGAAUUCCACUUAGGAUUAACCCCUCUCGCAAGUAUCGGCAACUACGAAAGAAGAAUUAAGACAACGUCUAACCAUAGCAUUAAACUAGUGGAUCCAAAUNNNNNNNNNNNNNNNNNNNNNNNNNNNNNNNNNNNNNNNNNNNNNNNNNNNNNNNNNNNNNNNNNNNNNNNNNNNNNNNNNNNNNNNNNNNNNNNNNNNNGUCUCAAGAGUCAUGACUCGCACAUAUGGCUUGAGCGGGUAAUUAAUGUCGGUGAUGUUACGUGGCCUUAUUCCUGAGGAUGAAUGGCUAGUACUGGCGGAGCUGAGCUAUUUCUUCCAUGUUCUUUGUGCGAAAGAAUUGUCGCCUAGAGUGGUAGAUGACAUGGAGGAGUUUGCUCCGGAGUUUCUGUGCAAGUUANNNNNNNNNNUAGUACUGGCGAAGCUGACCUAUUUCUUCCGUGUUCUUUGUGCGAAAGAAUUGUCACCUAGCGUGGUAGAUGACAUGGAGGAGUUUGCUCCGGAGUUUCUGUGCAAGUUAGAGAAGAUCUUUUUGCCGGGCUUAUUUAAUCCAAGUCAGCAUUUGAUUUUACAUCUACCGACCGAGGCAAGAUUGGGUGGGCCCAUGCAAAAUCAUUGGUGCUAUGCAACUGAGAGGAUGCAGAAGACGCUUCUAGCUAAAUGUAAAAAUAAGCGUAUAAUUGAAGCAUCGAUUAUGAGGCAGUCAUUACUAAGGAGGUGGCAAACUUUGUGACAACACACUACAAGCCAAAAAUCAUCAUUUGCAUAAUCCGAAGCCUCGGUACAAUGAUGCAAACCCUAAAAAAGGUGGAUCCAACCUUAGCCUAUUCAAAGGGAAGCUCGCACCAGUCGGUGCUUCGAAACCAAUAACGUUGGAUGUCGAAGAAUGGUGGAACAUUUCGUUGUAUAUCUUCAACAACCUAACAGAAGUCCGGCAGUACAUCGAGUAAGUUCUCGGCAAAUUUUUCCGUAACUUCUAAUUCCNNNNNNNNNNAGUGCUUCGAAACCAAUAAUGUUGGAUGUCGAAUAAUGGUGGAACAUUUCGUUGUAUAUCUUCAACAACCUAACAGAAGUGCGGUAGUACAUCGAGUAAGUUCUCGGCAAAUUUUUCCGUAACUUCUAAUUCCUUUGAACACUCUUAUUCCCGGAUAUUUCAUGCAGCCGAUAUGUCGCCAAAUUCUCGGAUGGAGCGGUGAUCCAAAAUGAUUCCGUCGAAGAGUAUGAGCUUCUCGCAAAGCAUGGAGGCGGCUAUCUCGGUUUCAUCUCUUGGUUCAAACAAACGGUAAUUAUCAAUAAUGGACUAUUUCAUUUCUUGAUCUAACUUGCAGCUAAUGCAACAAUCGUUUCGUAUUAAACUUGUAGGCUACUUCAGAGUCUAUGGACGCCGAAUUGAGACAAGCCCCUAACGGUUUUGACUAAUGAUCCGUUCAUUUGAGAAAUACAACAUCAACGGGUAUCUCUUUCAUACCUUUGGCAAAGAGCUAUCUAUGCCCGACCGGAAAUCUACAAAUUGUUGUGUCUCUACUAUCGGUGAAGGUGGUAUCGGGUAUUAUGGAAGAGUUGAAGCAAUUUAUGAACUUCAAUUCUAUGGUGAAAACCCACCGAACGUCGUAGUGUUCAAAUGUUAUUGGUUCAAGCCGAAGAAGACUAGAAGGACUCAUGAACAUAUAGGACUAGUCGAAAUCAAUCCAAACACCCAUUUAGAUGUUCCCAAUGUCUAUAUUACAGCUCAACAGGCGACCCAAGUUUUCUAUCUACCGUGGCCAUGCCAAACUGAUAAGAAUUUGGAAGGUUGGUAUGUUGUUUAUGAAGUGCCGCCACGUGUUAGACCACCUCCCCCAAAUGAAUAGGAUUAUGAACCUCACAUUAACCCACACACAUACGAUGGAGAAUUCUACCAAGAAACGCGUCUUUCCAAGAAACAUUUCAAGAACCGUCGUGCUUCACCCCAGAACAUGGAAGUAGACAGCGACAAUGAAUCUGACUUCACCCCUGAGCCGGAACCAGCUGAGCUGGAACUAGAAGAUGUUACUCAUGUGGAUGACCUGUCAAUGCUUGACCGAUUACAGAAAGGCCUUCCCCAACUUCAUGCCGUUGAACCUGAUGAACACGGCAUUCAUGAAGACAUGUGUGAUAGUGAUGAUGAUGAUGCAUUCAUUGAUGAUAAUUAUUAGUUUGUAUGCAUCCCAACUUAAACUAUAUGUGUACAUAUUAUUAUUCAUGUCAGUUAUUCAAUUUUUUAUGUUGUAGUAGUUUCUUUUAAUCUGUAUCAUGGCAGGUUAGCAUGUGUUGAAAGAUGGUGGGCGCGGGUCCAGAUCCCUCAACGGGUUCUUCUUCGACCGCCCGCACGAGGGGUGGUACUUCCAUUCCACCCCUAUCUCUCCAUAGAGCCUUGGCAGACAGUCCGACAACACCACCCGCAGGUGCUUCUUCGUCGGCGGCAUUGCCCACUAGGAGAGGUGUUGCUCAGGUAAGGAAGAAGGGGAAGGGUACAGGGAGAGUUGGUGGCCGCGGAAGAUGUAGGCGGACUGCUACGCCUUCCUCGCCACCACCACCAGCUCAUUCGCACGAGCACAAGACUACUAUGGUGGACCCGUUUGCGGAGGAGGCUACGGGGACUCCGGUCCAGGAUCCUCGGGUGGACGGGCAUUCGACCCAUGAGACUCCGGUCCAGGAUCAACCUCGGGUCAAGGUGCGUUCGGAUCACGAGACUCCAGUUCCUAGGGCUACGUCCCAGGAGACUCCUGCCACAGAGGCUUCAGCAGACAUGGAGACGUCCGGAUGGGGUGUCUGGCCAGAUCAGACCGAGGUGCUGGAUUGGACAGAGGGUCCGGGUGGCUAUUCUGUUGAUGGAGGGGAUGAGUCUACGGAUAGUCAGGGCGGCGUGUAGGUGGACGGGGCCACCNNNNNNNNNNAAUGGGGUGUCUGGCCGGAUCAGACCGAGGUGCUGGAUUUGACAGAGGGUCCGGGUGGCUAUUCUAUUGAUGGCGGGGAUGAGUCUACGGAUAGUGAGGGCGGCGUGUAGGUGGACGGGGCCACCAUCUACAAGUGUGGUAGUACACAUCUUUCGGUCGUGCCGGCUACCCGCGAGNNNNNNNNNNCGCUACGUCCUAGGAGACUCCUGCCACAGAGGCUUCAGCAGACUUGGAGACGUCCGGAUGGGGUGCCUGGCCGGAUCAGACCGAGGUGCUGGAUUGGACAGAGGGUCCGGGUGGCUAUUCUNNNNNNNNNNAUGUACAAGCGUGCUAGUACACAUCUUUCAGUCGUGCCGGCUACCCGCGAGCAGAGGCCGGUGAUUAAGCCUGAAGGGNNNNNNNNNNGUGUACAAGUGUGGUAGUACACAUCUUUCGGUCGUGCCGGCUACCCGCGAGCAGAGGCCGGUGAUUAAGCCUGAAGGGGAUAGGUAAGUACAUUUACUCUUUUUUUAGCUUUUGCCUUCAAGUUUCUUCAAAUAUAUAAUGCGUUGACCUUAUCAUACUGCAGGGGAUGGAAACACCCUGUUGGACUCCGCAAGCCAAACACCGUCCUUGGUGUGCUUUGCCGGACAAAUUUCCCGGGGUUUCUCACGUUGCCUGGUGAGGGUUAGGUUCCUACACUAGGAUUUACCUGGGAGCACUACCAGGCUGCACAGGCCCUGCCGGAGGAGAUUAUAGAUGGUGUCUUGUGCCACACGAGGGCUGAGAUGGUGAUCAACAUAUUUUGGGUAAAUUAUCAUUUUACACAUUCUAAUAUUAAUAAUAUAGCUAAUUAUUGUACUAAUCGGUGGUGUCUCGUUUGAUUGCAGACCUUCUAUAGGUGUGAGGAGGGAUAUGAGGGCGAAGGUUCUUGAGGCCGAGUGUAGGCGGUUAUUACAGAACUUACGCCACGAGGCUCGGCCACAGGCUAUUCGAGNNNNNNNNNNCUUUUGGGUAAAUUAUCAUUUUACACAAUCUAAUAUUAAUAAUAUAGCUAAUUAUUGUACUAAUUGGUGUUGUCUCGUUUGAUUGCAGACCUUCUAUAGGUGUGAGGAGGGAUAUGAUGGCGAAGGUUCUCGAGGCCGAGUGUAGGUGGUUAUUACAGAACUUACGCCACGAGGCUCGGCCACAGGCUAUUCGAGNNNNNNNNNNNNNNNNNNNNNNNNNNNNNNNNNNNNNNNNNNNNNNNNNNNNNNNNNNNUAAUUACCUAUUCUUAAGGCCUUGUAUGUAGUUUUCUUGAUUUGAUUCAUAGGCGUAGCGCUCAAAAUUCUUUUUAAUAACUUAUAGGUGCGCCCGAGAUGGUGUGCGGAUAAGAUGGAUUGUUAGGAGGCAUUGGUGGAUGAGUGGUGCACAAGCAACUAGCGAGCAGUCCACGACAAUGCGAAGGAUCGGCGUAGCCAAAUGGUUGGUGUGCCACACCAUGAAGGCAGCGCCAACUUACUUCAUUUCAAACGAAACUGGGUAUGUGGUUUGCUUCAUGAUUCGUGCAAUUCAUUCUUCAUGCUAGCUUGAGCCCCUUACUAAUACUUUCUUCCUCUCUUUUAGGCACAUCACAAUAAGACGGAGAUGCCAGAGUUGUACGACCUUUAUGGCAUGGCCCAUACUACCUCCUACAAGAAGGCAAAGGCAUUCUCUGAGUCUAGCCUGGAUGAUCUAAAUAACUUCACCAACAUCAUCCCACCACAAGCUCAUGAAAUACAGGGACGUGGGGAAGGCUUGGAAUGGGGAGGACUGUAACCCGAGCCAGGAACCUUUGGAUCCAGAGUUGGUGAUGAUAUCUGGUGGCGGGAGGCUACAUGGCUUGAUAGCCAUUGNNNNNNNNNNNNNNNNNNNNNNNNNNNNNNNNNNNNNNNNNNNNNNNNNNNNNNNNNNNNNNNNNNNNNNNNNNNNNNNNNNNNNNNNNNNNNNNNNNNNNNNNNNNNNNNNNNNNNNNNNNNNNNNNNNNNNNNNNNNNNNNNNNNNNNNNNNNNGCCUCGUCCACGGCUAGUCGAUCUUGCCAUCGAGGUUAGUUGUACGGACUCAAAAAACUUUCAUCCAUUUCAUUGUGUGUGUGGCCAUCGAUCAUUACUGUGGUAACGAGGAAUGGUGUUGCAUCACGCCACUAGCAUCACGCCAUUAGAUUUUUUUACUAAUGGCGCACCACANNNNNNNNNNNNNNNNNNNNNNNNNNNNNNNNNNNNNNNNNNNNNNNNNNNNNNNNNNNNNNNNNNNNNNNNNNNNNNNNNNNNNNNNUAGAUCCUGGUGCGCCAUUAGUAUAGCUUAUGGUGUGCCAUUAGUAUGCCUCCCAGGGCCAUAUUUACCCAUAUGCUCUGGCUUACUAAUGGCGCACUAGUGUGCUGAGUGAUGUGCCACUAGUGUGCUGAGUGAUGCGCCACUAGUAAGAAUAUGAGGUAUUUAUUUUAUUUUUUCUGAUAUUUGCACAGAAUAGAGAUAGCACAACAUAUAAACAACAGAUUUAUCGAAUACAUUAGAAGAUUAGUCUCCGAAUACAAUUCAUCAUAUUAUUCUCCGAAUUUAAAAUACCGAACAAAGUUAGAACAUUACAAGUCUCGANNNNNNNNNNUGAAUAUGAGGUAUUUAUUUUAUUUUUUCUGAUAUUUGCACAGAAUAUAGAUAGCACAACAUAUAAACAACAGAUUUAUCGAAUACAAUAGAAGAUUAGUCUCUGAAUACAAUUCAUCAUAUUAGUCUCCGAAUUUAAAAUACCGAACAAAGUUAGAACAUUACAAGUCUCGAGACCGCGAGUAGCGAGUUUGUCUUCACAUUACAAGUCGAUAUCGAUCAUCUAAACUACCAUCACAUAGAAGAGAGUUGCGGUCAUCACGAUUAGCAUAAUCGCAAUGAAACUGGUCUUCAUCCGGUUCCUCCAACGGUCCCUCCUGUCUCCCGCUAGAUAGCGCGUGUAUCUAACUUCCGCCUCCGCCCUUGUGGUGUACCCUUUGUAACUGUUAUCGCUGAAUCGGUGAACCUGUCUCCGACACUCCUCCCAGUCGUCGUAGACUCCGGGAACCUUACCCUUGUACACGACAUACGACGGCAUCUCUAUGCACUAGCCAAACAAAACGUUAGUAGCAAUUCACAGAGACAUACAAGUUCAUUAAAGUUUAAUAUUACAACUAUAACAGCACGAUUCAUGGGCCUACUAAUAAAUAGCAUCGAUUAUAUAUAAGUUGAACGACUGUCCAAACCAAAGAGAGAUACCAGUUCAUUAAAGUUUAAUAUUGCAACAUGAAUUAGUAGCGAUUCACGGGAACGUGGAUGAAGCCGCCGUCUUUCGUGAUGGUCAUGAAAUUGCAGUCGUUGUCAGCCUGCAUUUGUAGCAUUGUAUCUAUCUCACUAUUGGACAGCGGAGAUCUAAGGUAGAACUGCCCCGAGGUACGAAGGACAUCUUCAUGGAUGAUUUCCGCAAACCCCGACUGGAUGCUAAAGAAUUCUUGUAUGAUGUCCGCAUCCUGGAUUGCCGACAAGCGUGCGGCCCAAUCUUUGAGAUUAUUUGGUANNNNNNNNNNUCCGACUGGAUGCGAAAGAAUUCUUGUCUGAUGUGCGCACCCUGGAUUGCCGACAAGCGUGCGGCCCAAUCUUUGAGAUUAUUUGGUAGCUGGAGGUGAUUACUGUCCCGUAUGAUCGCCCGCAUGUGAUGGAGGGCGUAGUAGGCAUCCUUCUGACUGCCAGGCGGCUGCUUGACGCAGGCGAACGUCGUAUUGUGGGUGAACACGUGCUUCCGGUGCCUGAGACUUGUCCUGCUGAAUGUGCCUCCAGAUAUGGCGUAGCCGGGAAGAGCUUCAUCAAGAACUUUCUUGAUAUUUGUGUAGUCUUUUUUUGACUGACGGUCCGAGUCGAAAUACGUGGCCGUGGAAUAUUUCAGGCUUAANNNNNNNNNNACUGCUUGACGCAGGCGAACGUCGUAUUGUGGGUGAACACGUGCUUCCCGUGCCUGAGACUUGUCCUGCUGAAGGUGCCUCCAGAUAUGGCGUAGCCAGGAAGAGCUUCAUCAAGAACUUUCUUGAUAUUUGUGUAGUCUUUUUUUUUCCUGACGGUCCGAGUCGAAAUACGUGGCCGUGGAAUAUUUCAGGCUUAAGAGGAUGAGUGUGCAACGUGUGUCACUUCACAAAACACGGAAUGUUAGAAAAAAAAAGGACGAUCAAAAUCUAAGAAAUCAUAUGUUACGUGGCGAUGAGGGGAUAACUUACCAGGGAAAGUAAGGCACGAGGAAGUUAUCCUUUUCUGAGUUUGCCAGAAUGACGCCUUCGAGGUAUGAACUCGCGACUUGCCGGUCCCCAGCGCUGCCCAAGAUCUUGGCACGCAUAUAGAAGGGGUCGACUACCACUAGGUCCGGGGUCUUGUCUCUAAUGAUCCGCAUCUCCAUACUCAGCGAAAAUAGCCGAACGAAGGUGUAGUGCAGCGGAUGAAGGUUAAACAUAGCGAAGAUGUCAGCAAACCGCAGAACGAUCAUACCCCCGAUGGCGCUAUCGACAAAGCCCUUGCCCUUUGGCACCUUGGCCACGAAAACCGGGUAUGCACAUUAUUCUCGGAGAGACGCCACUUCUCCAAACAAAGAACAGUGUCAUGCAGACUCCGCAUAGCAACGGUUGCAGCAUUGAGCAGAUUAGUCGGUAGCAUCGGCCUACCCGCCANNNNNNNNNNCACAUUAUUCUCGGAGAGACGCGGCUUCUCCAAGCAAAGAACACUGUCAUGCAGACUCCGCAUAGCACCGGUUGCAGCAUUGAGCAGAUUAGUCGGUAGCAUCGGCCUACCCGCCACAUGCACCCUCCUCGAGAUAUCCUUAGGUGAAGGUGGCCCAUCCACAGCACGGAUCGUACUCAGUGCCGGCUAGCUCGCACCCUUGUUAGUCUUUCUUUUCCGUCCCUUCUUCUGCUGAUGUAAUGGGAUCGAGUUCAUCUGCUCAGAGACCACCUUCUUGAGUGUGUUGGGGCUAAUAAUAUUUCGCACCUCGGCUAUCUGAGGCUCGGUGAAGGCGGCAGCUGGAGGCGUCUCCUCAAAACUAAACGCCACACCACGCCUGUUGCAAUUGGGUUUCUCCGCGGUACCAGCUAGAUCGCGGUCGUCUUUUGCAGGGUUGGGUUCUUGAGAAGGAGGCCCCAAGAAUUNNNNNNNNNNGACAACGCCUGUUGCAAUUGGAUUUCUCCGCGGUACCAGCUAGAUCGUGGUCGUCUUUUGCAGGGUUGGGUUCUUGAGAAGGAGGCCCCAAGAAUUNNNNNNNNNNNNNNNNNNNNNNNNNNNNNNNNNNNNNNNNNNNNNNNNNNNNNNNNNNNNNNNNNNNNNNNNNNNNNNNNNNNNNNNNNNNNNNNNNNNNNNNNNNNNNNNNNNNNNNNNNNNNNNNNNNNNNNNNNNNNNNNNNNNNNNNNNNNNNNNNNNNNNNNNNNNNNNNNNUUCCGGAACCUGUGCCAUAUGCAUCUCCGGAUCCUGUGCCAUAUGCAUGUCCAGUAGUGUUGCGGCGGUCUUGCCAUGGCUUGGCGCCAACACGACUGGCGGUGUUGUCUGUGGGGUGGUGUCCCCCGCCCCCAAACGAAUCUGGCUCUUCGGCCAAAGCAAGGUCCAGCUUAAGCAGGCGUUGAGGGUCAUCACAUCAUCUCUGUCGGCCCCACCGGGGUGGAACGGAGGUAACAAGUCAUCGCAGCCUGGCAGCACCCGAANNNNNNNNNNGUCCGGAACCUGUGCCAUAUGCAUGUCCGGAUCCUGUGCCAUAUGCAUGUCCGGUAGCGUUCGGCGGUCUUGCCAUGGCUUGGCGCCAGCACGACUGGCGGUGUUGUCUGUGGGGUGGUUUCCCCCGCCCCCAAAUGAAUCUGGCUCUUCGGCCAAAGCAAGGGCCAGCUUAAGCAGGCGCUGANNNNNNNNNNNNNNNNNNNNNNNNNNNNNNNNNNNNNNNNNNNNNNNNNNNNNNNNNNNNNNNNNNNNNNNUGGAGGUAACAAGUCAUUGCAGCCUGGCAGCACCCGAACCAGUUGAACCCUAUACGUGGUGGGUGGCAUCGGUUUACCGUGGAACAUGGGGUUUCCCGGUUGAACGAUUCUGCCCUUGGCGACAUCGAUCAACUCGCCGCCCAUGAAGUGCAGGAGNNNNNNNNNNNNNNNNNNNNNNNNNNNNNNNNNNNNNNNNNNNNNNNNNNNNNNNNNNNNNNNNNNNNNNNNNNNNNNNNNNNNNNNNNNNNNNNNNNNNAGCCGGCGCCGGAGACACCAAUGGCGCUGGCGCCGAAGACACCAAUGACGUCGCCUGCGCGUUGUGCGAGUUGCUGGCCAUGAAGCUGGGAAUCGGGGGCGGCCCCUGUGGGCUGCCCGCAAUCCACACAUGCAGCCCCUCAAUCAAGGUAGGCACAAUGGCGGUGAUCACCCUUCCCACUUGGUGUUGCACUAGAUCUUGGACCAUCUCCGGAAUCCGCACCACUUUUGCCUUGAGUUCUUCAACCUCGCGCGACUGGCUUUCGAAGUUGGUAUUUCUCUCCUUUCGCCCACCAGCGUUAUAGUAUGACGACCAUUUCGUGGACAAGCCUUUGUCGGCCACACAACCAGCUGACGACAGCUUACUAGACUUAUCCUUGUUUUUCAUUAUGUUAAACGCCCUAUUUAAAUUGGUGNNNNNNNNNNNNNNNNNNNNNNNNNNNNNNNNNNNNNNNNNNNNNNNNNNNNNNNNNNNNNNNNNNNNNNNNNNNNNNNNNNNNNNNNNNNNNNNNNNNNNNNNNNNNNNNNNNNNNNNNNNNNNNNNNNNNNNNNNNNNNNNNNNNNNNNNNNNNNNNNNNNNNNNNNNNNNNNNNNNNNNNNNNNNNUAAUUACGUGGGCUGUAUUCCUUACUAGAACACGCUCAAGCGCCCUGGUCUUCGCAUCCAUGGUAAGCUCCUUUGUUACUGGGUCCACCUUGUACCGGGCUCUGACAUAGUUCAUGGUCUGCUUGUCACCGUAUUUCUCGAAGCAGGGUGGUAGGCCUUGCUCGGCACGCUCCGCGUCCUCCUUGUGCCAUAUAGGUUCCGCCACUCUGUAACCGCCGGGACCGAGUUGGCGGACCCCUAAGUUCAACUCCCGCAUUUCUUUCCCCCACUGACUUGAUUCCGCGGUUGCCUUGCUCUCGCACUUGAUCUUGAACUCCUUGUAGUCAUCUUCGCUGAUCGAAGGAUUUUUCGCCUUGAUCUUCUCAUAACUAUCACCUUUGUCAAUCAUUCUCUUCACCGCGCUUCUCCAAGUAGACAGGGCCUUGCUCAUAUUCGUGAGGGCGGCACUGUUCACUUUAUUCCUUGAGAGGCGUGUGUUUGCGACGUCACCGGGGAACUUGUAUCGUUCGUGGAGCUUCGUGAAGAGGAGGUUGCGCAAAUUCCCUCGGUCCUUAUGCCUUAGGUUCUCGGUGUUGAUCGAGACCGUGCUGCGGAGAAUGCACCGAAGUUGAACCGCGUACCCCUUGACUAUUUCUUUGGGCGCCGUUGGAUACCCGNNNNNNNNNNAUUCGUGCAGCUUCGUGAAGAGGAGGUUGCGCAAAUUCCCUCGGUCCUUAUGCCUUAGGUUCUCGGUGUUUAUCGAGACAGUGCUCCGGAGAAUGCACCCGAGCUGAACCGCGUACCCCUUGACUAUUUCUUUGGGCGCCGUUGGAUACCCGUCGGAGUUCACUUCAGUAAAUUCCUCCUUUACGGUCCACGUUCGGGCGCCGGUCCUUCCGUUGCCUCUUCGAUUGGCUGCCAUCUGUGCGUGCGCUGCCAUCAUCAGAGGUGGCUUCCUCGGCGGCACCAUCAGUGGUGUCAUCCCCGACGCCACUAGGGGUUGUGUACUCGAGAUCAGUGUCUUCCGCGACGUCCUCAUAGCGGUGAGGUUCUUCCUCCAUCUCCUGCGACAGCUCCCAGAAUGGCUUGCCCGAACAGCCGGCCUCAUCGUUGUGGGCCAUGUUUCGCUCUAAAUAGGAAAAAAGUUUUGUCAAAAAGUUGGUUAUUGUCAAGGAANNNNNNNNNNNNNNNNNNNNNNNNNNNNNNNNNNNNNNNNNNNNNNNNNNNNNNNNNNNNNNNNNNNNNNNNNNNNNNNNNNNNNNNNNNNNNNNNNNNNUCGGAGAGUGUCUCGGUCAUGUCUGCAUAGUUCUCGAAUCCGCAGGGUCUGCACACUUAAGGUUCAAUGACGUUUCGGUAUAGUUGAGUUAUAGGUGUUGGUGACCGAAGGUUGUUCAGAGUCCCGGAUGAGAUCCUGGACAUCACGAGGAGCUCCGGAAUGGUCCGAAGGUAAAGAUUGAUAUAUAGUAAGUCAUGUUUUGNNNNNNNNNNNNNNNNNNNNNNNNNNNNNNNNNNNNNNNNNNNNNNNNNNNNNNNNNNNNNNNNNNNNNNNNNNNNNNNNNNNNNNNNNNNNNNNNNNNNNNNNNNNNNNACCUGAAAGGUUUCGGGCUCAUCGAUAGUGUACUGGAAGUGCCAGGAGGGUGCCGGGGGACCACCGGGAGGGGUGUGAUGACCCUAGGGUUUCAUGGGCCAAGAGAGGAGGAAAACUAUCCCCUGCUGGUCUGGCCGAAUCCACCUCUAAGGGCCCAUGCGGCUAGAGUGGAAAAUAAGGGAAAAAUACAAAAGGUGGAAAAAGUUUCCAAGUGGAAGGGGUAUCUGAUGUCAACUGUUCUUCCCCUUGCAACGACACCAGAAGAAUGCUGCUAGCACCCUCCGGCAAUCGAAACUAGAAGAAUGUUGUUGACGGCCCACCAGCGCGUGGGAUCGUAGCAGUUUUCGAGGGUAGAGUAUUCAACCCAAAUUUGUUGGUACGCCUAUAGGAGGUGACAGGAUACUCUCAAGUAUNNNNNNNNNNNNNNNNNNNNNNNNNNNNNNNNNNNNNNNNNNNNNNNNNNNNNNNNNNNNNNNNNNNNNNNNNNNNNNNNNNNNNNNNNNNNNNNNNNNNCCACAGAAGCAACUUUCACACUACAGUAAAAGUAUUGUUACUGCAACAGAGCCAAGCCAAUUUUGGGGGAUCGCAGUCGCGGGCAUCACGGUGGUACUGGUAAUCAAAGAAAGAAAGGUUGACGACAUGACGGCACCUUGGAGACGGCCUGGCGGAGGUCGUCGGCGGUGACGGGCUGGUCGGAGAUGACCCAGUCCCCGGAGGGGAACCGCGCGAGCGGGCGGCGGCCGAGGUCCAUGACGACCUCCACCAGGUCCCAGACCUCCGGGUGCAGCGCGAGCUCCCGCCGCAUCCUCGCCGGCACCACCUCGAGGAACGCCUCCAUCUCACCCCUGGCCCCGGCCCGCGCCUCGGGCGCCGGGGUGGCGACUGCCGGGGACACGGACGGCGAGGCGGGGCCCG